UGACCAUAAUGUGGUGGCUUCUCUCCCUUAGGUGGUUUGCCAACUGGGGUUGGUGGCUUGUGUUCUGGGAGUGGCUUCUCCCCCUUGGGAGGUUUUUCCAAUGGGGUUGGUUUGUGUUCAGGAGGUGGCUUCUCCACUGGAGGCUUGUGUUCAGGAGGUGGCUUCUCCACCGGAGGCUUGUGUUCAGGUGGUGGCUUCUCCACCGGAGGCUUAUGCUCUGGUGGUGGCUUCUCGAAUGGGGGAUGCUUAGGAUAAUCAGCAAGUGAGGGGGCGGUGAGAACCACCAGGCCAAGCAACACCACUAGCAAAUAUGUAGGAGACAUCUUUGGGUUUGGGCUCAGAUGGUGCAAAACUAGGAGAAUUGGCUAGCCUUUUAUAGCGGAUCGUACCCAAUAAUGAAAUGACACGUGUCAUUAUGACCCAUGUGUAAUGGGGUCGAUUUGGGUCCUACAGUGUUGAAAACUUCGACAUCCACUUUUGGCCUUUUGCUUUCUCUACAGCCGCCUUGCUUUUUCCCUCUUUCCUUUUGUUUUCCUCCUGCCCCAUUCUAUCAACUAAACACAAUUAUGUAGUUGUUUAAUUCUUAAAUGAGAUAUUAUCCGUCAAUCGUAUUAUAUUUUAUCAAGAGAGAACGGAGUGCAAUGUGGCUGUAAUUUUAUCGUUUAGUUUUAUCUCUUGGACCACUGCAUUUUUGUUAAGAGGUGCAAUAAUACACGUCUUUAUCUGCCAUUCAAUAUUUACAGUAAAGAGAGGGCACAAAACUCUUCACUUCGCACCAUAAUUAUUUUGUUUUCUGGACACCCCGGGGCCCUUUGGUUGGUUUGGGGGUCAGAAAGUGAACAUCAUAGGGGGUUUUUCCCUUAUGUGCAUUUGUAUCUGAUGGCUUUAACUCGCCUUGUUACUACAAAGAAACUGUCACAGAUAGGAACUUAUUCCAGGCUGAGUAUCUCCUCAUAGACCCUAUAAAAGAAGACAAGUCAUAAUGAACAUCUAACCUUUGUUCAAUUUGAUUCAAUGCCCCCAUUGUGUCCAUCUCACAAAUCUGAAUUAUUAUAUCCAUUGAAUACAUAAAUUAAUGAAGAAAAUAUGAAACCCAAGAUACAUCUCUGCACAACCUCAACCCUGGUUGCUAUGUUUCCCUUCUAUUCACAUGAUUUGAUGCUAAUUGCCAAACUUGCAACAAGCCCUGAGUUUGACACCUAGUAUCGAUGGGCGAAUUUAAAGUCUCCUCCAAACAUAUAUUCCACAGCUUGAAGCUCACAGAAGAUGUUACAGGCAGGGAAAAACCUUCAGAGUUCGCUACCAAAGAUAAUUAUUAAGGAGAUAUCACAAAGAGAAUUCCAAGGGGUCUGAAUCAAAGACAAAUUGGUCGUUCGUGGGGGUUCUUACUUUCUUUUGGGUAUAACUCACUGAGGGCACUGUCUUUGUUAUUUGCAUUUCACAUUUAGAGUUCUGUUCUGGAAACAUAUAAAAGGAGCAUCAUUUUGUUCUUGGGUAACCCAUAGUCGUGAGUGGGUCCAUUUGCAUGCUACUUAGUUGAAAAGUUGGACCAUUUGCUCCGACGCCUACCUCCCGGAUUCCAUGCUCGGAUAAAACAAGAAUAAAAAAAAUAUUUAUAAUUUACAAAUGGGGGAAAGAAAAAAAUGUCAACAACAAACCAGGAAAAAAGAGUAGUAAAAUUCAUGUCACAUGCUAGUGAGAGAAGGGGUUGUUACACUCACUCGAAGUUCUUUCCAAAAUAUCGCAUGGUAUUUUAUUUUAUGUGUCAGCGCAGUUGUGAAUGGAACGUGCAAAAGUCCAAAUUGGCGUUUUUCCUUUUCCCGUGUAGGAUGGCGACCUUUAAUAAAUAUUUAAAACAAAAAACGAAAAAAAGGAGGGAAAAGGGAUCAGAAAAGAUAAAACAAUGUGUACAAGAGCUCAAUUAGUUUGCAAAUUACUGUUUGGAUUUUGAUAGUAUUUUAUUUGUCCAUCUAUAUUUGAUGGAAAAGAGAAUUUAAGAUAUUUCUGAAACAAAAGCAUUAGUGUAAAACUAAAUUAAGGUAUAAUUAAGUUAGUUCAAUGCAUUAAUUUAAGAAACUUGAUCUAUCCAAAGUACAAAAUUAGAUGAAAUCCAUUUCAAUGGUUAAAAUGAUCAAAAUCAAACUUUUUCUAAGUAUUUUUUAAAAGCAUCAAUAUUAAAAGACAAUUUUAUAUUUAGUCGGAGUUUGGACAAAACCAAAAAGCACACAAAAUCCAAGCGACCAUCUCUAGCUUGGAUAGUCACUUGAUCCCACCUAGAGAUGUGCAUGAGUAAAAGGAUUUGAAAAUGGAAAUUGACUAAAUAUUUAGUUGAUCAAUUAAAUUUGCAAUGUCAUAUGCAAUCCUAAUAGCUAGUCAUCUAAUCAAUUAGGUAGUCAAUCAAGUGUUUGUAAUGACUAUUUUGUACAAAAAACCACAUGUAUAGUUAAAUAUAAUGCAUUUCAUUUAUAAAUCUUCUAAUUCUUGAAUAACGAUCCUAUCAUCCUUUGAAAAUUUUUAUUACACCUUUUUUACUUUUGUUCUAAAACUUACAUAUCACCCUUAAUUGUACCAUGAGAACCUAGCUAUUUUUUUUUUUUUUGUAAUUCAUCAAAGUUAGCUUUUGUAUUCAUUGUUGUAUUAUUUUUAGUAUAACUUAGAAAGCUAGUGUUUUCAAGUGAGUAAAAUUAACUUGUAAAUAUUGUAAAGAUUCAUUGAUAUGUAUCUUAAACUAAGUGUACAAAUUAAAACAUUUGCUAGUAGAUUUUCUCAAAAUUUAGAAUAGAGCUUGAGGCUAUUGAAAUAGGUGGGGUUACACCAAACCACAUCACAUCGUUGUUUGCACCUUUUUUCACUCUCUUUUACUUAGUUUCUCUAUAUUUGUUGUCUAGUAAUAUCCUAUAGGCUUGAUGGGUUAGGGAGCAUCCCUUUGUGAAAAAAUUUCAUUCAAUUCUUAGUUGUAUUACGCAUAUAUAAAAUGCCUCAUUGUUUUAAUGGUAUUCAGUCGUGGCAUCACAGAUAUGGGCAUCUAAAUUUUAAAAGUUUGAAACUUUUGUAAAGCAUGUUGAUAAAAUCCAUGAGAGUUGUGUACUUGGGAAGCAACAUCGAGGUGACUUUAUUUUUUUUUCCUUUUAUAAUGCCACACCUAAGUCCGGUUUCUAAAUGCUAAAGUGAAAGGGUAGGUAUGGACCAUUGAAAUGUGAUCACAACUUUUGGCCUUUUCCUUUCUCUGCAGCCAUGUUGUCUCUUUUUUCUUUUGCAUGAUUUUCUUACCAAAACAGAAUCAUAGACUUGUUUAGUCUCUAAGCUACUAUAUUAUAUCUCGGUGGACUUUUAAGAGUGCAACCGACAUAGAGCACAUGCAAGUGGGCAUAUGGGACAUGAAAUUUCUUCUUACAAAGAUUGCAUGAUUUUUAUAUUAGAGUUGUUCACGUGCAAUGUAUUUAGCUUGUUUUGCAGUUAAAUUAAUUGGAUAAGUAAACAUUGGCAUUUCUAAAUCGACUGUGAAGUGCUUCAUGUACGUGUAAAGUAUUAGAAAUUUCUUUCUUGGCAACUUGUUUUUUCCUUGCCAUCUACUGGUAGGUUUGACUAAAAUUAUAUUCCCUGUCAUGCUAAUUAAUUUUCAUGUGCAUGCUCAAAAGAAGAGUAUGACCUUAGUGCACCAAAAUCACUUUGAUUAAUUUGUGAUAGGUUUUUUUGCAUCAUUUAGAUAAUGUUUAGUUCUAAGAAAAAUUUAUAUAAAAAUGGUUUAUUUAUCUUACAUAUAUAUAUAUAUAUAUAUAUUUUUUUUUUUUUCAUUUUUUUUUCUUCUAUUUUAUUUAUUUAUUUUAUUUUCCUUAUGUUUUCCUCACAUUUUCCGGAACUAAACAUAGUCUUACGAAAUCAACAAUUGCCUUCAACUGAGUAGAUUCUGUUGUUUUAGCAAUGUUAGGCUGCUAACUUGUGGUGGUACGAACCAAAUGACCCAUGUUAAUCUUGGCUUGGUUUGAUUUGGCUCUAUCUCAGAGAGCUAAAGGAUCACGUCAACUCUGGUUUCUACUAUUCAGGUCCAUUCCCAGAUGAACUGGUUCAAAUUUGAGAAAAUGGUAACAGACCUUUAGUGAUGUUGGUUUGGAGCCAGUUGCCAAACCCGCCCUGAGCUUUACCACUAAUGUCAAGGGAGAAAGCCAUUUGAACAAAAACAAUAGCUUCAAGAGACUGAAUCGUGGAUGAAAUCUGAUCCACAUUUCUUCUCAUUUUGGGAAAAAAUGAGAACUUAACUACAAAGAUUCUACUGCCUCAUUCAUAGUGCUUUUCCUGAUCCAAGGUUGGUUCGUUUCCCAAAUUGUGAGGUGCACGUGCCACUCUCACGCUCAGGAGUGUAUCCACGUGGUGGACAUCAGAUGGUGGCUUAAUAUCUGGUGUCGGUGGCUUUACUUUACUAGGAGAGUAGUGUGUCUUCAUCUCAUUCACUGCCGGAGGGUGGCGUAAGCAGUGACGCUAAGGUGGGGCACAGUCAAUAUCAUUUGCAUUUGACCAUUAUAGUUUUCUCCCGGCUUGAAAGUAACCUUAUCGUGAUAAAGGAUUACUAGCACUAGUUCAGAUGACCGUCAUGUUAAUUCGGACCAUGUUUGUGUCACAUUAUCAGCAACCAUGUGUUUAUGGUUCAUGCUAUCUGCAACUAAACUUGAUAUAUAACCAGGUGAACUUCAAUCAAAAUUCUGGAAGUACUCUUGUGAUAGAUGGUGCCUGUCUGCAGAGUCCAUCAAUUGAAAAAUGGAGUGAGUGUAUCUAUAAGAGGGAAGGCUUGGCAAAUGUUCAGUUUUCUGGGAAUUCAACAAGGAUCUAAAAUAGAUUGUUUUCUUUGCCGACUUCAAUGGUUGAAAUUUGAGAAGAUUGUGUCCACAUAUCACAACUAUUACUGGUCCUUCUGUUGCAAUUUAUCCUGUAAGGCUCUAACAUGUCUUCCAAUUCCCACUUCCCUGUUACUCCAGGAAAGCUAUUUCUGUCAUUGUGAAGAAGAAAAGAGAAUGUACAUAUCGAUGCUUUUAAGUGACUGGAGCAUUCAUAUCAGGUGGUCUGCAGCCAUAUAUGCCACUUUGUGAAGGUUGGAACAGUCAAUCACUAGGCUAUAUAUUGGUGUGGCCCAGCCACUUCAAUCAAGGACAAGUCUUCAUACUUAAAGUCAAAUUCUGCCUUUAGUCUCAUUAUAAAUUGCUGUUUAAAUAUUAAGCAAACUUUUGUUUAAUGCGAUUAAGACAGUACUAACUCAAUACUUGUUCUAUUUUUGGAUGCAAAUGCUUGAUGGUUUCAUCAUUGGAUGGGAUAAAGGUGCAUUCAUGAUUAUGAAUACUUGUAGUUAUAUUUUCAUUCUCUUUUUUCUCAAUGAGACUUGUUGGCACAAUGUUGCUGUUCAGAAACCUACCUCUCCAUGGAAAAUAAGUUGCGAUUGAUAGUACUGGAUAUGUUCAAGAAAGCUAAAUAUAGAUAGCACAAAAUAUUAUCGAUAUAAAUAGCAUUAACAGCGUACGUAUGUCUCAAUGCUCAUCAGCUAUAAGCAUGGGACAAACACUUACUAUGAGCAACUUACGUCAAAAUUCCAGAAUAGGACAUAGAAGUGACAGAUCUAUAUAUAUAGAACACUGCAUAUGAGUCACAAGAAAGGAAAUUACGGGUGCAUAGCAGCUCUUAUUUUACAUACUACUACUCAUACUGAUCAAAGUCACUCAGUUGGGAUGGGUGGGAGUAGGAGGUUUGUGGGGUGGCUUGUGCGGAGGAGUUGGCAGCUUCUUUCCAGGACCUGGUUGCUUCUCUGCUGGAGUUGAAGGAGGCUUAAUCUUCCGAGGUGGCUUGUAUGAGUCUUCAGCAUUCUCAGCUGGAGGGUGACCAGGGUUGUGACCAUAAUGUGGUGGCUUCUCUCCCUUAGGUGGUUUGCCAACUGGGGUUGGUGGCUUGUAUGAGUCUUCAGCAUUCUCAGCAGGAGGGUGACCAGGGUUGUGACCAUAAUGUGGUGGCUUCUCUCCCUUAGGUGGUUUGCCAACUGGGGUUGGUGGCUUGUGUUCUGGGAGUGGCUUCUCCCCCUUGGGAGGUUUUUCCAAUGGGGUUGGUUUGUGUUCAGGAGGUGGCUUCUCCACUGGAGGCUUGUGUUCAGGAGGUGGCUUCUCCACCGGUGGCUUGUGUUCAGGAGGUGGCUUCUCCACCGGAGGCUUAUGCUCUGGUGGUGGCUUCUCCACCGGAGGCUUAUGCUCUGGUGGUGGCUUCUUGAAUGGGGGAUGCUGAGGGUAAUCAGCAAGUGAGGGGGCGGUGAGAACCACCAGGCCAAGCAACACCACUAGCAAAUAUGUAGGAGACAUCUUUGGGUUUGGGCUCAGAUGGUGCAAAACUAGGAGAAUUGGCUAGCCUUUUAUAGCGGAUCGUACUCAAUAAUGAAAUGACACGUGUCAUUAUGACCCAUGUGUAAUGGGGUCGAUUUGGGUCCUACAGUGUUGAAAACUUCGACAUCCAGUUUUGGCCUUUUGCUUUCUCUACAGCCGCCUUGCUUUUUCCCUCUUUCCUUUUGUUUUCCUCCUGCCCCAUUCUAUCAACUAAACACAAUUAUGUAGUUGUUUAAUUCUUAAAUGAGAUAUUAUCGGUCAAUCGUAUUAUAUUUUAUCAAGAGAGAACGGAGUGCAAUGCAGCUGUAAUUUUAUCGUUUACUUUUAUCUCUUGGACCACUGCAUUUUUGUUAAGAGGUGCAAUAAUACACGUCUUUAUCUGCCAUUCAAUGUUUACAGUAAAGAGAGGGCACAAAACUCUUCACUGCUCUGCAUGUGUCCCAAAAAUGCGAUUGGACAAAUUAUGAUUUGCAUGCUAAAAAGAGGCAAAUGAGGUUAAUUCGCACCAUAAUUAUUUGGUUUUCUGGACACCAUAAAAAGAUGUUAUACAGGCAGGGAAAAACCUUCAGAGUUAGCUACCAAAGAUAAUUAUCAAGCAGAUAUCACCAAGAGAAUUCCAUAGAGUCUGAAUCAAAGACAGAUUGCUCGCUCGUGGGGGUUCUUACUUUCUUUUGGGUAUAACUCACUGAGGUCACUGUCUUUUUUAUUUGCAUUUCACAGUUAGAGUUCUGCUCUGGAAGGUUUGUUCUGGAAACAUAUAAAAGGAGCAUCAUUUUGUUCUUGGGUAACCCAUAGUCGUGAGUGGGUCCAUUUGCAUGCUACUUAGUUGAAAAGUUGGACAAUUUGCUCCGACGCCUACCUCCUGGAUUCCAUGCUCGGUAAAACAAGAAUAAAAAAAAAUAUAUAAUUUACAAAUGGGGGAAAGAAAAAAUGUCGGAAAAAAUAGUAAAAUUCAUGUCACAUGCUAGUGAGAGAAGGGGUUGUUACACUCACUCGAAGUUCUUUUCAAAAUAUCGAAUGGUAUUUUACUUUAUGUGUCAGCGCAGUUGUGAAUGGAACGUGCAAAAGUCCAAAUUGGCGUUUUUAUUUUUCCCAUGUAGGAUGGUGACCUUUAAUAAAUAUUUAAAACAAAAGACGAAAAAAAAAAGGAGGGAAAAGGGAUCACAAAAGAUAAAAUAAUGUUUACAAAAGCUCAAUUAGUUUGCAAAUUACUGUUUGGAUUUUGAUAGUAUUUUAUUUGUCGUUCUAUAUUUGAUGUAAAAGAGAAUUUAAGAUAUUUCCGAAGCAAAAGCAUUAGUUUGCUCUGUGAUGUCCCACAUCGAAUAGGGGAGAAAGUUUCUGGCGCUAUAUAUGUAGAGGCUCCUCUUAACCAAGUAGAUGCGUUUUAAAACCAUGAGGGCCCCCUUAGGUCCAAAGCGGACAAUAUCUACAUGAUUGGGUGUAAGUCAUUACAAAUGGUAUCAGAGCCGAUCCCCGACCCCGGUGUGGGGGUUUGUUUGGCCCUGUAAGGGGUGUUUGUCUGUUUGACCCCACAAUCCCAUGGGACACAACGAGGACGUUGUGUCUGCAUGGGGGGGCGUUUGUGAUGUCCCACAUCGGAUAGGGGAGAAAGUUCCUAGUGCUAUAUAUGUAGAUGUUUCUCUUAACCAAGUAGAUGCAUUUUAAAAUUGUGAGGGCCUCUUUGGGCCCAAAGCGGACAAUAUCUACAUGGUUGAGUGUAAGUCAUUACAUGCUCCAUGUCAAUUUCAGCAUUUCUCAUAUGUUUCACACAUACACAGAAGAGCAUCGUUUUUUAAAGCAUGCAUUUAUGUUGGAUUAAUUUGGAUUUUGUGGGAACUGGGGCAAGGAUCACAUGGAAGAGAGGUUGACUUUUUUCAGUACUUCAAUGGUUGAAAUAUGUGAAGGCUUGAUUGAUACUAAAGCUUGAAAUUGCGACUCUGUCAUUUGUAAAAAAAUAUGACAGCUUCCAUGCUCUCGUUUGGUUGCAUUGUCCGGUCGAGAGGUGCAAAAAGCAUUCUCUCUCUUCUAAUAGUCUUUUCGUUUAAAUCAAGGGAUUUGCCUUCCCGGUCGAGGUCCAAUAGAGGGUAACGGUCACCUACUAAACAUUAAAUGCUCCAACAACUAGUGAACUGAUCGACCCCAGCUCGACUAGUUGAGGUUACUUUUUGGUUUUCUUGUCUCCCGAGGUUAGAAACCUAUAAAUAGAGAGCUUCACUUCAUUUAUGAGUAAGAGAACACCUAAAUUUAUUUGUUUACCUACUUGUUUUUGCCAUAAAAGCUCUCAUUUCUUUUCUUGGUGUAUUAAAUCUCCAUUUGCAUAUCCUUUAGUGCACCUUUGUGAUUCAUUCUAGCCUUGAGUUGUAUUUAAGCCUUUGUUGAGCUAGGUUGAGAGUUUCAUACUUGUUUAUUGAGUGUUAAAGCCUUCAAGUGAGUUAAAACUUGAAGAGAUUGUGUAAGAGCCCAUUGGAGUCGGAAUCCAAGUGUAAAGGUGAUUAAAAGCUUGGUUGAAGCUUCAAGUUAGUGGAACUCUCACUCGGUUAUGAGCUUGAGAAGAGUGGACAUAGACAAGGCAGUGUCGAACCACUAUAAAAUCUGAGUUUGAUUUCUCUAACCUUAUCUCUUUAUAUUUGCUUCUCUUGUGCUUAAAUUUUUUGUGUUUAAAAAGAAUUUUUAAAAACUCAAUUCACCCCCUUCUUGGGAGUUUUUCUCUUUUAAGAUCAGCUUUUAUUUUCUCAAUUGGUAUCAGAACUAUGCCUCUUGUUUAAGACUUAAUCGUCUAAGAGGAAAUGGCUAAUCCAUCAAGUUCAUCUCACAUUGAAAGUUUUGCAACCAAUAGACUUCUUUUUUUUUUUUUGCGGGAACUGAUUAUCCCUAUUGGAAAACUAAAAUGACUUGGUUUUUACAAUCAAUUGAUUUAGAUGUAUGAGAUGCCAUUGAAGAUGACCUAACUUUUCCUUCAAAACUAGUUGAUGGAGUCAUGGUUCCAAAACCUAAGCAAGAAUGGGAUGAGCGUGAUUGAAGAAAUUUUCAAUUAAAUGCUAAAGUCGUUUAUACUUUGCAAUGCUCUAUGGACAGAAAUGAAUAUAAUAGAAUAUGUCAAUGCAAAUCGGUUAAAGAAAUUUGGAGAUUGCUUGAAAUAACUCAUAAAGGAACAAAUCAAGUUAAAGAGUCAAAAAUCAAUUUACUUGUUCAUAGAUAUGAAUUGUUUUUUAUGAAAGAUAAUGAAACUAUUGUUAAGAUGAUCACUAGGUUCACCAACAUUGUUAAUGGUCUUAAAGCCUUGGGAAAGACCUACAAGGAAUCCGAAAACGUGAUGAAGAUCUUGAGGUCACUUCCAUCAAAGUGGCAUACCAAGGUCACCGCAAUUUAAGAAGCAAAAGACUUGAUCAAGCUACCUUUGGAGGAGUUCAUAGGGUCAUUGAUGACAUAUGAAAUCAAUUUGGCAAAGAAGUAACAAAAAGGUGAAGACAAAAAGAAGAAGAACAUAACUCUCAAAGCUACAACUAAGGAAGAAGAAGUUGAAGAAGAAAAACAAAUUGAAGAAGAUGAAGAUUUAGCCCUCAUCACAAGAAAGUUCAACAAAUUCAUGAGGGGUGAAAGGUUUAGAAGAAGAAGGUUCACUUCUAGAAGAGACUUUUCUAAAAAGGAAUCUUCAUCUAAUGGUGACAAAAAGAGAUGGGAAGAGAAAAGAGACUUGGUGUGUUUCAAGUGCAAGAAACCGGGACACAUUAAAUAUGAUUGUCCUCUCUACAAAAGUGAAGUCAAGAGGAAAAAGAAUAAGGCAAUGAUGGCCACUUAGAGUGAAAGUGAAGAUGAAUCAUCCGAAGAAGAAAAUGAGAAAGAAGUGGCAAACAUGUGUUUCAUGGCAAUAGAUGAACUUGAUGAGGUAAAAUCUAACCUUAGUGAUUAAGAUAUACAUGAUGCAUUUGAAGAAUUGUAUGAGGAUUUUUAAAAACUUAGUUUGAAAAAUAUUUCUCUUAAAAAGAAAGUUCAACAACUUGACAAAGAACUUAGAGAAGUAAAAGAAAAAUUUUCAAAUGUUAAAGUUUCUAAAACUCAUCUUGAAAAAGAAAAUGAGAUUCUAAGAAAGAAAAAUGAAUAGUUGAACUCCUCUCUUUCAAUCUUUUCUUCUAGACAAAAAUCUUUUGAAAUGAUUCUAACUAGCUAAAAAUGUGUUUUUGACAAACAAGGGUUAAGAUUUAAAUCUUCAAAAAAUCAAAAGUAUUUUAAAAACUAUUUUGUAAAGGAAUCCACAAGUGCAAGUCCUUCCACUACUUGCAACUUUUGUGGAAGAGAAUGGCACAUUAGUAGUACGCCCUUUAAGAAAUGGUUCUCAAAAGAAUUUAAAUGCAAAAACUAAAAAAGAUUUGGAUUGAGAAAUCCAAGGUCACUAACCCUCAAGGACCCAAAAAGAUAUAGGUACCUAAAUCAACUUGAGUUUUAUGUUGUAAGGUUCAAAGAAUGAUAAGUGGUUCUUAGAUAAUGGUUGCUCAAGACACAUGACCGGAGAUGAAUCCAAGUUUGCUUUUCUUAAAAAGAAAAAUGGAGGAUAUGUUACCUUUGGAGACAAUGCAAAAGAAAGGAUGAUUGGUCAAGGCAACAUUGGUAAUGGCACAUCCUCUCUCAUUGAAAGUGUUUUAUUAGUAGAUGGUUUCAAACAUAACCUUUUAAGCAUUAGUCAAUUUUGCGACAAAGGUUUUUAAGUGAUUUUUUAAGCAUCUCAUUGCAUCAUCAAGGAUAUUCAAAAUGAUAAAACCAUUUUCAUGGGCCAUAGAUGUGAUAAUGUUUAUGCUAUAAAUAUUUCAAAAUAUGAUGGCCAUGAUAGAUGUUUUUCAAGCAUGCAUGAUCAAAGUUGGUUGUGCCAUAGGAGAUUGAGACAUGCUAACAUAGACCUCAUUUCCCAACUCAACAAAGAUGAACUUGUUAGAGGCCUUCCCAAAAUAAUUUUUUAAAAAGAUAAAGUUUGUGAAGCUUGUCAAGUGGGAAAGUAAAUCAAAAACUCUUUUAAAAACAAAAACUUCAUUUCCACAUCUAGGCCACUUGAGUUGUUGCAUAUGGAUUUAUUUGGUCCCUCUAGGACACCAAGUCUUAGAGGAAAUUCUUAUGCAUAUGCUAUUGUGGACGACUUCUCUAGAUACACAUGAGUCUUGUUUUUUAGUCAAAAGAAUAAAGUUUUUUAUGAGUUUUCAAAGUUUUGCAAUAAGAUUCAAAAUGAAAAAGGUUUUUCAAUUACUUAUAUAAGAAGUGAUCAUGGGAGAGAAUUCGAAAAUAUUGAUUUUGAAGAGUAUUGCAAUGAGCAUGGAAUUGACCACAAUUUUUUGGCUCUUAGAACUCCUCAACAAAAUGGGGUAGUUGAAAGGAAAAAUAGAACUCUUCAAAAAAUGACAAGAACCAUACUAAAUGAAAACAACUUACCAAAAUAUUUUUAGGCCAAAACGGUUAACACUUCUUGUUAUGUUUUAAAUAGAGUAUUAUUGAGGCUCAUACUUAAGAAAACUCCCUAUGAGCUUUGGAAAAACAAAAAACCCAACAUUAGUUAUUCCAAAGUCUUUGGAUGCAAUAUUUUAUAAUAAACACCAAAGACAAUCUUGGAAAAUUUGAUGCAAAAUUGGAUGUUGGAAUUUUCCUUGGUUACUCAACUUCAAGUAAAGCUUUUCGAGUUUUAACAAAAGAACCAUGGUUGUAGAGGAGUCCAUCCAUGUUAUUUUUUAUGAAUCUCCAAGAAAGAGAGAGGAUUGAUGAUGAUUUAGGUUUGAAGACCUCUAUAGGAAGAUUGCAAAUCGAAGAUAGAAGACAACAAGAAGAAAAUGGAGAGAAUCCAAAGAAAGAAGGAUCACCAUUGGCACUACCCCCUCAUCAACAAGCGCAAGGUGAAUCAAGUCAAGAGCUUCCUAAAGAAUGGAAGUUUGUCAUCAAUCACCCACAAGAUCAAAUUAUAGGCAAUCCAUCUAGUGGGGUAAGAACUAGAUCCUCUCUUAGAAAUAUUUGCAAUAAUCUAGCUUUUAUCUCUCAAAUUGAGCCUAAAAAUAUAAAUGAUGUUUUAGAUGAUGAAAAUUGGAUAAUUGCAAUGCAAGAAGAGUUAAAUCCAUUUGAAAGAAGUGGAGUAUGGGAAUUAGUACCAAGACCUUCAAAUCAAAGUGUUAUUGGAACUAGAUGGAUCUUUAGAAAUAAAAUGGAUGAAAAUAGCAUAAUUGUUAGAAAUAAAGCAAGAUUGGUAGCCCAAGGUUUUAAUCAAGAAGAAAUGAUAGAUUAUGAAGAAACCUUUGCCCCCGUAGCUAGGUUGGAAGCCAUUAGGAUGCUACUUGCCUUUGCAUGUUUUAAAGACUUUGUUUUAUAUCAAAUGGAUGUGAAAAGUGCUUUUUUAAAUGGUUUUAUAAAUGAAGAAGUAUAUGUUGAACAACCACCCGGUUUUCAAAGUUUCAACUUUCCUAACCAUGUUUUUAAACUUAAAAAGACACUUUAUGGUUUGAAACAAGCACCUAGAUCAUGGUAUGAAAAAUUGAGUAAAUUUCUUUUGAAAAAAAUGUUUUAAAAUGGGAAAAAUUGACACAACUCUUUUUAUAAAAACCAAAGAAAAUGAUAUGCUCUUAGUUCAAAUAUAUAUUGAUGAUAUCAUUUUUGGUGCUACUAAUGUCUCUCUUUAUGAAGAAUUUUCUAAGUGCAUGCAUAGUGAGUUUGAAAUGAGCAUGAUAGGAGAACUCAACUUCUUCCUUGGACUUCAAAUCAAGCAACUAAAGGAAUGAACCUUCAUCAAUCAAGCAAAGUAUAUAAGAGAUCUUCUCAAAAGGUUCAACAUGGAAGAAGCCAAAACAAUGAAGACUCUAAUGAGCUCAUCCAUUAAGCUUGAUAAGGAUGAGAAAGGUAAAUCCAUUGACUCUAUUAUGUAUAGAGGCAUGAUAGGUUCUUUGCUCUAUUUGACCACUAGUAGACCUUACAUUAUGUAUAGUGUGUGUUUGUGUACUAGAUUUCAAUCUUGUCUUAAAAAAUCUCACUUAAGUGUCGUGAAAAGAAUCCUCAAAUAUUUGAAAGGGACAAUGGACAUAGGCUUAUGGUAUCCUAAGAGUGAUAACUUUGAAUUAAUUGGUUUUUUGGAUGCUGAUUUUGUCAGUUGUAGGGUUGAAAAAUAAAACACUAGUGGCACUUUUCAUUUCUUAAGACACUUACUUGUCUCAUGGCAUAAUAAGAAGCAAAAUUUGGUAGCUUUGUCAACAGCAGAAGCUAAAUACAUAGCAACUGGUUUAUGUUGUGCACAAAUCCUUUGGAUGAAAUAAACACUUAGUGAUUUUGAUUUAUCUUUUGAGCAUAUUCCUAUUAAAUGUGAUAAUAGUAGUGCCAUAAGUAUAUCAAAAAAUCUCGUGCAACACUCUAGGACUAAGCAUAUAGAGAUUAGACAUAAUUUUCUUAGAUAUCAUACACAAAAGGAUGAUAUAACACUUGAAUUUGUAAGCAUAAAAGACCAACUUGCCGAUAUCUUUACAAAACCUCUAAGAACAUUUUGUUGAUAUUAGAGGACAAUUAGGAGUGAUUUCUUUAUGAUCUAAUGUGAUGAAUUCUUGAUGAAUAUACUUUUUGAUUGCAUGAAUUUCAUGUCAUAUAUGCAUCAUAUAGAAAUAUACUUAGAUAAUGGUCAAAUUUCGACCAAAAAUCAAAAUUCCCAUGGCAUUAGGCAUAAAAAUUUUGGAAUUUCAACUGAAAAUGGUAGGAGGAGGAUCACAAAAUGAGAAAGUAUGCAAAAAUUGAAAAAUCAAAACGUUGACCAAGCGGUCAAUCGGACUAGACCGAUCGACUAGUUUGUCGAGAUUUAGGAUUUUUAAGAGACUCCAACGCUUCAAUUUUUGCACCGUUCUCCUCUAUUUCUUCACGGUUUCUCUGAUUUUGUCUUUUAGAGACUAAUUUGAGUGCGUUUUGGAUCAAUUGAAGCAUUUUGGAUUGGAUUUUAGGAAGAUUGAAAGUUAAGGUUUCGGAUUUGGGUCGCCUUCUCUUCCUCUCGCGUGUCACAAUCAGCUUUAGCAUUGUUCUCUUUCCAUUUUCACACACCUAGGGUUUCAGUUGUGAGCAUCUCUCUCUCUUUACCAACCACUACUCCCUUGCUUCUUCCAUAUGGCUCCUAGGCGAGAGUCCGCUACUUCUAGGGCACAAGGCAAGCACCCAACUGAGUCGUCUCAGUCAAAGGCACGUCGAAAAGUGAGAUUUGACAUUGCCUUGUUCAGUUCCAUGGAGGACUACCAACUAUACAAGCAACACUUUGCUUAGAGACGAGUAGUUCCCAAGAGAAAUAUUAAUUUUCCUCAACUUCAGCAUUUCGAAUUUAAGGGUCUAUUUACUAGGAUGGUUGGUUGUCUAUUGUCACAAUUUCGGAGCCGGUUUUCCUGACCUUAGUGCGAGUUUUUUACUCGAGGGCGACUUAUGGCAUGGGUGGCAUGAUCAUUUCUACUGUUGGAGGAGUUGAGAUCUGUCUGGACCCAGAGAGCAUCUGCCAUAUUUUCGAUAUUGCUCUGGUUGGACUCAAAGUAUACAAGUCCAAAAUGUGGCCCAUUGUGCCAGGAUUUGAGCUUAGAGAGGUCAUUCAGAGGAUUUGUGAACUUCCAGACGCCCAGGAGAUGGGCAAACCAUUGCCACACAGUUUGACGGUCAUCAACAGGGUGCUACACCAUAUAUUGUGCUCUAUCUUUCUACCACGAAGUGGACAUUGAGAUGAGGUCUCUUAUUAUGAGGCAUUCCUUAUUGACUCCAUUCUAACGGAGAGACGAAUUCAUCUACUAUGUCAUCAUUCACUAAGCCUCCUCACAGUGACAUACCACCUCAUCAGGCACCUCUUGCUCCUGACCAUGCUCCAUUGAUGGAUUUAUUUACUCAUAUUAGCUCUCUAGGCACUCGCAUGAAGGAGUUUGUUGUAGUUAGUGAUACAUGGUUCUACUCCAUAGAGGAUCGCAUGGAUCAGUAUCAGACUGGCUUCACGUCACAGUUUGAGUAUCUCCAAUAGAGGAUUGAGCAUAUUGAGGAUCACUUGAGCAUGAGAAGAUGAUGGCUUUUCUAUGCUCUGUGUUUCCACCUCCACCUCGUCAACCUUGAUUUCUUAGAGACCCAUUGUUUUCAUUUUGUAAUGUUGCCAAAAGGGGGAGAUAUUUAGGAUCUAGGACUCUAUAGGAGACUUACAUGCAUAUCAUUUUCAUAUCAUUGUUUGGAUCGUACAUAUUGGAUAGUGAUACUUUUUACUUAUAUAUGAUAUGCCUAUAUGUUUCAUGUCUUACAUUGUUUCUUAUUGCAAAUUAUCUCUAACAUGUCUUGAUUAUCUUUUUUUUAACUUCAUAAAUUUUGAUUGUUAACCCAUGAUUGGUUUGAGGGGAAGAUUCUUCUUCUCCUAGAUAACCAAGGUUUGUCAUCAUAAAAAAAUUGGAGAUUGUUAGCCCAAGGGUUCUCCUAAUCAUGUUUUGAUGAUAACAAACCAUGCUUAAGUUACUAAUUGGUUUGAAUUAUAAAGAAUUUCAAGUGUUAAUUUGAAAAUUCAUCAAAGAACCUAAUGGAUGCAAGAUCAAGAUUUUUGGAAGACCUUUAAUCAUAAGAAACAUAUGUAAGAUGAAUGCAUGGGUGCACUUAAGAUUUGCAUAUCAUUUCAUGCAUAUUUGGAAAACACGGUUUAUGCUUUAAAGUUACAUUUCCAUCAAAAUUUGAGAUCCAUCAAAUGAACCUUAGGAAAAAUGUUUUAAAAUUGGCAUAUAAUUUUACCUAAAGACCUUGCCUAAGUGUUAGAAGCAAAAGGACAAAAAAAAUAUAGGUUUUCUGGUCAAAAAUGGUGAACCAGUCAAGGCAUUGUCUAAAUCAGCUCAAUCGGCCAAGGUACCGGUCGAUCGGUUUCCCUUUCCCUGUCGAGAUCUAGUCAAGAGGUACAAAAAUCACAAUCUCUGUCUCUUUCUCUCUUUGUCUAUCUUCCAGUAGUCUUUCCUUCCCGGUCGAGGGAUUUGCCUUCCCGAUUGAGGUCCGAUUGAGAGUAAUAGUCACUUGCCAAAUAUUAAAUGCUCCAACAGUUAGUGAACUGGUCGACCCCCACCUUGCCCAGUUGAGGUUACUUUUUGGUUUUCUUGGCUCCCGAUGUUAGAAACCUAUAAAUAGAGAGUUCCACUUCAUUUAUGAGCAAGAGAACACUUGCAUUUAUUUGUUUACCUACUUGUUCUUGCCUUAAAAGCUCUCAUUUCUUUUCUUGGUGCAUUAAAUCUCCAUUUUGAUAUCCUUUAGUGCACCUUUGUGAUUCAUCUUAGCCUUGAGUUGUAUUUGAGCCCUUUUUUUAGCUAGGUUGAGAGUUUCAUACUUGUUAAUUGAGUGUUAAAGCCUUCAAGUGAGUUGAAACUUGUAGAGAUUAUGUGAGAGUCGAUUGGAGCCGAAAUCCAAGUGUAAAGGUGAUUAGAAGCUUGGUUGAAGCUUCAAGUUAGUGGAAUCCUCACUCAAUUAGGAGCUUGAGGAGAGUGGACGUAGCCAAGGAAGUGUCGAACCACUAUAAAAUUUGAGUUUGAUUUCUCUAACAUUGUCUCUUUAUAUUUGUUUAUCUUGUGCUUAAAUUUAUUGUGUUUAAAAAGAAUUUUUAAAUACCCAAUUCACCCCCCUCUUGGGUGUUUUUCUCUUUUAAAAUUAGCCUUUAUUUUCUCACAAACUAUUGUAGUAUAGUGGUUUUUAGGUGUCAUCCAUUAGGAUGAAUUGUUCUCGGUAAUUAAGGCGUGAAUGAGAGGAGAAUUAAUGAUUGUGAUUAAGUAAAAUUGAUUUGAAAAUUCAUGGUGAAAAAUCAAUUUAACAAUGGUUUCUAAUUGAGAAAAACAAUGAAAUGUGAAAUAAAAUAAAAUUAAUAGGAAAUGAAAUUCUCGAAGUUAGAAUUUUCUAAAAAACAAAUUCCAUGGUGAAUGGAUGUUGAGAUCUAAUUUUCAUCAAGUUAGAUUGAAAACCGAAAUUUUCAUAUAAACUGAUUUUUUAUUUAGUUUUAGGUCUAGAUUUAAUUUCCCUUAAAAUUAGGUUAUUUAAUCCAAGAAAUCAAUUCAAAUCAUAUAUUCAAUUCAUCUUAAAUUAUCUUCCAAUUAUUCACACAAUGCAACUAUUCAAUCUCAUCAAAUCUAGCUUUUAAGAAUUUAAUGAAUCUACCUAGUUUGCAUUGUAAUAGUCAUCCAUGACAAUUUGAAGAGAAAAAUAAUUCAAUUAAUCAAUCACUUGGAUCAAAUUACCUUUGCAAUUAAAGUUCAUUUCUCUAAUUCACCACAGAUUUUGUCUCUAGAUCCUCCUUUCUCAAAGAAAAAUGAGAUUUAGCCACACAUGAUUGGAGAUUUGGUCUCAUAAGGCAUGUUUAGCUAGUGAUAAAAUGAGAGAAAAUAAAGAAAAAUAGAGAAUUCGAUUAAGAAAGAAAAUCUAAAAAAUUCUACAAUUAGAAAUGUCCAAAAAGCUUUUUCAUGAGAAAAUCAAGUUUCUAUUUAUAGGCCAAGGUCAAGUGGACACUUGACAUCAUCUAAGAGGUCUUCCGGAAGCUUCUUCAUCAAGAAAUCUGGAGUUUAAUAAUAAAAUGGUCAUUUCACAAGAGCUCAAACAAUUUCGCAUGAUUAUGUGAAAUAAAAAAUGCAACAACAGCAAUUUACAUCUUCUUGGAGCAUUUCGCAUGACUGUGUGAAAUUUUCACAUGAUCAUGUGGAAUCGACUUGACAACUCUCAUUUAGCCUACAACAUAAUUCCACCUUUUGGUCCAUUUUUCAUAGUCAUGCGAAAUGGAAAUAUUUGAUUUUUAAGUUUUCUUUUGUCAUUUCUUUCAUUUCCUUCUCUUGAUUCCACUUCAACUACCUCCGAAUCCUGGUCCAAACCAAUUGCAUUACUUCUUUCAUUAUGCAUUUGGAUCAUCAUCAACAUUAUUUGUUCUCUUCAAUUUGAUUCAUCUCUUUUGUCACCAAUUUAUCAAAAUCAUACCUUGAAAUGACUCCAAAACUUCAUAAAACUUGUUAGUAACUCUUGCAAGGGCAACAACAUAUUAAUUAAGUGUUUUAGGCAUAGUUACUACUCAAAAGAUGCGAAACUCAUGAUAAUUAUUAUAUAAAAUAUGCUCUUUUUGAGUAGUAAUCAACUUUCUUGCAUAAGCAGACCUUUUAGGGUGGAGUACUAAAGACCAAUAUGCUUGUCCUUGUUGUAAUAAAGAAACUUGCUCUUAUUGAUUGCACCAUGGGAGAAAAUUUUGCUACAUGAGUUAUCAUCAAUUUCUUCCCACCAAUCAUAGAUUUAGACGUGACAAGAGGCCUCUUAAUGGCAAGGAGGAACUGACACUCACACUUAUACAAUUAUCGGGCAUUGAUGUGUUGCAACAAUUAGAAUAACUUACACCAAUUAUGUUGGGGAAGUCACAAAAGGCAAACAUGAAAACUAAAAGGAAAAAAGAAAAAUGUUACAUAUCACCACAACUGGAAAGAAAAAAGUAUUUACUUUCAUUUGCCAUAUUGGAAAGCACUUAUUUUACAUCAUAAUAAUUUAGACAUAAUGCAUAUUGAGAAAAAUGUGUGACAAUAUAAUUGAGACAUUGUUCAGUAUUGACGAAGAAACAAGGACAACCUAAAUAGUCAUCUCGAUUUACAAGCUCUAACUAUUAGAAAUGAGAUUCACCCAAUAGAAAGCAGGACCAAAUUUAUUUUGCUUGCAACAUGCUACUCACUCACCCCAAAUGAGAUUAAGGAAUUUUGCAAGUUUUUGAAAUCAAUAAAGGUCCCCAAUGGCUAUUCUUUCAAUAUCUCUCGUUAUGUGCAACUCAAUGAAAGGAAGAUAUAUGAGCUCAAAUUGUAUGAUUGUCAUGUCCUAAUGCAACAACUUCUCUCACUUGUAGUUCGUGGAGUUCUACAUAAGAAUGUUUGUGGAGUUAUCAUAGAAUUGCGUAAUUUUUUCAAGCAAUUGUGCUCAAAGGUGUUAGAAACAAAUCACUUACACCAACUUGAGAACAAUAUUAUUGUCAUACUAUGUAAAAUGGAGCAAAUAUUUCUUCCAUCAUUCUUUGAUAUUAUGGUGCAUUUACUUGUGCAUCUAGUAAGGCAAAGGUUGCAAGACUUGUGCAAUAUUGUUGGAUGUACCUAAUUGAACGAUAUUGUUAUAAUUUCAUAUGAAUCAUUUAAUUUUAUUUUAUAUUAUGUUCAGUUCAUUAACAUGUACAUUGGUCUACAUAUGGAUGAUGAUAGGUACCUAAGCACUUUAAAGUCAUAUGUGCGUAAUAGAACUUUUCUAGAAGGUUCUAUUGUAGAAAGGUACCUUGCAAAAGAAUGUACAACAUUUUAUUCUAGGUACUUGAAUGAUGUGGAAAUAAAGUAUAAUCACAAUGAUAGAAACUUUGUUGGUUUCAACACUAGAGGAGAUGAAAGGGGUUAUCUUUAAACAUAUUGGACAUGCAUUGGGAAAGCCCAUAUUUCAUUAACUUAGUUCAAAAGAGUGGUCACAAGCACAUUUAUAUGUGUUGACAAAUUGCGAAGAUGUCAUACCAUUCAUUGAGUAAAAAAUUUAUUUGAAUUUUAAUUAAAGCUCUAGUUUAUAUCCUUAAUCAAUGUUUUUUAAAUUCACAAGGAGCACAAGCAAACCAUCAAGGCUAGACCACAUAUACGUGUUUGAGACGUAGAUUUAAUUCAUAACAAGGAAUUUAUCAAGUGGUUUGAAAGACAUGUAAGUAUAUUCCUUAUUAUAAGGGAUUUAUUUCACAUUAUGUUUAUAUUGAAUCCAAACCUAUUAUUGAAUUGUAGGUUGAACAAUUACAUAAUGAAGGUCAUAUAUCUGAACACCUUCUCACAUUAUCAUGUGUUCCAAAUUCAUUAGUUACAUGCUUCAAAUGAUAUAUUGUCAAUGGAUUUAGAUCCCACAUUAAAGAACGUGAUAAAAAAGUUUUUAAAAAAAGACUCAGAAUAAUGGAAUUGUUGUAGUUGCAAAAACGUCAAGCUUUACAAGUGCAUGUGAUAUGAGUCCAAUUAUUAGUGAUGCUCUCUACUAUGGUGUUCUAACUAAAGUUGUUGAGUUACAUUAUCUUGGUGAAAAUAAGGUUGUUUUAUUCGAGUUUGAUUGGUGGGAUGUUACAAAUAUUGGAAAAUUGAUAAAAGAUGAUGAGUACAAUUACACAUUUGUUAACUUUGCAUGAAUUCUAACCACGAACGAACGAUUUGUACUUGCAUCUCCAGCAAAGUAAGUGUUCUAUGUGAAGAAUGCGAAUGAAUCAGAUUGGCAUACUAUCAUGGAGAUGCAACCUCAAGACCUCUAUAAGAUGAACGGGAUAGGAUCCAAUGGUGAUUUUGAACCAUUUCAACAAAGUGAACUACAUGAUCACUAAUAUAUCUCAGAUUUAGUUGAUGAAGAUAUAAUCAAGUGGAACAAAAGUGAUGUUUUAGGACUAAUCAUCCUAAAAAAUAUUGUAGUUUCUUAAAAAAAAAAUGAAAAUGAAGAAGAUAAUUGAACCUUUGUCAUACUUUAAAAAGCAACUAUGCAUUGUUCAUUUUGUAUGUUUUGGUUUUCUUCAUUUAAUUUCCUGAUUUUUGUGAUUCAAUGUCAUAUUAUUGAUCUUGAAAUAUUUUUCUAAUUUUUCAUUCUACGAUGGUUUCAACAAGGAUGACAUCAAGUCAAAAAAGGAAAUGUGGUCCCACACACAAUAUUGCAUUACAGGGAUUAAGGUCAGGGAAGAAGGUAAAAGUUGCAUUUAAUGAGUACAAUCAAUUGGUUAAACAGAAAAAUGGAAAACACUUAUCGAGCUACAUAGGGACACUUGUAUCUAACCAACACAAUGUACCUCUCCAAGCUAGUGAUUGGAAAAAUGUUCCAAAUGAUGCAAAAGAGAAAGUAUGGCCUUUGUUUUGGUAUGUUGUAUUUCUCACUAUAUGAUGUCAUUUCACUGUUAUUCUAUUUUGUGACUAACGUUUGAAUCAUAUGUAAGAAAAAUUUGAAGUAGAUAAAGACUGAAAAGAUUACAUGUUGGGUAUAGCCUCAAAUAAAUAUAGAAGCUAUAAAAAUAUGAUGAAUGCAAAAUACUAUGACCCUUGGCAUAAGGAUGCAUGAGGAGAGGUUAAUACAUAAAUCACCAUUUGUCUCUGAUGUUGAUUGGAAGUGGCUUGUCUCUGAUGCAUAAACCAAAUCCCCCACUGAAUGUUUGAUAUUUGAUAGCAGGAAAAACACACCCGCAGCUAUACACCUCCAUCAUUCAGAUAAUUAUAGUGGGGGAGAUGAUUCAUGGUUGCCCUUAUACCCUUUAUUUGCACCAUCUAUUGAGAUUCUUUAUCAUGGCCAGGUUUUACUGCAGCAAUAAGAUAUGGUGGCAACAAUUUUAUCUAUAGGUGCGGUUCCAGACCGCCUCCAUAGGUGCGGUUCCUGACUGCCUCCAUAGGUGCCUCUUCUUGUAAUGUUUGUUCUGGGAAUUACACUUGAAAGCCUUAUCGUGAUAAGGGAUUACAAACACUAGUUCAGAGGACAGCCAUGUUAAACUUCCACUAUGUUUGUGUCACAUUAUCAGCAGCCUAGUGUUUAUUGGUCAUGCUAUCUGCAACUAAUAUAACCCGGUGAACUUCAAUCUAAAUUCUGAAAGUACUCAUGUGACAGAUGGUGCCUUUCAGCAGAUAUCAUCAAUUUAAAAGUAGUGUGUGUGCCUAUAGGUGGGAAGGCCUUGGCAAAUGUUCAGUAUUCCGGUAAUUCAAGAAGGAUAUAUCUAAAAUAGAUUUUCUUCUUGCCCAUUUCAAUAGUUAAAAUUUGAGAAGAUUGUGUCCACAUCACACAAAUAUUAUUGGUCCUUCUGUUGCAAUUUACCUCUGAACAUGUCUUCCAAUUCCCACGGUCCUGUUACUCCAGGAAAACUAUUUCGGUCAUAUUGAAAAAAAAAAUAUUAAAGAAGGUACACAUGCUUUUAAGUGGACUGGGGCAUUCAUAUCAGGUGGUCUGUAUCCACAUAUGCCACUUCGUGAAAGGUGGAACAGCCUAAUCACUAGGCUAUUUAGUGUGGCCCAGCCACGUUAAUCAAGCACAAGUCUUCAUACUUAAAGUCAAAUGGUGUCUUUAGUCUCAUUACACAUCGCUAUUUGAAGAUUAACUCAUCACUAGUGUAAUGCGAUUAAGACAGUCCUAACUCAAUAUUUGUUCUAGUUUUGGAUGCAAAUGCUUGCUGGUUUCAUCAUUGGAUGGGAUAAAGGUGCAAUCAGGACUAUGAAUACGUGCAGUAAUACUUCAUUCUCUUUUUUCUCAAUGAGACUUCUUGGCACAAUUUUGCUGCUCAGCAACCUACCUUUCCAUGGAAAAUCAGUUGUGACUGAUAGUAAUGGAUAUAUUCUAGAAAGCUAAACAUAGAUAGCAUUCAAUAUUAUCGAUAUAACAUUAACAGCGUAUGUCUCAAUGCUCAUCAGCUACAAGCAAUGGACAAACACUUUGAGUAACUCACAGCAGUCAAAAUUCCUAAACAGGACAGACGUGACAGAUCUAUAUAUAGAACACUGCAUAUGAGUCACAGGAAAAGAUAAUACGGGUACAUAGAAGCUCUUAUUUUACAUAUUACUCAUACUGAUCAAAGUCGCUCAGUUGGGAUGGAUGGGAGAAGGAGGUUUGAGGGGUGGCUUGUGCGGGGAAGUUGGCAGCUUCUUUCCGGGAGCUGGUUGCUUCUUUGCUGGAGUUGAAGGAGGCUUAAUCUUCCGAGGUGGCUUGUAUGAGUCUUCAGCAUUCUCAGCAGGAGGGUGACCAGGGUUGUGACCAUAAUGUGGUGGCUUCUCUCCCUUAGGUGGUUUGCCAACUGGGGUUGGUGGCUUGUUUUCUGGGAGUGGCUUCUCUCCCUUGGGUGGUUUGCCAACUGGGGUUGGUGGCUUGUGUUCUGGGAGUGGCUUCUCCCCCUUGGGAGGUUUUUCGAAUGGGGUGGGUUUGUGUCCUGGUGGUGGCUUCUCUCCCUUGGGAGGUUUACCAAUUGGGGUCGGUGGCUUGUGUUCUGGGAGGGGCUUCUCUCCCUGGGGAGGUUUAGUGGGUGGCUUGUGUUCUGGAGGUGGCUUCUCCACCGGAGGCUUAUGCUCUGGUGGUGGCUUCUCGAAGGGGGGAUGCUCAGGGUAAUCACCAAGUGAGGGGGUGGUGAGAACCACCAUGCCAAGCAACAACACUAGCAAGUAUGUAGUAGACAUCUUUGGGUUUGGACUCAGACAGUGCAAAACUACGAGAAAUCGCUAGCCCUUUAUAGCGGCUCGGACCUAAUACUGACAUAAUAUAAAAUAAAUAUUAUAUUUUAUCAAGAGAGAACAGAGUGUAAUUUUAUCAUUAAUACCGAUCGAGGCCAAAGAAAGAAGACCCAUAAUCCAUUUCCCACAAGCAUACACAAUGCAGCUGUAAUUUUAUCAUUUACUUUUAUCCCUUGGACCACUGCAUUUUUGUUGAGAGACACAAUAACACAUUUUUAUCUGUCAUUCAACAUUUACAGUAAAGAGAGGGCACAAAACGCAAUUAGAUAAAUUAUGUUUUGCCUGCUAAAAAGAGGCAAAUAACUUUAUUUGCAACAUAAUUAUUUUGGUUUCUAGUGACCCCGGGGCCUUUCGGUUGGUUUGGGAUCGGAAAAUGAACAUCAUAGGGGGGGUUGUGCCCUUAUGGGCAUAUAUAUCUGAUAGCUUCAACUGGCCUUGUUCCUAGAAAGAAAUUGCCAAAGAUAUAAACUUAUUCCAGGCUGAAAGUAGAUGAGAGUCAUAAUGAACAUCAACCUUUGUUCAGUUUGAUUCAAUGCCCCCAUAGUGUUCAUUUCACAGAUCUGAAUGAUUAUAUCCGUUGAAUACAUAAAUUAAUGAAGACAAAUAUGAAACCCAAGAUACAUCUCUGCAUAACAACCCCAACCCUGGUUGCUAUGUUUCCCUUCUUCUAUUCACAUGAGGAUACUGGUUAUAAUUGUCAAACUUGCAACAAGCCCUUUGACACCUAACGUCAAUGGACGAAUUAAAAGUCUCCUUCAAACGUCUAUUUCACAGCAUGAAGCUUAUAAAGGAUGCUGACAACCUUCAGAGUUAGCGACAAAAGAUAAUUAUCAAGGAGAGAUAGUUCCAUGAGAAUUCCAAGGAGUCUGAAUCAAAGACAAAUUGCUCACUCAAGGGUUCUUAUUUUCUUUUAGGUACAAAUCUCUUGAGUGUUGUUAAAGAAACACGUCACUGUCAUUUUGAUUUGCAUUUAACAUUUCACUUUUGUUCUGGAAGGUUUGUUCCGGAAACAUAUCAAAUGAGCAUCAUUUUCUUCUUCGGUGACACAUGGUCGCGAGUACGUGGGUCCAUUUUCAUGCCACUUAGUUGAAAAGUUGGAAAGAAAAAACAUGCCAACAAGAAGAUAGUGAGAGAAGGGGCACUUCAAGCCUUUAACAUGAACAAACAGUAAAUAAAAGAUGUUUCUCCACUCAUAAAAGUGUGUUAGAUAGCAAUAUAACGAAUCACAUCCAAAAUCUUUACUAGGCUCAAACAUAAAGAAGACUCAUUUUUAAGAAAAGAUAAAAAUGGCAUUGUCUGAUAGUAUCCAAUACACGAGAUGGCACUUAAUUUGUACAAGAUCUGUCAAUGCUGACGCACAUUUUCUGAUUAAAAAAAAACUGAUCAGUCAAAAGCAAUGAAGAGAAGUGAUGACAAUGAAUGAUGCUUCCAAUAUUUUCACCCCUUAUAGUGUUCUUCAUGAUUCAGAUAUAUAAUUGGAAAUAGAACAACCCUAUGCCAUACAUUCGUCUAAGUAUGGUGUCUAAUUUUUUGUGUCAGCGGUUGCGAAUGGAGCGUGCAAAAGUCCAAAUUGGCGUCUCUCCAUUUCCACAUAGGAAGGUGACCUUUAUUGACAAAUACCCAAUAUUUGUAGACAUUCCUUAAAUAUCAUAACUUCUUGUUGAUUUGAAAAUCAUUUUUCAACUACCAUGUUUUAAUAAAUAUUUUUUAAAAUGUAUUUUUAUCAAAGUCCACCAUGAUGGAUAAUAUUCACCAUGCAAUAAUUAAUAAAGUACAAACUAAGCGAAAUGAAAAGCAUUUUCUUUGCUUUGAGUUGAUUUUGGUUGCAUUGAGUUGAUUUUGGUUUCAUGGUUUUUUCAACUCUUAUUUUGAUUGGAAGAUGUCAAGAAAAGAAAACAUAAAGAAAAAUUAAAAGGGAAAAAAGAAGAAAAAUAAAAAAAAAUAGAUUUAAAAGUUAAUAAAUUAUUUUUUAUAUUUAUUUUAAUUCAUUUCACUUAUUUUUCUUUUACUAUAUAAAAUUUAAAUAAUUUAAAUUUUAUAAUUAAUUUAAUUACAUUUCAUUUUCUUCUAUAUUUAAAUAUUGGAAAAAUAUUUUACUUAAUAUUUUUUUCUUUAAUUUCUUUGGCAUUUUGGGAACCAAACUUAGCCUUUAAAAUAAAAAACAAAAAAAAAAUGAAAAUAAGGAGGGAAAAGUGAGAAAAGAUAAAAACAAUAUGUAAAGGAUUUGAAAAGUAUUAGUUUGUAAUUACUAUUUGGAUUUCAAUAGUAUUUUAUUUGUCUUUCUAUAUUUCAUGUAAGAGAGAAUUUAAGAUAUUCCCCAAGGCAAAGCAUUAGUUACCUGCAAUCAGUGGUGAUAAGGCUCCAAGCCAAUUUUGGGCCCCAUAUCUUAAGACAGUACAAUUUCCAUUUCAACAUUUCUGAUUUCUCAGAUGUUUCACAUACCACAGAAGAACAUUGUUUGUGAAAAUAUGCAUUUAUGUUGGAUUUUGUAUGCUGUGGGGACUGGGGCAAGGAUCAUAUGGAAGAGUGGUUGACUUUUUCUGUACUUUAACGGUUGAAAUAGGAUAAGCACGGGCAUUUGUGAGGCUUAAUUGAUUUUGAAGCCUGAAAUUGCGUUUCUGUCAUUUUGUCAAAAAAAUGGCAGAUUCCAUACUCAUAUGUUUGGCCUGUGGCCAUGUACAGAUGCCAUUUAGUGACCAGUUUGUAACUGUCAAUCGUUGCGUUUUGACUCUGCCUCAACAACAUCUGCCAUUGACGGGUUUUCAUACUUGCAAAUCAAAUAGUCUUUCGUCCCAUCAGGAAUUUCGGUUUAAAUAUUAUUAAGCAUACGUUUGGCUGACAAUCAUUAUCCAGUUCAUGAUUUGGUUUCUUACCCUUAAUCAAUGGUUUCUAAGUGAAUAUAUGUAGAAGGAAAUCCGAAGUGUAGACAGUAGUAUCGAUAACUCUCAAUAUUCUCUAUAUAAUAGAAUAAACAGCGUCAUAGUGAUCGUCGCCUACAAGCAAGGUACAAAUACCAAAACGAGUGACUCACAUAGACAUCUCCCAACAAGAUGUAGUAGUGACUGACACAUGGACACAAUUAACUCGUAGAAAAGGAUAAGACCAUUGCACAGCAGCUCUUAUUUUACAUACUACUUAUGCUAACCAAAGUCAAUUAGUUGGGAUGGGUGGGAGAUGGAGGUUUGUGCGGUGGCUUGUGGGGCGGAGUUGAUGGCUUCUUUCCAGGAGCUUCUGGCUUUUUCAUCGGAGCUGAAGGAGGCUCAAUCUUAUGAGGCGGCUUGUAUGAGUCUUCUUUACUCUCGACAGGAGGGUGGCCAGGGUUGUGAUCAUAAUGUGGUGGCUUCUCUCCCUUAGGUGGCUUGCCAACUGGGGUUGGUGGCUUGUGUUCAGGAAGUGGUUUCUCUCCCAUGGGAGGUUUAGCAAUUGGGGUUGGUGGCUUGUGUUCUGGGAGUGGCUUCUCUCCCUUGGGAGGUUUAGUAGGUGACUUGUGUUCUGGAGGUGGCUUCUCCACCGGAGGCUUGUGCUCCGGUGGUGGCUUCUUGGUUGGAGGGGGCUUGGGGUAAUCAGCAAGAGAUGGGGUGGUGAGAACCACCAGUCCAAGGAACAACACUAGCAAGUAUGUGGGAGACAUUUUUGAGUUUGGGCUGAUCAGAUGAUGCAAAACUAAAGCAUUACGUGACCUUUUAUAGCAUGUAGCUCCCAAUACCCACUAAGUAUUGUGGGGUCCAUUUGUGCCCUACGGGGUUGAAAACUUAGACAAUUGGGCAAGGACCCACCUGACUAUGGAGGACUAGUGAGGUGUGAUCAUAGCUUUAGGAUUUUUCUUCCUCUGCAGCCGUCGUGCCGUUGGCAUGAUUUUCUUAAUCUUAAAUAAAGGCAUAGUUAUAGAGUUGUUUAAUCUCUAAAUGGGAUUUUAUAUAUAUCUUCAGAUAGCCAUUAAUAUAUUUGAUGAAGAAAGAAAGACAAGUGCAUACAACAUGUAUACGACUAGCUUUCAUGGAGUUCAUUUAUGAUCAGUUUUCCUGUACAUGUAAACCAGGAUCAUAUAUAUGUUUCUGUUCCACAACUAUUUUGGAAUCUUGUUUAUCAGUUUUUAUCAUUAUAAUGUCACAUAGGCUGCCAACUUGGGCGCUAAAAGAACCAGUUGGGCUAGUUCGUUUCAGAAUUUCAAUGUGGAUUCAGGAAUUGUUUUGUAAGAUAUGCGAAAUAGUAGAGGGAUGAAUAGUGUUUCAUUAAUAAAAGUGUCCUGUAAAUUAGAAGGUGUCAUAGAAACUAUAAUCAAUAAAUAACUUUUUUUCCCCACGGGUGGUGUUUCUUGUGGGGAUCAGUGACUGGUUUAGGUUCACCCAAAAUGAGUUCAGACUAAAAUUGGUUUGAGUCAAUGCCGUGUCUCUUUUUUCCAGAAAUCAACUAUUUUAUGCAUUGAAUAAAUCAUACAAAGAAAAUAUGAACGCCCGCAAAACCUAAACCCUGGUUGCUAACUUUCUAUGUUUCAGUUCUAUUCACGCAAGAAUAUUAGUUUAAGUUUGGGAAAAAUGGCAACUUACCUAGUGAUUACUUGGUUUUGGUUUGCGACUAUUUACGCAACCAACCAUGAGUUUGACUUUAACGUCAUGGGUUGAAGCCUCCUACAGGAAGGGAGAAAGCUCCACAGCUAGCUCCAAAAGAGAAUUAUCACAUUGAUAGCUCCAGAGAUUCCCAAGGGGACUGAAUCAAAGACAAGUUCCUCACUUUUUCUUCUUUUGAGGCCAAAUAUGAACCAAGGAUCACACAACCUCAUUCAACUUCAUAAGUUUGAUUUCAUGCAGUUGAACACUGGGUGAAGGCCAUGACAAGAAUUGAUUCAAAAAUUCUAUCACUCUUUUAAGUAAUGGAAGAUUAUUAUCUCUGAUUGGCAUCACAACAGCACAUGCUCCUAGAUCUUUCUAGACACUCCAUGCAAUGAAAGCACAAUGGAUCUUGUAACGAUAGAAACUAAGCCAUGCUACAGUACUAGAUGAUGAGGUAAAACUAGUAGACACGGGUGGCAGCCUAUAUGGGAGGGACACAAGUCUAAUUGAUUUGCAUUUCAGCAUUAUAGAUAGGUAUGUUUUGGAAGAUUUGUUCUGGAAAUACCGCACCAAGUAGGAUUCUUUUUCUCUUUAGUGGGUCCACUUGCAUGCCAAUUAACGAGUUGAAAAGUAUGAGCACCUACCUCGUGCUCGUGGAACCGAAGGUCAGUGAAGUGGGGCUCCUUUUGGCCUCGUGUAAACUUGAUUCAGAAGUGAAGUUAAUAGUCUUCCAUUCAGAUGGAUACAUGGGAAUUUUUCUCUUUUAUUUAUUUAUUUAUUUUUUUUUUGUGUGUGUAUGUCAAAGGAUAAUGAAUGAAGCGCGUUAGCUUGUUUUCUGACUGGAACCGCAGAUGUCCAAAUUGGAGUUCCUUCAUUUCUUACUUAGGAUUGUUACAUGUAUAAACAAGGUAUAAGAAAUAUGCCAACGUGUCUUGAGGAGUUAUUGAUUAGAAAUAACAAGUCACCCGACUGUAGAGUUCCAAGAUUUGAAUCUUCAGACCCUAUAGCAGCCUCUGGGGUACGUGGCAUCCUAUAGCAUAUUAAUGAAGGCUUUUUCGAUUUAGACUUCACAAUACCAAUUAAUAUGUAUGCACAAAAUGGAGAUGACCCCAAAAAAAACAGAAUCGCCAUAGUUUAUGAGGUUAAGGUGAUUCUCCACUUAAUAUCUACAUUAGCUAAUUAUGUAAAUCAAAUGAACUUCUAUUUUUCCUUUUUUUUUUUGGUUUAUGUCAAAUAGUAGCCCAUAAUUAACCCAACCAUUAGCCUGUUUGAAUUGAUUUCACAUGCACAAUGUUGUAGUAGUUCAUAUUUUGAAUUUUAUUUUUACAAAGGUAGUUAAGGAAAAUGAAGUAUAAUAAUUAUAAAAGCAGACUAUAUACACUACAAUAAUUGUUAGAAUGGUAUCUCAAAUUCUAAUUUAAAAUAUUAUUUUUUGUAAAAGAAAUAUUAUAUAGAAUAUUUCCUAAUUUUAUAAAUGAUUAUAAUUAGAUCUUUAUAAAAUAAGGAAAGUUGGUAAGAAUAUCUUUAUAAAUAUUUUAGGUCAUGAGAGAAAGAAAUGGGAUAAAAAUGUGAUGAAGAGGUGAAAUAAGAGAGUUGAUUAGGAUAUAGAUGUGAAGAAGAAAGGGAUUCAAUAUAUAUAUAUCUUUCAAUUACCACAUUAAAACCCUGUGAACCUUUUAUAUGGUUUACUUUAUUUUUAUAUUCCUCCUUUAAUAUAUUUACAUUAAUGCUUCCAUUGGCACAACAAUAACGAAUUACAAAUACAAGCAACAAGUCCCAUGUUUUAUUACCAAAAGCAGGUAAAAUCCACCUAAUAUAUUACAAUAUAUUCAUCCAAUAUUUUAGACCAAUUCUUCACCAUAAAUAUCAUAAUGUGGCUUUUGUUCUUUCUUAAAUUUAAAUUGAAUUGUCUUAUAUCAAUUUGUUUGUGAUUUUUUCAUUAACUUCACUUUCAUUUGGUUAUCUUUGGUUUUUGAAAAGUAUUAAGGAAUUAAUUAACAAAAUAAUGUUAAGAAAAAUAAUUUUCUCUCUUUUGAUUUUGAUUUUGUAGUAGAAAAAUAUAAUUAAAAUUAUUUAAAAAGUAUGUAAUUUUAAAUUAUUUAAUAUUUAGAUAAAAAAAAUAAGUCUAAUGAGUUUAAAAUAACAUAUAAAAAUAAUUUAUUUAUUUUAAAUUUAUUUUUUAUUUUCCAUUAUGUUCUCUUUCUCUUUUACUUUUUCAUAUUUUUUCUUACGAAGAAUCAAACACAACCUCAUAUUAUAUGUCAAGUGUUUGUCUAUAUUUGAGCAAUGUUAGAUACGGCCAUGGAUUCAUCAAACUAAACUGAUUUUAAUAGAUACUUCACAAAUUGAUUUAUACACUAAAUCAUUGGAUAGCAAUGAUGCAUUGGAAUUAAACGUAGGAUGAAGCUCGAAGAACACUGUUUGUGUAACAACAUAUUUAUGAAAUUAUGCAAAGGAUGAGCUUCGGGGUAGUAGUACAAGGUCAUUAAUGGAGAGCCGUGUUAAACCUUGAUUGUGAUUGGAUUCCGUUAUCAGCAACAGCAACCUUGUUUGUAACCUUGAAAGUCAUUCUGUCCACAUCGAAACUCCAAUUUGACGUUUGUAAUUACCAUUCCUGGAGUGUUCCUUGAUUGAAAUUUAAAUAAUAAUUGCGGCCCACAAGGAAUAUUUUCGAUUCUGUGGGAAUUUGACAAGGUUUGUUAGAGAAGACUGGUGACAUGUUGACUUCAAUGGUUCAAAUAGGAGACGUAUGUGGAUUUGGGGGGUUUAAUUGAAACUGAGUCCCUAUGGCUUUUUAAUAUUUGCAUUGAGCAGUCUCCAUGUGACUUCCUAAUUCCCACCAACCCUCCUGUCCAUGCUGUGAAACUAAAUUGUAAUUUAUCAGCCUUUGUCAAUGGUUUCUAAAUUAAAGAUAUAGACCAUGCAUGUACUUUAAUAAAAGCAAAUCUAAAGUGUAGAUAGCAGCAAUGGUGACACCCAAUAUUCUCCAUAAAAUAGAAUUAGAAUAAGCAGUGUUACAUUGUUCAUGAUCACCUACAAGCAUACAAGAACUUCCAUGAAUAACUCAUAGCAAUUGCCAACAGGGCGUCGUAGAGACUCAUACAUAGAACACUAUCCACCCAGAGGAAAGGACAAGACCAGUGCGCUGCAGCUCUUAUUUUUCACAUGUAUACCACCACUCGUAAUAACCAAAUUCACUCAGUUGGGAUAGGUGGGAGAUGGUGGUUUGUGGGGUGGCUUGUGGGGAGGAGUUGGAGGAGGCUUUAUUUUCUGAGGCGGCUUGUAUGAGUGUGCAGGAGGAUGCCCGGGAGUGUGACCAUAAUGUGGUGGCUUCUCUCCCGUAGGUGGUUUGCCAAAUGGGCUUGGUGGCUUCUCUCCCUUAGGAGGUUUACCAAUUGGGGUUGGUGGCUUGUGUUCUGGGAGUGGUUUCUCUCCCUUGGUAGGUUUGCCAAUUGGGGUUGGCGGCUUAUGUUCUGGGAGUGGCUUCUCUCCCUUGGGAGGUUUGCUAAUUGGGGUUGGCGGCUUAUGUUCUGGGGGCGGCUUCUCUCCCUUGGGAGGUUUGCCAAUUGGAGUUGGCGGCUUAUGUUCUGGGAGUGGCUUUUCUCCCUUGGGAGGCUUGCCAAUUGGGGUUGGCGGCUUAUGUUCUGGGGGUGGCUUCUCUCCUUUAGGAGGUUUGCCAAUUGGAGUCGGCGGCUUAUGUUCUGGAAGUGGCUUUUUUCCCUUGGGAGGUUUGCCAAUUGGGGUUGGCGGCUUAUGUUCUGGGGGUGGCUUCUCUCCCUUGGGAGGUUUGCCAAUUGGAGUCGGCGGCUUAUGUUCUGGGAGUGGCUUCUCUCCCUUGGGAGGUUUUGUUGGUGGCUUGUGUUCUGGAGAUGGCUUCUCCCCUGGAGGCUUGUGCUCCGGAGGUGGCUUCUGAAAUGGCGGGGGCUUGGGGUAAUGAGCAAGAGAUGGAGUACUGGUGAGAACCACCAUUCCAAGCAACAAUACUAGCAAGCAUGUGGGAGACAUCUUUGAGUAGUUGUAGCUAAGAUGGCGCAACACUGUAGGCAUUGGGUGGCCUUUUAUAAAGGGCUGGACCCAACAGCCAUAUGACACGUGUCAUGAUGACAAAUGAAGUUGAGGGGAUCCAGAUGGGUCCUACUGAGUCGAAAACUUGCACUAAUUGAUCUGGUGAGAUGACUAUUUCUGUCCUUUUGCCCUUCUCGGCCACCCUGUGCUGUUUUCCUUUUGCACGAUUUUCGUUGCCAAACAAGCAAAUAAUAUUUCGCCAAGAAAGAGGAGAGUGAAUGUGGAAUGCAUCAAGUCCCAUCAAGGAUGGCAGAGAAGAAAUAGAAGAUUGCCCAACUGUGAUAAACAUAGCAUACACGUAGCACCAGGAACUUCAUUUACUUCCAUCUAAUGGAACAUAACAAUCUUCUAAAGUUUUUGCAUGAUUUUGUUAUAUGUCUCUUAGCCUAAAGUUGGAAAUGCGCAACAAAUUUUGUCACUUCUCUAUUUCCCACUGAUGAUGUUAAUUAGCCUUCAUAGAUAUCAUCCUUUCUACAAAGUGCUUCAUUUGUGUGUUAUUGUAAAGUGUAAGAAAAGUAAUUGAACAUGUUCUUUUUCCUUUCAUAGAUGACUUUUGAUGUGCAUUUUAAAAGCAGCGCUGUGAGUCGGUGACCUUGAUUCACACGGAAACUAAGGCUCCUAUAGGACCCACUUUUAGCUGGUUAGGGGUGAAGAAAAUAUCAACUUUUCAGAGUGAUUUAAGUCAAGGCCAAGCCUCACUGUGUCAUUACUCGUGUGAAUUUUAUAUGCACAUACAUACAUAAAUAAAGUAUGAGACCCAAAUAACACCUUCCCUUUACAAACUUAACCCCAGCCGCUCUCUUUCAAUUCUUUUCACACAAGGGUAUUGACUCUAUAAAGGUCAAGAAAAUCAUAAUUUCCUAGGGUUUACAAGGUAAUUGGCUUAAUGCUAAUGUGAAAACAUAAAAGAUAAUAGUAUAUUGUAAGCUAACGAAUAUUCUAUAGUUAUAAUUAUUUGUGAUGUGCAUAAAUAAAUCUUCAUAUAUAUAAUGGAACAAUGAAUAAAGAACCAAUGAAAAAAUACUAUAUAUCAUUGCUUGGCAUUUAAACCGUAUAUGCUGCUCUUUCUAGCUACUCCAUCCACUGAAAGACAACAAGGUAAUCCAUGUUAUAAUGAUAGAAGAUACUGUCUCUAGGCUUUUUGUGAUGAAAAAUAUAAGAUAUGGGUAGGGUUGACCCUUGUAUGUUUGUCCUAUAAACACUUCAAAGUAACAUAUUUUUCUUCUUUAGCAACUCAUAAUGAUGGGGUUCAUUUGCAUGUCACUGAGUUGAAAAGUUGGACAAUUGCCCAUGUCGCCUUCCUCCUAGAUUCCGUAGUUCACGGGAAGGUAACUCAAGUUUGACAUAUUUUGAAUUCUUUUCACUCGGACGUCUUCAUAACCUGACAAAACAAAAAUGAAAAACAGAGGAUUGGUAUAUUAUUCAUGGUAAGCCUCAAAUUAUAGUAGUAUGAGAAAGGAGAAAAAGAUUUUGGGAACUCCAAUCUGGAUAAUUCUCGUUUCUUCUCUUGAAUAAAAAUUUCACUUACCUAACUUCGUUUGGAGAAAUGGCAUAUUUUAAUUUUGUACGUCAUUGCUAAUAAAUGGAGCAAUUUAGCAUGUUUUGUGACUGAAACUGCAAAUGUCCAAUUGGCAUUUCUUCAUUUCCCACUUAGGAUCUGAUCUUGUAGACCAUAUAACGAUAUGUAUCUGUGCAAGCAUUGAAAACUAAUGUGAACUAUGAGGAGUUACAAGCCACUGGACUGUAGAGCGAGUGCCAAGAUUUAAAUCUUCAGGCUCUAUCUGGGUAAGGGGAGGAUAGCGACCUAACCUUUUACCAAAGGCUUAGAAUUUAGACUUUUGGAAAAAAAUUUCUCAUGUUUUGGCUGGAUUUCUUGUGCUUGGCGCAAAAAGGAGAUGGCCUCAAGAAAUAGCAGACUCACUUUUGUUUUCAGCCCUUAAUAAUUCUCCACUGCUUUCCAUAACUACAUGGGUUAUACAUGCAGUCUGCUGCAAUAUUCCAGUUAUAUUUAUUAUUUCAAAGAGGGUGAAUGACUUCACAUGCAAUAUGUUGCAGUAACAACCCAAAUUUUGGCACACCAUCUUAAGAAUAGAAAAGUAUAAUAAAAGAAAUCAAUCAGAGAAUCACUUUGCAUGCAGUUCAUAGAGUUCGCCCAAAAUGGAGCCACAUGUACGGACAACCCCACAAUAGACAAUCUUCUCUAUACAGUAAUAAAAUACAGAAAUGGUUAAUGAAGCUCUGUAUUUCCUUAUCAUAUAUGACCGGUUGAAAACUCAGCAAGUCUUCCUCAAUCACAGACAGUUGGAGUUGCUUCAUCAAAAUCAUGCCUUCAUUACUGGCUUCAUUUUGGUUUCAAUGUCUGUUCUACCCUUAAAUUGGGUCUCUGCUUACUACCGGGAUAUCCUUUAGCGUCCUGCAAUUCUACUAGAUUAAAGAGAAUGACUUAAUUCUGCAUUCUGCCGUCCCUAGUCCAAGUGGUACUAGAAUUGAUGUUUCCUUUAGUGUCCUUUCUUCAUACUUUCAGGUUCUUCCCUUGUUUCAAUAAUGCUGUUUUCCUUCAUGUUUAACCUCUGUUGAACCACUUAAAACAACACAAUUUGCACACCAAUGUUUCUUUACAGAAAAGACUGUUUGCAAAAAUGCACAUGUUAUAAGGUUAAUGGAAGAAUUAAUUUGGGGAUAAGGGACUAGGAUUGGGCCAAUGAAGUUUGGUGUUAAAUUUUGAUUAUGAUUGCUUUUCAUUAUCAGGUACCUUAUAUUUGCUGAUGCUAUCUGGAACUAAAUUCAAAUCAGACAUUAUCCGAUUACUAACAGGACAUAUCAUGUCCCUCUGCAGAGUUUCUAAACUAACAUGUAUCGAAAUGUGGCCCCAAAAGGAAGGCUAGGAAGAUGGAGGAUUUUGUAGGAAUCGACCAGAAUCAGAUGGAAGAGAGAUAGUCCUGUUGACUUUAAUGGUUGUGAUAGGAACAUGCAUCAUUAUAUGAGAAGUUGCAUGAAUUUAUGUAUCCUGUUAUCGUUCCUUGACGAUUUCCCAAUGCAAUUUCACUGUCCACAAGACUAACCUCUCCAUGCAGUCAAAUGAAUUGUAAUUUCUCUAUUGGUACCAGUAGUACAUUUCAUACCAAACAUAUAGUAAAUAUAAAAUAUAAAUAGAUCAAGGAAAUCUGAAUUGUAGAUAGCACUGCAAGUAACACUCAAUAUUCUCUAUAUAUAAUAAAAUAAACAGUGUCACAAUACUCAUCACCCAGUGGCAAGGGAGAAAAACCUACAAUGAGUACUCAAAUCACCAUUCUCAAACAGAAACAUAGCAGUGACUGAUACAUAGAACCUAUAUGCUCACAGGGAAAGAAUAAGAUGACCAGUGCACAGCGGGCAGCAGCUCUUAUUUUACGUACAACUCAAAUCCCAAACUAACCAAAGUCGCUCAGUUGGGAUGGGUGGGAGAUGGUGGUUUGUGGGAUGGCUUCUGGGUAGGAGCUGGUGGCUUCUGUCCCUUUGGUGGUUUGCCUAAUGAGCUUGGUGGCUUGUGCUCCGGGAGUUGUUUCUCUCCCUCGAGUAGGUUUCGAGUCUUGUCAGAUGGCUUGUGUUCUGGUGGUGGCUUCUCUCCCUGGGGUGGUUUGCCGAAUGGGCUUGGUGGCUUGUGUUCGGGGAGUGGCUUCUCUCCCUGGAGAAGGUUACGAGUUUUGUCAUAUGGCUUUUGUUCUGGUGGUGGCUUCUCUCCCUGGGGUGGUUUGCCGAAUGGGCUUGGUGGCUUGUGUUCGGGGAGUGGCUUCUCUCCCUGGAGAAGGUUACGAGUUUUGUCAGAUGGCUUGUGUUCUGGUGGUGGCUUCUCUCCCUGGGGUGGUUUGCCGAAUGGGCUUGGUGGCUUGUGUUCGGGGAGUGGCUUCUCUCCCUGGAGAAGGUUACGAGUUUUGUCAGAUGGCUUUUGUUCUGGUGGCGGCUUCUCUCCCUGGGGUGGUUUGCCAAAUGGGCUUGGUGGCUUGUGUUCGGGAACUGGCUUCUCUCCCUUGGGAGGUUCAGUUGGUGGCUGCUGUUCCGUAGGUGGUUUCUUCACCGGCGGCUUGUGCUCCGGAAGCGGCUUCUCUACCUGGAGAAGCUUACGAGUUUUGUCCGAUGGCUUGUGUUGUGGUGGUGGCUUCUCUCCCUGGGGUGGUUUGCCAAAUGGAGUUGGUGGCUUGUGUUCGGGGAGUGGCUUCUCUCCAUUGGGAGGUUUAGUUGGUGAUUGGUGUUCCGUAGGUGGUUUCUGAAGUGGGGGAUGCUUGGGGUAGUCAGCAAGAGACGAGGUAGUGAGAACCACCAGUCCCAGCAGCAACACUAGCAAGCAUGUGGAAGACAUCUUUGAGUUCAGGCUGAGAUCUGUGCAAGGAUAACAGAAUUAGGUGGCCUUUUAUAGAGGCCUGGACCCAACACCCAUAUGACACGUGUCAUGCACUCAUGGUGACACAUAAUUCUAUGGGACCAUUUGGGUCCUACAGAAGUUGCAAAGUUGGACUACUGAGGUGUGAUCACAACUUUUGUCCUUAUUGCUUUCUCUGCGGCCAUUGCACGAUUUCCUUUAGCAUCAUUUUCUUGGCUAAAUAAGCGUAUUAUAUUUGUGGCAGACCGUCCACGUGUCAUAAACAGAUAUAUUAUAAUAAUGUAGUAUGCUUUUCUCCAAUGGAACAUGACACUCUUCUAAGUCUUGUUUUAAAUAUUGUGCAGGAUUACUUUAUACGUUGCAGUUCCAAGUCAAAAUUGGUGGGCAAACGUUGGCCUUUUUUCAUUUCACCUAAGAUUAAUGCUCACCUGGGAUAGGCACUACAUGACUUAUCUGCUCUUUUACUGUAAAGUUGCUUUGUGUAUGAGAUACACCUCCCCUGCACACCCUCAACAUUCGUUGCUCUGUUUUCCUUGUGUCCAGACGAGGAUAUUAAUUGGAGGCUGACAAAACGACUGCUAGCCCAGGAUUUACAAGGUCCUGGUUUGAGGCUUCGGUGAAAGUAUUUUUGAAAAGACACACAUAGAGAUAGUGCGUUUGGUGCAAUGCAGCACUGUGAGCCAUUCUGACGCGUUCUUAAUUUCAAAACUAAUGAAUGCUUCAAAAUUUUAAGAAGUGACAUUUCCAAAUAUUUGAGUUCGUUUAAUUGAACAUUGGAUAACUAGUGAUCAUAGAUUAUUAUCUGUGCUUGGCACUAUAAGAGGGUAUAUGCUUCUUUUUCUGGCCCCUCCUUCAAGGGAGGAGGGACAAUGUGAUCUGUAACGUUAGAAGCUAUUCCAUGUCAUCUUUGGGCUCAGUUCAAAACUAAAAGAUAAUGGGGGGGGGGGGGGGGGGCAUAUCAUUUUAUAUUUCUUCUAGAAGGUUUGUUCUGGAAAUAUUUCACAGGAGCAUAUCUUUUUCUUCUAUUACGUCAUCCGCAGCCUCCAAUAGGUCGGUUAACAAGCCACCGAGUUGAAAAGUUGGAAAAAUGGGAACACAGCCCGCCUCUUGUAUUCAGUAGUUAAAUAAAAGGUCACUAGAAGUGAGAUCCCUUUUGGCGUCUUGAUUUUCAAUCCAGCACCUCUGUGACCUGACAAACCAAAAAAACUAAAAAAUAAAAAACAGUACGUGGGUUGGUGUUAAGCAUCAAGACAUGUUAAUGAAAGAAGGUAGAGAAUAGGAUAUUGAAAUCCCAAUCCUGAUAACAUGAUUUUCUUUGCUAACAACCAUAUUAUAUUUUAUCAAGAAAGAGUAAUGCAUGUGGCGUCCAUCAAGACCCAUUAGAGUUCCGCUAAAGCUAUAGUUCUGUCAACGUUAUCAUUUACGUUUCCUCUAGAUAAUGGCAUUUUCCUCUAAAGCUCUUGCACCAUUAGGCUUCAAGUCAAAAUUUCACAUGUGAACUUUGGAAAUUUUCUCCAUUUGCCCCUAAGGAUACAGUUAGAAUUGACUUAAAAUCCUGAUUGAUAUGUACUAUUAACCAAAGAAUAUUGUAUAUAAUAAUUGAAAUAUUGUUGAUUCAUCGUGGAAAUACAUUUUGUAAGGAAAGUUGUUGAGAAUUUAGUAUGCUAUAUGGAGAAAAAAGUCAUGACUUAAGGUUGUGUAUGUAUAUUCUAUAUCAAAUAUUAGGUAGGAAUGUGGGAAAGAGCAGAGUGUAAUGAUAAGAAACAAAGAAAUAUAAGAUAUUCUUGAAAGUGGAAAAUAUAAAAUGGCUAACGAGUCAAAUUUAUGAUGCGUAAGGGGGAUCAUGUCACAUAAGAAAACCAUGGCAUACUAAAGACGUACGUGUGGUAUGGAGUAAUAAUUUUGUUAAAAUAAGUUUCUUGUUGGAGUACAUUAGGUGACUAUUCAUAACGUAUCAAAUUAAAGAGUCAAGUGCAUCAAUGAAGGCAUAUGUAGAAAAUUUGUUUGUGACAUGUACCAUAAAGAUAAGAUUGACUUGAUAGAAUUUAGUCUAAGUAGGAGUUGUUAAAGGUGUCUUAAAUUUCUAAUUGAUGUAUAUUUUUUUCUAAAAAAAUAUUAUAUAGAUAUUUUAAUAAAUGAUUAAUUCUUUGUAAAAAUACUUACAUAAUAAAAAACAUCAUUAAAAAUAUCUUUAUAAAUAUUUUAAGUUACAAGAAGGAAAAAAACCACUGUGAGAUAAUGAUGAACAUGCAACACUGUACCAAGUAAAUAAAAAUGUGAUAAAAAAAAAAGAGAAACACUCGAUAAAGGAAGGCUCGUAUAUAAAGAGUAAUAUUUUUAAUCAUAUGAUAGAAUGAUUUUCUCUCAUUCAUGAAUAUAGGCAAGAUUGGGGAACCAUUAUAAAAUUUUGUACACCUCGUGUAAAUUGAUGUUUGUCUUCAUAUUUUACACCAACAAAUGACAUUGAAGUUGUCAUUGAUAAAAGGGAAAAGGCAUGCCUCCACACCAUGUGCUUGAUUCGAAUGGUUCAAGUUUGAAGAAUUUUCUCCGGAAGAUCUAAAACAUUUUCGCCUUUAAAUUUCAUUUGAUUAUUAAUAUCCGAAAAAAUAGUUAAAUACUCUUUCUAUUUUUGAGUUGUUGAAUUUUUUGAAAGUUUUUAUAUUUGUUAUCAAGAAUUUCUAUUUUAUUAAGGGUGAAUAUUUAUAAAUAAGAUAUUAUAUAAUAUUUGGAUAAGAGAGAAUGGUGGAAUAUAAUAAAGUUUUAAUCCUUCCCAAUUUUGAACCUUUUUUUUUUUUUUUGAUAUAAUCGCCUUUCUCUUGCAAUCCUAUUAUCAGGUACCUUAUAUUUGCUGAUGCUAUCUGGAACUAAAUUCCAAUCAGGCAUUGUCCAAUUACUAAUAGGACAGAUCAUAUCUCUCUGUUUCUAAACUAACAUGUAUCGUAAUGUGACCUCAUAAGGAAGGCUAGGAAGAUGGAGGAUUUUGUGGGAAGCGACCAGAAUCAGAUGGAAGAGAGAUAGCCCUGUUGACCUAAUGGCUGUAAUAGGAGAAGCGUGUGGUUUUAUGGGACUUAACUGAUACUAAACCUGUAUGAUGCUUGGAGUGGUGUUUCUUUCAUUUUGUUAAGAAAAUAUGGCAGCAUACAUGCUUUCAACUGAGUGCAUCAGAGCAUCCAUAACAGAUGGUCUGCAACCCUAGGUGCAUGCCACUUUCUGACUGAUAAUGAAAUUGUCAGGUACCUGGCCUUGACUAAGCUCAACAGCAUCACAUAAAGAGAAGCUUUCAUACUUAGAUUACUGUUUAAAGUUUUUGCUUAUUUGAUUUCUUAAUGCCAUUAUGACAUUAUUGAUUCAAUUCUGCUUCCGAUUUUCGAAGUUCUGGGCAUCUACUGAUUGCAUCAUUAUAUGAGAAGUUGCAUGAGUUUAUGUAUCCUGUUAUUGUUCCUUUGCGAUUUCACUGCUCACGGGACUAACCUCUCCAUUCAGUCGAAAUGAAUUGUAAUUUCUUUACUGGUAGCAGUAGUACUUUUCAUAGCAAAGAUAAUAGAAAAUAUGAAAUAUAAAUAGAAGGAAAUCUGGAUUGUAGAUAGCACCAUAAGUAACACUCAAUAUUCACUACAUAAUAAAUAGACAGUGUUACAUAGGUAGAGAAACCUACAAUGAGUACUCAUCACCAUUCUCAAACAGAAACAUAGCAGCGACUUAUACAUAGAACCUAUAGGCUCGCAGGGAAAGAGUAACAUGAUAAGUUCACAGCGGGUAGCAGCUCUUAUUUUACGUAUUACUCAAAAUCUCAAACUAACCAAAGUCACUCAGUUGGGAUGGGUAGGAGAUGGUGGUUUGUGGGGUGGCUUCUGGGUAGGAGCUGGUGGCUUCUUUGUUGGAGUUGAAGGAGGCAUAUUCUUCUGAGGUGGCUUGUAUGACUCUUCGGCACUCUCUGCAGGAGGGUGCCCAGGGUUGUGACCAGAAGGAGGUGGCUUCUGUCCCUUUGGUGGUUUGCCUAAUGGGCUUGGUGGCUUGUGCUCCGGGAGUUGUUUCUCUCCCUCGAGUAGGUUUCGAGUUUUGUCAGAUGGCUUGUGUUCUGGUGGUGGCUUCUCUCCCUGGGGUGGUUUGCCGAAUGGGCUUGGUGGCUUGUGUUCGGGGAGUGGCUUCUCUCCCUGGAGAAGGUUACGAGUUUUGUCAGAUGGCUUUUGUUCUGGUGGCGGCUUCUCUCCCUGGGGUGGUUUGCCAAAUGGGCUUGGUGGCUUGUGUUCGGGAACUGGCUUCUCUCCCUUGGGAGGUUCAUUUGGUGGCUGGUGUUCCGUAGGUGGUUCCUUCACCGGCGGCUUGUGCUCCGGAAGCGGCUUCUCUACCUGGAGAAGCUUACGAGUUUUGUCAGAUGGCUUGUGUUGUGGUGGUGGCUUCUCUCCCGGGGGUGGUUUGCCAAAUGGACUUGGUGGCUUGUGUUCGGGGAGUGGCUUCUCUCCAUGGGGAGGUUUAGUUGGUGGUUGGUGUUGCGUAGGUGGUUUCUGAAGUGGGGGAUGCUUGGGGUAGUCAGCAAUAGACGAGGUAGUGAGAACCACCAGUCCCAACAGCAACACUAGCAAGGAUGUUGAAGACAUCUUUGAGUUCAGGCUGAGAUCUGUGCAAGGAUAAAAGAUUUAGGUGGCCUUUUAUAGAGGGCUGGACCCAACACCCAUAUGACACGUGUCAUGCACUCAUGGUGACACAUAAUUCUAUGGGACCAUUUGGGUCCUACAGAAGUUGCAAAGUUGGACUAUUGAGGUGUGAUCACAACUUUUGUCCUACUUGCUUUCUCUGCGGCCAUUGCACGAUUUCCUUUAGCAUCAUUUUCUUGUCUAAAUAAGCGUAUUAUAUUUGUGGCAGACCGUCCACGUGUCAUAAACAGAUAUAUUAUAAUAAUGUAGUAUGCUUUUCUUCAACGGAACUUGACACUCUUCUAAGUCUUGUUUUAAAUACUGUGCAGGAUUACGUCAUAAGUUGCUUGUUCCAAGUCAAAAUUGGUGGGCAAACGUUGGCCUUUUUUCAUUUUCCCUAAUAUUAAUGCUCACCUGGGAUAGGCACUACAUGAUUUAUCUGCUCUUUUACUGUGAAGUUGCUUUGUGCAUGAGUUACACCUCCCCUGCACACCCUCAACAUUUGUUGCUCUGUUUUUCUUGUGUCCAGACGAGGAUAUUAAUUGGAGGCUGACAAAACGACUGCUAGCCAAGGAUUUACAAGGUCCUGGUUUGAGGCUUUCACGAAAGUAUUUUUGAAAAGAUACACAUAGAGAUUGCGCGUUCGGUGCAAUGCAACAAUGUGAGCCAUUCUGAAGUCUUAAAUUUCAGAUUAAUGAAUGCUACAAAAUUCUAAGAAGGGCCGUUUCCAAAUAUUUGAGUUCAUUCAUCCGAACAUCGGGUAUAUGCUUCUUUCUCUAGCCCCUCCUUGAAGGGAGGAGGGACAAUGUGAUCUGUAUCGUUAGAAGCUAUUCCAUGUCGUCAUCUUUGGGCUCAGUUCAAUACUAAAAGAUAUGGGCGGGGCCCUUAUCAUUUUAUAUUUCUUCUAGAAGGUUUAUUCUGGAAAUCUUUCACAGAAACAUAUCUUUUUCUUCUCUACGUGAUCCGUGGUUUGAAAGUUGGAAAAAUGGGUCCGUUAACAAGCCACCGAGUUGAAAAGUUGGAAAAAUGGCAACACCGCCAACCUCUUGUAUUCGAUAGUUAAAUAAAAGGUCACUGGAAGUGAGAUCCCUUUUGGCCUCUUGAUUUUCAUUCCAGCAUCUCUAUGGCCUGAUAAAUUAAAAAACUAAAAAAAAAGACAGUACGUGGGUUGGUGUUAAGCAUCAAGAGUCAAGACAUGAUAAUGGAGAGAAAGGAUAUUCAAAUUCCAGUUCUGACAACAUGAUUUUCUUUGCUGAACUACCAUAUUAUAUUUGAUCAAGAAAGAGUAGUGCAUGUGGCCAGGAUCAAGACAUACAUUAAUUUCCACAUGAUGAAGACAGUUUCUGAGAGUUUCUUCUAAAGCUCUUGCGCGAGUAGGCUUCAAGUCAAAAUCUCCCAUGUAAACACUGGUUUUUCUUUCAUUGCCACUAAGGAUGCAGUUAAUAUUGACUUAAGAUCCUACGUGAUAUAUUUUUUUAAAAGAGCUAUAUUGUAGAUAAUAUUUGAAAUAAUGUUGAUUCGUUGUGGAAAUAUAUUUGUAAGGAAAGUUGUUGACAAUUUAAUAUAGUAUAAGAAGAAAAAAGUUAUCAACUAGCUAGAGAUGAGUAUGUAAAGUGAGGCUCACGAUUCAACGCGUAAAUAUAAGAUAUUUUAAGGCUCAAUAGUUAUGAUAUCUAUUUUAUUUUUUGUAUCUCAUAUAUUCAAAGAUAUAGUAAAAUGAUUUUACAUAUAUAUAUAUAUAUAUAUAUGAACAUAACUAUUUGUGCCAAUUGAUUUUUAUCUUUAUUUUGUAUAUUAGUAAUUAUAUUAAAGUUUUUACUAAUAUAAUAACUAAUAUAAAAGCUUUUUCUAAAAGAGUCAACAGAGCAAAACACUUAUUAUAAAAAAUAAUUUUGAUUGAAGGUGGAGUCAAUUAUUCUUUAUUUAACAUGUAAUGCAUACGGCGUGUACUUCAUAACUAAAGUAUAUAAGUGUAACAUCUCUUAUAUAUUCUCAUUCAAUCUCGAAAGUGGAAAUUUUAAAAAGAUUAAACGGUUCAAAUUUGUCGUGCAUAAAGGGGAUCAUGUCACAUAAGCAAACCAUGGCAUACCAAAGACAUAGGUAUGGACUAAGAAUUUUUUUCAAAUAAGUUUCUUAUUAGGGUACAUUAAUAGGUGACUUUUUAUGACAUAUCAAAGGAGUCAAGUGCACCAAUAAAAACAUAUAUAGAAAAUUCAUGCAUGACAUGUAUCACUAAGAGAAGAUUGACUUGAUAGAGUUUAAUCCAAAUAGGAGAUUGUUAAAAGGUGUCUCAAAUUCUUGAUUGAUAUAUAUUUUUUUUAUUAAAAAGGUUAUUAUAUAGAUAUUUCAAUAGACUAUUAAUUCUUUGUAAAAAUAGUUAUAUAAUGAGGAUGGUGAUUAAAAAUAUCUCUAUCAAUAUUUUGGAUUAUAAAAAGAAAAAAAAUGAGAUAAUGAUAAACAUAUAAAACUUGUACAAGUAGAUAAAGAUGUGAUGAAAGACACUUGAUGAAUGAAGGCUUUGUAUUUCAAGAUAUAAAUAUAUGGAGCAAAACUCUUAAUUAUAUGAUCAAAUGAUUCUCUCAUAUUCAUGAAUAUAAGCAGGAUUGGGGAACCAUGAUAGAAUCUUAUAUGCCUCUCCAUGUAGAGUGAUCGAUGUUUAUCUUCAUAUUUUACACCAGUGAAUGACAUUGAAACUCUUAUUGAUAAAAGGGAAAAGGCAUGGCCUCCACCCCAAGAAAAACAAGUAACCUCGGUUUAAAUCACUAGUCUACACCCCGAAGAGAGAACUAGCCAAACCUACUAAAAGAGAAACUUAACAAUUUAGAAAGAAACCGUCCAUGAUAAAGGGCCCCUAAAGGUCCAAUUCAGUGAGGUCGUGAACAAAAACACUUUCAUGUCAAAACAGAGAUAGGUACCACCAAAAUGUAAAGGGAAAGAUGUAAACCACGUCGAACUUUGGUAAUCAAUGGUAAAGAUAGCAUGAUAGCUAAAAGCACUAAAGCUGUGCUUGGUAUGCAAAAAUGAAAAGUGGAAAUCAGCGUCUUAUUCUUUUUCACCUUUAUUCACAUAUUAGGAUAACUAAUAUCUAAUGUUUUUUAUGUCUCAAAUUCUAUUCCAUGUUAUGGUAAACUUUCAUCUUGUUUAGAUCACUUUUGUCUGGUUUGGGCUCAAGACGAUAAGCCUAUAGAGACUUCAUAUUGGGUUGAAUCGAUGCCCUUGAUCUGAUCUGUUCGUUAGAAAAAUCUGAAUUAUUAUAAGCAUUUAGAUAAAAAAUAAAUAAAUGUGAAACACAAACUACUCCCUGCACAACCUUGACCCUAGUUACUCAGUUUCACUGCUCACAGGACUAACCUCUCCAUUCAGUCGAAAUGAAUUGUAACAAGAAGAUUUUUGACAGGAGGACGGUAGUUUAAAAUAAUAAUUUCUAAAGUACUUUUGUGAAAAAAAAUAAUUCCAAACGUGGAUUUUAUCAAGUAAAAAGAAAAAAAAAAGUUAUUUUCUUUUAAAAUCUGUUCUUCUAAAGAUGAUAUAUAUACCAAAAAAAAAAAUUGUUUUCUGAAGGUAAAAUUUUUAAAAUUCAUUUUUAAAAAAAUUUACACACUAAAAUUAUCUUUUCAAGAGAAGAUUUUUUUAAUUUUAAAUAAUUAUUAAUUUAUAAUUAAUUUGUUAUUAAUUAUUUAUUAAUUUUUUUAUUUGAAAAAUGCAUUUAUAAAAAACAAAUUUGUUAUUAAUUUAUUAAAUAAUUUUUACAAAAUAAAUAAUUUUUUUUUAUUUUAAUUUUAAAAUUAAUUUUAUUAUAUAAAUUUUAAAAUUAAAAAUAUUAAUAUUUAAUUUAAAAUUUAACUAUAAAAGGAAUAAAAUAUAGAAAAAUAAAUUAAUUUAUUAUUCAAUAAAUUAAUUUUCAAUAAAAUUUUCAGCAUUAAGAGAUAAAUUUUUAAGUAUUAAUCAAUUUAAAAAGAAAUAAUGAUCAUUUGUAUAUUAAGAUAUUUUAUUUAGUAAUUAUGAAUGAUAAACAACUAAAGUAAUUUGAAAAAAUAAUAAAAUAUUUAAAAAAUAAUAAUUUAAUACACGUAAAAUUAGAAAUGAUUAACUAUUUUUUAUUAAGAAAAAAUUGAGGAAAUAUUUUGUUAUUUAAAAUUUUUUAUUUGUUUUCAAUUUUUAAUGUUAUAGGUUUCAAGAAAAUUGAUCAAAUAAAAAUUAAGAAGUCAUUUUUUCAAAAACUAUAUAUCUAAAUAAAAGCCUUGAAAUUCAAAUACACAAUAUCAUAAAUAUAAACACCAAGUCAAUCCUUAAUUAUCAAAUGUUUUUAAUAUUAAAGAAUCAAAAUCACCUACUAUCAUGAUAAUAAGAAAACCAAUAAUAUUGUUCAUAUAAAUACUAAAAAGCUAACAAAUAUCCCAAACAAUUAAUAAAGUAUCAAACAUGAUAAAAAGUCAAUUAUUAUCAUGAAUGCAAAAAAUCAAUAAUUUUGUUUAUAUGAACCAUCAACAAAGAAAAAAAAAAUCAAUAUCUAAAUAUUAAACAUAAUUUAUAUUUUUAUAAAUAUUAUUGUUGAUAAAUAUCUUAACAAUUAUAAUUUUAGUAAAUAAAAUUAAUUAAUUUUAGUUUAAGAAUUAUUUUUUUAUACUUUCGUAUUCUUAUCAAAAAUCCCCAUUUUGCAUGUCUCCUUUGGCAUGACUUUCUUACCUAAACAAGCAUAUAUAUAUAUAUAUAUAUAUAAAAUAUUUGGUUAAGAAAGAGUACUAAAGUUUAUAUGGCACACAUCAAGAUAGAAACAGAAGUGGAAGAUAAUCCAAAUGUAUGAACAGAUAUAUUAUAUCCAUGUAGUGGUAGUGACUUCAUUAUUUACUUUUAUCUAAUGGAGCAUGACACACUUCUUCUGAAUAUUUUGCACGAUUAUGUUAUGUGUCAGCUUGUUCUAAGUCAAAACUAGUGAUAAAAAUCGGUUUUUUUUGCAUUUCCUUCAUGAAGAUGGCACCUGGAUGGGGCACUACAUGAGUGGCAUAGCACGAAGUGAUUUAUCUGCUCCCUUUACUAUAAAGUGCUUUGUGUAUAAGUUACACCUCCCCUGCACUGCCUCAACAUUUGUUGUUCUGUCUUCCGUCUGUCCAAACGAGGACAAACGUAUGUUGUAGGUUGACAAAACCACAGCUAGCCUAGGAUUUGCAAGGAUCUAGUUUGAUUCGUAUGCAAAAGGAUUGGUGAAAAGAUUCACAAAGAUAAUGCUUUUUGCAAUGCAAUCUUGUUCUAAUUCAACAGUGUGGACCAUUUUCAUGUAAUGCUUCAACUAGAUGUCAGUUUCAUGAAUUUUUGUUCAUCUAAUUGAUCACUGGAUAGGCCAUAACCCGAAGAAAUUCAAAAUUCCCUUCAGUACUGUAGCUAAGGAAAGAUCCCUAUCUACCACUGGGAUUUUAAGAGGGUAAAAAUGUAGGUGGGUGCCUAUAUCAUUUGCACUUCACUAUAGGCCUCUUUGGGAAGAUUUCUUCUGAAGACAUUUCAAAGAAACAUAUUUUUCUCUUCUCUCCGUAAACGGCAGCUGCAAGUCAGUCCAUUCACAGGCCACCGAGUUGAAAAGGCUGGAAAAUUGGCCAAAGCACCCGCCUCCUGGAUUCCAUGGGUAAGGAAAAGGUCACUGGAGGUGUGAUCCCUGUUGGCCUCUUGAUUUCCAUUCCGCCAUCUAUAUGACCUGAUAACCCAAAAACACAGAAGGAAAACGUCACCUGGGUUCAUAGUAAGCAUCAAGUCAUGAUAGAGACCAGACAACAUGACCAACAAAGAGUAGCGAAUGGGGCCAACAUCAAGCCCCAUUACGGUUAGAAGAUGGAAGAAGUAGAAGACAAUCCAAUUCUGAUAGAUUCGGGCAAAUGUAGUGCUGUUCAAACUUAAUCAUUUACUAUUUCUUCAUGAAUCACGGCAUUUUUCUUCUGAAAAUUUUCCAAGAUUAGGCCUCUGAAGAAAAAUUUCAUAUGUAAAUUGGUAUAUUAAGGAAAAGGCGUUACAAAGGUGAAAAAAAACCAAUCAAAUCUUAUAUAUGACAUCUCAAAAAUAUGAACUUGCUAUAAAUAUUUAAAAUCAAAAUCUUGCACAUCACCUCGUAGUACGAACUUGCUAUAAAACUUGAAAAUCAAGAAGAAAGGGGCAGUAUUGGACGAGACUACUUAGCACAUAUUAUUAUGAUGUUUUUUCAUUUUCUUAAUGUUGUUUUUAUGUCUUAAAUUCUAUUAUUCUAUGUUACGGUAAACAUUCAUCUUGUUUGUGUGGAAUAGGAUCACUUUUCUCUGGGUUGAGUCGAUGCCCUUAGUUAAUUUGUUCAUUUGAAUAAACUAAAUUAUUAUAAGUAUUUAGAUAAGAAAAACGUGAUACAUAAAUUACGCCUCUCGGCACAACUUCAACACUGGUUACUCUGUUUCAGUUUCCUCACACAAGAUUAUUGGUUCUAGGGUUUAUUUGGUUUUGGUUUGAUUCUAAUUGCUAAACUUUCUCAAGGAAGAUGUUAUAUAGGGAGUGAGAAACCUUCACUCUUGGCUACCUCCAAGAGAAGAGCAAGUGGUCUGAAUCAAAGAUAUACUGCUCACUUUUUCUUCUUCUAAGGACAGCUAUGACCUUGCUUUAAGGUUCGAAUAGCCUAAUGCAACCUCCCAUUUCUCAAGUCAGCUGAUGAUGUAAGUCACCUUGGCUUUCCACAUUCAUACGGUGAGGACGUUUGUGGGUGUAAUUCUCUUAACAGUUUUCAUUUUAUAUGGAAAAAUUCAUAAUUAAGGGUAAUUACUGAUUCCAUUUGACAGUGACCAAGUUUAAAAUAUUAAUUCAUAUAUUAAAUGCACAUUAAAAAAUCAUGGAAUAAAUAUAUUUACUAAUAUAUAGUUCUUUUGCCAUGUUCUGUCACAGAAGCAUCGAACUUUCCCUAGAAAUUUUUGCAUGGUAUUCUACUUAUGAUUUUGAAAACUCUAGGCACCUGAGGCCACUAAUUGCAUGGUUGGAUGAGGAGCUGCAUGAGAUUAUGUAUCGUGUUGUUCCUUAACUACAAAUAUCAGUUUUAAGUAGCAUCUCCAUGUGACAUUUUCCUGAUGCAAUUUCGCUGUCCACCAACAAAUUUCACCAUGCAGCAAGAUGAAUUGUAAUUUCUUUAUUGUUAUCAACAGCUUUAAUUAAUCUUGAUAUAUAUAUAUAACUUAGUAGAAGUAUAUUAAUCUAGAUUGUAGUUGCACUAAGAUAAUAGGCAAUAUUAUAACAGUGCCACAAUGCUCAUCGCCAAAUAGAAAGGUAGAAAAACUACAAUGAGUAACUCACAACAUUCUCAAACAGGACAUAGCGGCGACUGAUACAUAGAACACUAUUGGCACUCAGGAAAUGAUAAGAUCAGUGCCCAGCAGGCAGCACGUCUUAUUUUACAUACUACUUAAAACUAACCAAAGUCAUUCAGUUGGGAUGGGUGGGAGAUGGUGGUUUGUGCGGUGGCUUUUGGGUAGUUGGUGGCUUCUUUCCUGGAACUGAUGGUUUUUUUGUUGGAGUUGAAGGAGGCUUAAUCGUCUGAGGUGGCUUGUAUGAGUCUUCAGCACUCUCUGCGGGAGGGUGCCCAGGGUUGUGACCAUAAUGGGGUGGCUUCUCUCCCUUAGUUGGUUUGCCAAGUGGGCUGGCUGGCUUGUGCUCCGGGAGCGGCUUCUCUCCCUUAGGUGGUUUGCCAAAUGGGCUUGCUGGCUUGUGCUCUGGGAGCGGCUUCUCUCCCUCAAGAAGUUUACGGGUUUUGUCAGAUGGCUUGUGUUCUGGUGGUGGCUUCUCUCCUUGGGGUGGUUUGCCAAAUGGACUUGGUGGCUUGUGUUCGGGGAGUGGCUCCUCUCCCUUGGGAGGUUUAGUUGGUGGCUGGUGUUCCAUAGGUGGUUUCUCAACCGGGGGCUUGUUCUCCGUUGGUGGUUUAUGAACUGGGGGAUGCUUGGGGUAGUCAGCAAGAGACGGGGUGGUGAGAACCACCAGUCCCAGCAGCAACACUAGCAAGUAUGUGGAAGAGUACAUCUUUGAGUUCAGGCUGAGAUUUGUGCGAGACUUGAAGAAUUAGGUGGCCUUUUAUAGCUGGCUGCACCCAACACUCACAUGACACGUAUCAUGGUGACACAUGUGCUAUGGGUCCAUUUGGGUCCUACAGAAGCUGAAAACUUUUGACUAUUGAGGUGUGGUCACAACUUUUGUCCCUAUUGCUUUCUCCGCAACCGUUUUACAUGUUUCCUUUGGCAUAAUUUUCUAAGCUAAACAAGCAUAUAUCAUAUUUGGUUAAGAAAGAGUAAAGUGUAUAUGGCACACAUCAAGGAAGAGAAACAGAAAAAGUGGGAGACAAUCAAUUGUGAUAAACAGAUAUAUUAUAUUCAUGUAGUACUAGUGACUUUAUCAUUUACUUUUAUCCAAUAGAUCAUCACUCUUUCUUCUAAAUAUUUUGGAGGAUAAUGGUACAUGUUGCUUGUUUCCAAGUCAAAAUUGGUGGCAAAAAUCGGCAUGAUACGAAAGGAUUGGUGAAAAGAUUCACAUAGAUGGUGCUUUGUGCAAUGCAGUCUUGCUCUAAUUCAACAGAGUGGACCAUGGUGAUGUAUUUUAAAUUUUAAAUUUUAAAUUAAUGCAUGCUUCAAAGUUUUAACUAGAUGUCACUUCCAUGGAUUUUUGUUCAUUUAAUUGAGCACAGGAUAGGCUAUCAAACUUGAAGUAAUAUAAAAAUCCCUUCAUUACUGUAACUAAUGAAAGAUCAUUAUCUGCGCUUGGUAUUUUGCCAAGGUAUUUGCUGCUCUUUCUAGCCCUGUCUUACAGUUAAGGACAAUGUGAUCUAGUUAACCUUAGAAGCUAUUCCAUGUCAGAUACAAGAGAUCAAGCACAUUAUCUUUGGGCUCAGUUCAAAACUAUAAUAUAUGGGUGGGGUGGAGGCCCAUAUCAUUUGCAUAUCACCACUAUUGGUUUAGUUUGGAAGGUUUCUUCUGGAAGAUUGCUGCUUUCUGGAAUCAUUUCAAAGAAAUAUAUCUUUUUGUUCUCUUGGUGACGAGCAGCGGCAAUCAAGUCUGUUGACAAACAACCGAGUUGAAAAGUUUGAAAAUUGGUCACAGCCCACGUCCAUGGUUAAGGAAAAGGUCACUGGAAGUGAUCCCUUCUGGGCCUCUUGAUUUCCAUUCUGACAUCUAUAUGACCUGAUAAAUAGAAAGAAAAAAAAACAGAAGAAAAGCGGCACCCGGGUUCAUAGUAAGCAUCAAGACAGGAUACUGAAAGAAGGGAGAAAGGAGAUUGCAAGUCCAAUCCUGAUAAAAUGAUCAACAAAGAGUAUCAAAAUGGGGCCAACAUAAAGACCCAUUGAGGUUAGCAGAUGGCAUGGCAUUUUUCUCCUUAAGUUUUCCAUGAUUAGACUUGAAGUCAAAAUUUCACAUGUAAAUUUGUAUUUCUACAUUUCCCACUGACGACACCCAACUUCAACUUGAGUUAGAAUAACAUUGUGUGAACUUAUCUGGCCCUCAAAAUUUACUGUGAAGUGCUUUCUGCGUGUGAAGAUUCAGAAAAGCACCAAGGGAACAUGUAUGGUCUGCCUUUUUCUGAUGUUAUGUUUGUCUCUAAUUCUGUUCCAUGUCAUGGUAAAUGUUCACAUUGCUUGUAUGGAACACACCAGGAUCACUUUUUCGGGUUUAUUUUGAGGCUUCAUAUUGGGUUCAUAUUGGGUUCAAUGCUUUUAAUGUGUUCAUUAGACAAAUCUGAAUUAUCAUAUGCAUUUAGAUAAGAACAAUAAUGUGAAACCCUAGUUACACCUCCCCUGCAUAACCCCAACCCUGCUUACUCUAUUUCAGUUUACUCACACAAGUUUUACCGGUUCUUAUAAGUCAAGAAAAGGCAACUGAUGUUGGAUUGACUCUCUUCCAUGUAUAAAAAGCAACUUUUAUAUAUACAUAAAAUAACUUCUUCCCCUCACCAAUGUGGGAUAUCAUGGAUUUAUUCUGGAAACACAUCAAAGGAACAUCUUUUCUCUUGGGUGACCCUAAGUGGUGAGUCAGACCAUUUGCAUGCCAUUGAGUUGCACAGUUGGAUAAAUGCACCUACCUCCUGGGCUCCAGAGUUAAAAGGGUGGAUCCCUGGAUCGCAACCCUCUUGGCAUCUUGGUUUCCAUUCCAACAUCCACAUGACUUGACAAAACAAAAAACAGAAUAAAAUCAUCACUAUUUUCAUGCUAAGCACCAAUACAUGAUGGAAAUCAUUGCUUAAAGAUUUGGGGUCAUUUAGGUUUUGACUGCCUCCUAACACCUCACCUAAUCACAAGUUUUUAUGCUUACAAAUCAAAUAUCGUUCUUCAUUAUAUUAAAAUCAUUUUAAGAUUUCAGAUCCAUCUGCUAAUUAUGAUUAUGAUAACAUUAAUUCACCUGUGCUUCUCAUUUUCGACACACAAGGCAUCUAGGUUUGCAGGAUUUCCUUAUUAGAUGAGAUAAAUGAGUACGCAUGGUUAUGUAUGCAGCAUUCAUUAACCAUGGUAUGUGACAUUUAGAAUUAAGAUAGCAAGCAAACUUUCCCUGCAGCUUGAGUAAAUUGUGAUUUCUUAGCCUCUAUGAGUGGUUCCCAAAUCAAAUUAACAUAGUGAAAUAUACGUAGUCCAGUGAAAGGAAAUGUAAAUUAUAAACUAACAGCACUACACUACUGGUAACACUCGAUACUCUCUAUAUAAUGCAAUGAAAUAUACGUUAUACGUUGCUUGUUCCAAGUCAAAAUUUGUGGCCAAACGUUGGCCUUUUUUCAUUUUCCCUAAGAUUAAUGCUCACCUGGGAUAGGCACUACAUGAUUUAUCUGCUCUUUUACUGUAAAGUUGCUUUGUGUAUGAGUUACACCUCCCCUGCACACCCUCAACAUUUGUUGCUCUGUUUUCCUUGUGUCCAGACGAGGAUAUUAAGUGGGGGCUGACAAAACGACUGCUAGCCAAGGAUUUACAAGGUCCUGGUUUGACGCUUCCGCGAAAGUAUUUUUGAAAAUAUACACAUAGAGAUUGCGCGUUCGGUGCAAUGCAACAAUGUGAGCCAUUCUGAAGUUUUUAAUUUCAGAUUAAUGAAUGCUACAAAAUUCUAAGAAGGGCCGUUUCCAAAUAUUUGAGUUCAUUUAUCCGAACAUCGGAUAAGUAAUGAUCAUAGAUUAUUAUUAUUAUCUGACGUUCUUAUAAUGGUUGGCAUUAUAAGAGGGUAUAUGCUUCUUUCUCUAGCCCCUCCUUCAAGGGAGGGACAAUGUGAUCUGUAUCGUUAGAAGCUAUUCCAUGUCGUCAUCUUUUGGCUUAAGUCAAUACUAAAAUAUAUGGGCGGGGCCCCUGUCAUUUUAUAUUUCUUCUAGAAGGUUUGUUCUGGAAAUCUUUCACCGAAACAUAUCUUUUUCUUCUCUACGUGAUCCGUGGUUGGAAAGUUAGAAAAAUGGGUCCGUUCACAAGCCACCGAGUUGAAAAGUUGGAAAAAUGGCAACACCGCCAACCUCUUGUAUUCGAUAGUUAAAUAAAAGGUCACUGGAAGUGAGAUCCCUUUUGGCCUCUUGAUUUUCAUCCCAGCAUCUCUAUGUCCUGAUAAACUAAAAAACUAAAAAAAAAACAGUACGUGGGUUGGUGUUAAGCAUCAAGAGUCAAGACAUGAUAAUGGAGAGAAAGGAUAUUCAAAUUCCAGUUCUGACAACAUGAUUUUCUUUCCUGAACAACCAUGUUAUAUUUGAUCAAGAAAGAGUAGUGCAUGUGGCCAGGAUCAAGACAUACAUUAAUUUCCACAUGAUGAAGACAGUUUCUGAGAGUUUCUUCUAAAGCUCUUGCGCUAGUAGGCUUCAAGUCAAAAUUUCCCAUGUAAACACUGGAUUUUCUUUAAUUGCCACUAAGGAUACAGUUAAAAUUGACUUAAAAUCCUACGUGAUAUAUAUCUUUAACAAAAGUAUAUUGUAUAUAAUAUUUGAAAUAAUGUUGAUUCGUUGUGGAAAUAUGUUUGUAAGGAAAGUUGUUGACAAUUUAAUAUAGUAUAAGAAGAAAAAAGUUAUCAACUAGAGAUGAGUAUGUAAAGUGAGGCUCACGAUUCAACGCGUAAAUAUAAGAUAUUUUAAGGCUCAAUAGUUAUGAUAUCUAUUUUAUUUUUUGUAUCCCAUAUAUUCAAAGAUACAGUAAAAUGAUUUUAUAUAUAUGAACAUAGCCGAUAGUAUCAUGUUAAAACCUUAUAUGACUCUUUGUGCCAAUUGAUUUUUAUCUUUAUUUUGUGUAUUAGUAAUUAGUAUUAAAGUUUUUACUAACAUAAUAAUUGAUAUAAAAGCUUUUUCCAAAAGAGUCAAACAGAGCAAAACACUUAUUAUAAAAAGAAUUUUGAUUGAAGGUGGAGUCAAUUAUUCUUUAUUCAACAUGUGAUGCAUACAGCGGGUACUUCAUAACUAAAGUAUAUAAGUGCAACAUCUCUUAUACAUUCUCAUUCAAUCUCGAAAGUGGAAAAUUUUAAAAGAUUAAAUGGUUCAAAUUUUCCGUGCAUAAAGGGGAUCAUGUCACAUAACCAAACCAUGGCAUACCAAAGCCAUGAUAUGGACUAAGAAUUUUGUUAAAAUAAGUUUCUUAUUAGGGCACAUUAUGUGACUAUUUAUGACAUAUCAAAGGAGUCAAGUGCAUCAAUAAAGACAUAGAAAAUUCAUGCAUCACAUGUACCACUAAGAGAAAAUUGACUUGAUAGAGUUUAGUCCAAAUAGGAGAUUGUUAAAAGGUGCAUCAAAUUCUUGAUUGAUAUAUAUUUUUUUUAUUAGAAAGGUUAUUAUAUAGAUAUUUCAAUAGACUAUUAAUCCUUUGUAAAAAUAGUUAUAUAAUGAGGAUGGUGAUUAAAAAUAUCUCUAUCAAUAUUUUGGAUUAUAAAAAGAAAAAAAAUAUGAGAAAAUGAUAAACAUAUAAAACUUGUACAAGUAGAUAGAGAUGUGAUGAAAGACACUUGAUGAAUGGAGGCCUUGUAUUUCAAGAUGUAAAUAUAUGGAGCAAAACUCUUAAUUAUAUGAUCAAAUGAUUCUCUCAUAUUCAUGAACAUAAGCAGGAUUGGGGAACCAUGAUAGAAUCUUAUAUGCCUCUCCAUGUAGAUUGAUCGAUGUUUAUCUUCAUAUUUUACACCAAUGAAUGACAUUGAAACUCUGAUUGAUAAAAGGGAAAAAGCAUGGCCUCCACCACAAGAAAAACAAGUAACCUCGGUCUAAAUCACUAGUCUACACCCCGAAGAGAGAACUAGCCAAACCUACUAAAAGAGAAACUUACCAAUUUAGAAAGAAAUCUUCCAUGAUAAAGGGCCCCUAAAAGUCCAAUUCAGUCAGGUUGUGAACAAAAACACCUUCAUGUCAAAACAGGAAUAGGUACCACCAAAAUGUAAAGGGAAAGAUGUAAACCAAGUCGAACUUUGGUAAACAAUGGUAAAGAUAGCAUGAUAGCUAAAAGCACUAAAGCUGUGCUUGGUAUGCAAAAAUGAAAAGUGGAAAUCAGCGUCUUAUUCUUUUUCUCCUUUAUUCACAUAUUAGGAUAACUAAUAUCUAAUGUUUUUUUUAUGUCUCAAAUUCUAUUCCAUGUUAUGGUAAACUUUCAUCUUGUUUAAGUGGAAGAGUAGGAUCACUUUUGUCUGGUUUGGGCUCAAGACGAUAAGCCUAUAGAGACUUCAUAUUGGGUUGAAUUGAUGCCCUUGAUCCGAUCAGUUCGUUAGAAAAAUCUGAAUUAUUAUAAGCAUUUAGAUAAAAUAAAUAAAUAAAUGUGAAACAGAGACUAUUCUCUGCACAACCUUGACCCUAGUUACUCAGUUUCACUGCUCACGGGACUAACCUCUCCAUUCAGUCGAAAUGAAUUGUAAUUUCUUUACUGGUAGCAGUAGUACUUUUCAUAGCAAAGAUAAUAGUAAAUAUGAAAUAUAAAUAUAUAGAAGGAAAUCUGGAUUGUAGAUAGCACCAUAAGUAACACUCAAUAUUUACUACAUAAUAAAAGAGAUAGUGUUACAAAGGUAGAGAAACCUACAAUGAGUACUCAUCACCAUUCUCAAACAGAAACAUAGCAGUGACUUAUACAUAGAACCUAUAGGCUCGCAGGGAAAGAGUAACAUGAUAAGUGCACAGCGGGUAGCAGCUCUUAUUUUACGUAUUACUCAAAAUCUCAAACUAACCAAAGUCACUCAGUUGGGAUGGGUAGGAGAUGGUGGUUUGUGGGGUGGCUUCUGGGUAGGAGCUGGUGGCUUCUUUGUUGGAGUUGAAGGAGGCGUAAUCUUCUGAGGUGGCUUGUAUGAGUCUUUGGCACUCUCUGCAGGAGGGUGCCCAGGGUUGUGACCGGAAGGAGGUGGCUUCUGUCCCUUUGGUGGUUUGCCUAAUGGGCUUGGUGGCUUGUGCUCCGGGAGUUGUUUCUCUCCCUCGAGUAGGUUUCGAGUUUUGUCAGAUGGCUUGUGUUCUGGUGGUGGCUUCUCUCCCUGGGGUGGUUUGCCGAAUGGGCUUGGUGGCUUGUGUUCGGGGAGUGGCUUCUCUCCCUUGGCAGGUUCAGUUGGUGGCUGGUGCUCCGUAGGUGGUUUCUUCACCGCCGGCUUCUCUCCCUGGAGAAGGUUACGAGUUUUGUCAGAUGGCUUCUGUUCUGGUGGCGGCUUCUCUCCCUGGGGUGGUUUGCCAAAUGGGCUUGGUGGCUUGUGUUCGGGAACUGGCUUCUCUCCCUUGGCAGGUUCAGUUAGUGGCUGGUGUUCCGUAGGUGGUUUCUUCACCGGCGGCUUGUGCUCCGGAAGCGGCUUCUCUACCUGGAGAAGCUUACGAGUUUUGUCAGAUGGCUUGUGUUGUGGUGGUGGCUUCUCUCCCUGGGGUGGUUUGCCAAAUGGACUUGGUGGCUUGUGUUCGGGGAGUGGCUUCUCUCCAUUGGGAGGUUUAGUUGGUGGUUGGUGUUCCGUAGGUGGUUUCUGAAGUGGGGGAUGCUUGGGGUAGUCAGCAAGAGACGAGGUAGUGAGAACCACCAGUCCCAGCAGCAAUACUAGCAAGGAUGUGGAAGACAUCUUUGAGUUCAGGCUGAGAUUUGUGCAAGGCUAGAAGAAUUAGGUGGCCUUUUAUAGCGGGCUGGACCCAACAACCAAAUGACACGUAUCAUGAUACACAUAUGUGUUAUAAGAUCCUUGUGGGUCCUACAGAAGUUGAAAACUUUGACAAUUGAGGUGUGAUUACAACUUUUGUCCCUAUUGCUUUCUCGUCAGCCGUUUUGCAAGAUUUUUGACAGGAGGACGGUAGUUUAAAAUAAUAAUUUCUAAAGUACUUUUGUGAAAAAAAAUAAUUCCAAACGUGGAUUUUAUCAAGUAAAAAAAACAAAAAAAAGUUAUUUUCUUUUAAAAUCUUUUCUUCAUGAUUCAUAUACCAAAAAAAGAAUUGUUUUCUGUAGGUAAAAUUUUUAAAAUUCAUUUUUAAAAAAAAAAAAUUACACACUAAAAUUAUCUCUUCAAGAAAAUAUUUUUUAAAUUUUAAAUAAUUAUUAAUUUAUAAUUAAUUUUUUAUUAAUUAUUUAUUAAAUUUAUAUGUGAAAAAUGCAUUUAUAAAAAACAAAUUUUUUAUUAAUUUAUUAAAUAAUUAUUUACAAAAUAAAUAAUUUUGCUUUAUUUUAAUUUUAAAAUUAAUUUUAUUAUAUAAAUUUUAAAAUUAAAAAUAUUAAUAUUUAAUUUAAAAUUUAACUAUAAAAGGAAUAAAAUAUAGAAAAAUAAAUUAAUUUAUUAUUCAAUAAAUUAAUUUUCAAUAAAAUUUUCAGCAUUAAGAGAUAAAUUUUUAAGUAUUAAUCAAUUUAAAAAAUAAUAAUAAUCAUUUGUAUACUAAGAUAUUUUAUUUAGUAAUUAUGAAUGAUAAACAACUAAAGUAAUUUGAAAAAAUAAUAAAAUAUUUAAAAAUAAUAAUUUAAUACACUUAAAAUUAGAAAUGAUUAACUAUUUUUUAUUAAGAAAAAAUUGAAGAAAUAUUUUGUUAUUUAAAAUUUUUUAUUUGUUUUCAAUUUUAAAUGUUAUAGGUUUCAAGAAAAUUGAUCAAAUAAAAAUUAAGAAGUCAUUUUUUCAAAAACUAUAUAUCUAAAUAAAAGCCUUGAAAUUCAAAUACACAAUAUCAUAAAUAUAAACACCAAGUCAAUCCUUAAUUAUCAAAUGUUUUUAAUAUUAAAGAAUCAAAAUCACCUACUAUCAUGAUAAUAAGAAAACCAAUAAUAUUGUUCAUAUAAAUACUAAAAAGCUAACAAAUAUCCCAAACAAUUAAUAAAGUAUCAAACAUGAUAAAAAGUCAAUUAUUAUCAUGAAUGCAAAAAAUCAAUAAUUUUGUUUAUAUGAACCAUCAACAAAGAAAAAAAAAAUCAAUAUCUAAAUAUUAAACAUAAUUUAUAUUUUUAUAAAUAUUAUUGUUGAUAAAUAUCUUAAUAAUUAUAAUUUUUUAUAUAUUAAAUUUAGUAAAUAAAAUUAAUUAAUUUUAUAAUAUAAGAUAUAUAUAAUAAUUAAGAGACUAUUUGUCCCAAACAAUUUAUUUAUUUUUUUUUUAGGAAAUUGUCUCUUCAAGAGACGACUUCUCCCAACAUUUUUAAAAAAAAAAAAAAAAACAUCUAUUCAAAAGACGAUUUCUCCUCAUUUUUUAAAAAUGAAUUUUAGAAAUCAUAUUUUCAAAAAUGAAUUUUAGAAAUCAUAUUUUCAAAAGACGAUUUUUUUUUAUAUAAAUUAUUUUUUAAAAUGACGAUUUUAAAAGGAAAUAACGAUCUCUCUCCUACUUGGCAAAAACUAUGGUAAAUUUGGAAUUAUUUCUUCCACAACCAUAGUUUAAGAAUUAUUUUUUUAUACUUUCGUAGACUUAUCAAAAAUCCCUAUUUUGCAUGUCUCAUUUGGCAUGACUUUCUUACCUAAACAAGCAUAUAUAUAUAUAUAUAUAUAUAUAUCACUUUUGUCUGGGUUGAGUCAAUGCCCUUAACUAAUUUGUUCAUUUGAAUAGUCUAAAUUAUUAUAAGCUUUUAGUUAAGAAAAAUGUGAAACAUAAAUUACACCUCUCGGCACAACUUCGACACUGGUUACUCUGUUUCAGUUUAUUCACACAAGAUUAUUGGUUCUAGGGUUUAUUUGGUUUUGGUUUGAUUCUAAUUGCUAAACUUUCUCAAGGAAGAUGUUAUAUAGGGAGUGAGAAACCUUCACUCCUGGCUACCUCCAAGAGAAGAGCAAGUGGUCUGAAUCAAAGAUAUACUGCUCACUUUUUCUUCUUCUAAGGACAGCUAUGACCUUGCUUUAAAAUGUUCGAAUAGCCUAAUGCAACCUCCCAUUUCUCAAGUCAGCUGAUGAUGUAAGUCACCUUGGCUUUCCACAUUCAUACGGUGAGGACGUUUGUGGGUGUAAUUCUCUUAACAGUUUUCAUUUUAUAUGGAAAAAUUCAUAAUUAAGGGUAAUUACUGAUUCCAUUUGACAGUGACCAAGUUUAAAAUAUUAACUCAUGUAUUAAAUGCACAUUAAAAAAUCAUGGAAUAAAUAUAUUUACUAAUAUAUAGUUCUUUUGUCAUGUUCUGUCACAGAAGCAUCGAACUUUCCCUAGAAAUUUUUGCAUGGUAUUCUGCUUAUGAUUUUGAAAACUCUAGGCACCUAAGGCCACUGAUUGCAUGGUUGGAUGAGGAGCUGCAUGAGAUUAUGUAUCCUGUUGCUCCUUAACUACAAAUAUCAGUUUUAAGUAGCAUCUCCAUGUGACAUUUUCCUGAUGCAAUUUCGCUGUCCACCAACAAAUGUCUCCAUGCAGCUAGAUGAAUUGUAAUUUCUUUGUUGUUAUCAACAGCUUUAAUUAAUCUUGAUAUAUAUAUAACUUAGUAGAAGUAAUUAAUCUAGAUUGUAGUUGCACUAAGAUAAUAGGCAAUAUUAUAACAGUGCCACAAUGCUCAUCGCCAAAUAGAAAGGUAGAAAAACUACAAUGAGUAACUCACACAACAUUCUCAAACAGGACAUAGCGGCGACUGAUACAUAGAACACUAUUGGCACUCAGGAAAUGAUAAGAUCAGUGCCCAGCAGGCAGCACGUCUUAUUUUACAUACUACUUAAAACUAACCAAAGUCAUUCAGUUGGGAUGGGUGGGAGAUGGUGGUUUGUGCGGUGGCUUCUUUCCUGGAACUGGUGGUUUUUUUGUUGGAGUUGAAGGAGGCUUAAUCGUCUGAGGUGGCUUGUAUGAGUCUUCAGCACUCUCUGCAAGAGGGUGCCCAGGGUUGUGACCAUAAUGAGGUGGCUUCUCUCCCUUAGGUGGUUUGCCAAGUGGGCUGGCUGGCUUGUGCUCCGGGAGCGGCUUCUCUCCCUUAGGUGGUUUGCCAAAUGGGCUUGCUGGCUUGUGCUCUGGGAGCGGCUUCUCUCCCCCAAGAAGUUUGCGGGUUUUGUCAGAUGGCUUGUGUUCUGGUGGUGGCUUCUCUCCUUGGGGUGGUUUGCCAAAUGGACUUGGUGGCUUGUGUUCGGGGAGUGGCUCCUCUCCCUUGGGAGGUUUAGUUGGUGGCUGGUGUUCCGUAGGUGGUUUCUCAACCGGGGGCUGGUGCUCCGUAGGUGGUUUAUGAACUGGGGGAUGCUUGGGGUAGUCAGCAAGAGACGGGGUGGUGAGAACCACCAGUCCCAGCAGCAACACUAGCAAGUAUGUGGAUGACAUCUUUGAGUUCAGGCUGAGAUUUGUGCAAGACUAGAAGAAUUAGGUGGCCUUUUAUAGCUGGCUGCACCCAACACUCACAUGACACGUAUCACGGUGACACAUGUGCUAUGGGAUCCAUUUGGGUCCUACAGAAGUUGAAAACUUUUGACUAUUGAGGUGUGAUCACAACUUUUGUCCCUAUUGCUUUCUCCGCAACCGUUUUACAUGUUUCCUUUGUGGUGUUUAAUAGUGUUUUUUUCCUUAAUUCUAAAUAAACCUUAAUACUUAAUAAUGUUAAAUAUUAGGUUAUUUAUUUUUAUAAUAUUUUAUUUAUAUUAAGUAUUAAAAAGUAAAGAAAAAUCAAUAUAUUUAUUUUUCUAUUUAGAAAAAACUAUAUAUUUUUAAUUUUUUUAUUUAAUAAAAAAUUUAUAAUAAAUCAUGAAAAAAUAGAAAAACAAACAACCUAAAUUUUAAAAAUAAAUUGUUUUUAGUAAAAACCCAAAAAAACAAACACCACCUUAACUAAACAAAUAUAUAUUAUAUUUAGUUAAGAAAGAGUAAAGUGUAUAUGGCUCAAAUCAAGGAAGAGAAACAGAAUAAGUGGAAGACAAUCAAUUGUGAUAAACAGAUAUAUUACAUGCAUGUAGUACUAGUGACUUUAUCAUUUACUUUUAUACAAUAGAUCAUCACACUCUUUCUUCUAAAUAUUUUGGAGGAUAAUGGUACAUGUUGCUUGUUGCCAAGUCAAAAUUGGUGGCAAAAAUCGGCAUGAUACGAAAGGAUUGGUGAAAAGAUUCACAUAGAUGGUGCUUUGUGCAAUGCAGUCUUGCUCUAAUUCAACAGAGUGGACCAUGGUGAUGUAUUUUAAAUUUUAAAUUUUAAAUUAAUGCAUGCUUCAAAGUUUUAACUAGAUGUCACUUCCAUGGAUUUUUGUUCAUUUAAUUGAGAACAGGAUAGGCUAUCAAACUUGAAGUAAUAUAAAAAUCCCUUCAUUACUGUAACUAAUGAAAGAUCAUUAUCUGCGCUUGGUAUUUUGCCAAGGUAUUUGCUGCUCUUUCUAGCCCUAUCUUACAGUUAAGGACAAUGUGAUCUAGUUAACCUUAGAAGCUAUUCCAUGUCAUAUACAAGAGAUCAAGCACAUUAUCUUUGGGCUCAGUUCAAAACUAUAAUAUAUGGGUGGGGUGGGGGCCUAUACCAUUUGCAUAUCACCACUAUUGGUUUAGUUUGGAAGGUUUCUUCUGGAAGAUUGCUUUCUGGAAACAUUUCAAAGAAAUAUAUCUUUUUGUUCUCUUGGUGACGAGCAGCGGCAAUCAAGUCUGUUGACAAACAACCGAGUUGAAAAGUUUGAAAAUUGGUCACAGCCCACGUCCAUGGUUAAGGAAAAGGUCACUGGAAGUGAUCCCUUCUGGGCCUGUUGGAAGCAGGGGAGGUUAACACACCAAGCAACAAAGAACAGAGAUAUGCUGCUACUGAUCUAUAUUUUUUAUUUGAUCAUAAGGCUAAAUUUAUACAGAUUGUGUAACAGAUAUGACCUCAAAAAAAAGCAUCAAAUCAAGCUACUUGUUGAACAAACAACUACCUUCUACAAAAUAACAUCAAAAUUUAACUUAAAAGCAAAAACAUAAAAAUAGCAACAGCAAAAAUAGAAACAUAAAAAUAGCUUCAGCAUUCUAGUAAUCUCGUUGACUUCAAUUGCAUGUGGUUGACGAUUUCAGCCUUUUCCUCAGCAGCUACUAAGGCAUAACUCUCAACACUCCUCCUUGACUUAGGAGGUGCAAACUCCAAGUCUUUCUCAUAGAAACUCAAAUCUUAUUUUAGGAAGAGCUUUAGUCAGAAUAUCUACAUUUUGACUGUCUGUAUUGCAGUAGACUAGUUGUAUAUCUCCUUCUUUCUGUACUUCCCUCAAAAAUUACAAUUUAAUCUUGAAGUGCUUUGUUUUACCAUGAAAAACUGGAUCAUUUGCAAUAGAUAUAGUGGCCUGGUUGUCUACAAACACCUUUGUACUCACUUCUUGCUUCAUAUCCAAAUCUGUCAGCAACUUUCCAAGCCAUAAGGCUUGAUUUACAGCUGUAACAGCAGCAAUAUACUCUGCCUCAGCUGUGGAUUGAGCCACGACUUCUUGCUUCCUUGAACUCCAUGAAAAAACACCAGAACCAAAACUAAAACAAUAGCCUGAAGUACUUCUCAUAUCGUCAACACAACCAGCCCAAUCACUAUCAGAAAAUCCAUGAAAAUUGAAACUUUGAACUUGACUGAACUUAAUGCCAUAAUCCACAGUGCCUUUAACAUUUCUUAUCACACGCUUUGCUGCCUGGAAAUGAAUUUCACUAGCACAAUGCAUGUAUCUCGAAAGUAGACUUACAGCAUGCAUUAUAUCGAGUCUUGUUGCAGUCAAGUACAUUAAGCAUCCAAUCAUGCUUCGAUAAAGUCCUUCAUCUACCUUUUUAGCACCGUCCUCCUUACAGAACUUCUCUUUCUGGUUCAUAGGGGUAGAUGUAGGUUUGCAUUCCUCCAUUUUGAAUUUCUUCAUAAUUUCUUUGGCAUAUUUUUGUUGGCAGAUGAAAAUCUCAUUCUGCUUCUGGUGUACUUCCAUUCCCAAGAAGUAAGACAUCUCAUCUAGGUCUGUCAUCUCAAAAACCUGCUCCAUUUCAGCCUUGAAUUUGUUCACAAACCCUGCAUUACUUCCUGUUACAAGCAAAUCAUCAACAUAUAGAGAAACAAUUAAUAUAUCUUCUUCAAUCUUCUUAAUGUAGAGUGUAAAUUCACUCAAGCUCUUGUGAAAGCCUAAAGUUAGCAGGUGAGUGUCAAUCCUGCUGUACCAAGCUCUAGGGGCUUGUCUUAACCCAUACAAGGCCUUCUUAAGAAGGUAUACUUUUUCUUCUUUUCCUUUGAUAGCAAAACCUUCUGGUUGUUCGACAAAAAUCUCUUCCUCUAAGUAGCCAUUCAAAAAUGCUGACUUCACAUCUAGUUGAUAAAUCUUCCAUUUUCUUUGAGCUACAAGAGCCAACAACAUCCUGAUUGUAUCCAAACGAGCUACUGGUGCAAAGGUUUCCGAAAAGUCAACACCAAACAUUUGUGCAUACCCUUUGACAACCAGCCUUGCUUUAUGUUUGUUUAUAGAACCAUCAGAGUUGAGUUUGGUUCUGUAAACCCACUUAACCCCAAUAGGUUUUUUGUGUGAAGGUCUAUCUACUAGCUCCCAAGUGUUGUUCUUGUCAAUCAUAUCUAGCUCCUCCUGCAUUGCAACCCUCCAUCUUUUAUUUUCAGCAGCUUCAACAAACCCUGCAAGUUCAAGAACAGCUAUAUUACACCUUUGAUAAAUAUCAAAAAGUGUCAUGAAACCUCUAACUGGAAGUUCAUCAACAUCUUCAUCAAUAUAUUGCUGAUUCUGCUCAUCCCAACUCCAUUUCUCCGUUUCCAAAAACUUAACAUCUCUACUUACCACAAUUUUACUAUUUUGUGGCAAGUAGAUUCUGUAAGCUUUUGAGGUGCUGUUGUAUCCAAUGAAAAUUCCUGGUUCUGACUUUUUAUCUAGCUUGUCUCUUUUCACCUGAGGAACAUAAGAGAAACACAAGCAACCAAAGGUCUUUAAAUUCAUUAGCAUAGGCUUAUAAGCAAACCAGGCCUCAAAAGGUGUCUGUUUCUGCAAUGCUUUUGUUGGUAGUCUAUUUAGCAAAAAUACUACUGUAUUUGCAGCUUCAACCCAAAAACUUUUUGGCAGCUCUUUCUCAUGCAAAAGACAUCUUGUCAUUGAUUACUACUCAAAAAGUGCUAUUUGAUAGCCUUUAAUUAAUCCUUUUUAACACUUUUGAGUAGUAGUUUAGGCCUUUUAACUCAAUUGGCAUGUUAAGGAUCCUUUAAAGCAAUUUUGAUCACUUUGUGCAAGUUUUGGUGUUUUUGUUAGUAUUUCGAUCACCAAAGCAAGUCAAGAAUGAGGAGAGCUAUGAGGAAUCUUGGGCAAAGCUUAGAAUUCAAUUGCCAAGAGUGAAUCCGGAUUGCAAGGAGAAAAAGCAAAGAGGAUCAGUCAUGGAGCAUAUUCUUGAUGACAGUCGUAGCAGCCACUUUUGGAUCACUUUCUGAAGUCCAAAUGAUGCAAGCUAUAUACCAUUUCAAAGCUCAGGAAGUCAACAAUCCAAUGCUUCAAACGGUGUGCGAUUCGGAAUUGAAACGAAGAAGUUGCAGCCAUUACAAGCCAGACACUCUAAAGUGUUGCGGAAUCAGCCAUGUGUUGCGAGAAUUUCGCAGCACUUUUGUACAGUAAGGUGUUUCUCCUUCUAACGAUGCACGAACCAUGCCGCGAGAAGGGAGCUGGAAACUUCAAGAUGGAAGCCAACUUUGCAGCCUAGUGAAGAUAGCUCGGUCUUGCAAGAUAAUUUCGCAGCCCUCUUGGGUGUCUGCGAAAUUUCGCAGGCCUCAUUUUUCACCUGCGAAAUGGCUCUUGAAGCCUCCCGAAGCUUGCUACCGACAUUGGGAGAUAUUUUCCAUUAGAUUUUUGUUGUCUAAAUCCCAAAAUACUCCUUGUAAACCACCAAUUACAUGAUUCCUUAGUUUUUAAGUUAGUAAAAAGACCAAAUAUCUUUGUAACAAUUAGUUUUAUAUUUUGUUGUUAUAAAUACCUCUCGGGAGCCUGUUCUCAGGGAGGAGUUCCUUCUGUAAACGUUUGGUAAGCAAGUAAAGUCUAUUUUCUUUCUACUGCCUUACCUUCUCACUUUGUAUUUUCAUUUUAUUUCUAAGUUAUGAAUUCUCUGAGGAGUUUUCCCCAAAGAAUGAGUAACUAAACCUCCAAUUCCUUGGAGCUAAGGUUGCCGGGGAAGGUUCCAAGUGCAAGAAUGCAAAGCUCUGUGGUUUUAGCUAGUAAUGAAGAGGAAGUGAAAUCCUUUAGUGAUUUCAAUGUUUUUAGUUAACUUAAAACACUUUGGAGUCACCUGGGCCAACACUUGGUAAGGCAAGUGAUUUCCAACCAUGGAAAUGCACUAGUUUACCCCUUGCGAGCCUCUGGUAGGUGACUUCAAGGUAGGAUUUUCUGGAAUUACCAACACUUGGUAAGCUUUUGGACUCCUAGGAGACAUCCAUUAGUUAUCUCUUGCGAGUUUGUGAAGGGAAUCCAAGGUUAAAGAUCACCUUGAAUGGUAAGUGCUCGUGAGAGGCAUGAACCAUUGCAAGUUGUAUCAGUGAGAGAAUUAAAGUGAAAUCUAAUUGAAGGAGUCUUUGUACAUCACCGGUUAGAGAAUUGACUAUAAGUUGAAUCUCUAAUGCGAGGAAAUGAACCAACUGACCAGAGCCGUGUCUUUUGCAUGAGGAACCACCCCAGUGAACCUAAAUCUCCAAGGAAUGUUUUUUUCUUCCUAAAUUAUUCCAAACUUCUGUUAAGUUAGUUAGUUUAAAUCUCAACCUUUACAAAUCAAAGUUUGUGUUUUAUUCCUUAAGCUAACCGUGAAAUGAAACAAGACCAAUUCACUUGGAAUUGGUAUCAUUGAUUGCCUGCAAAUCAUUCCCAGUGAACGAUCCUAGAGCCACUAUACUAUAGUAGCUUUGUAUUUGCUACCCUAGUGUAUGGUGUUAUAGGUAUAAAUUUUGUUGAUCACUUCCUCAAUCAAGGAGCACCAGCUGAACACAAAUCAGCUGAGACACCAAUUAGGCAUGAGUCAAAUGGCGCCGUUGCCGGGGAAUGAAUGUCAAGUUCAUUGUGAUACCAUUGUUGAGCACUUGUGAUUUUCAUCACAAGUUGGUAAAGUUUCUUUCACUUUACUAAUUUUCAUUCUUUCUUUGUUUAUUUACAAUCUAAGUUUAUCUUUUUAAAUUUUAGUCUAGUUUAAUUUUGUUGUUGUAGCCCUGUUUUUCUUGUUGUCCUCUGUUUUCAUUUUUUUUUUCAGGUAGAUACUAGUUGUGUAUGCCCAAGUGGAUACGAGACAUAGGAGGUAGGCUUGUUAAGUGUGAUACACCUCAGAAAGGAGAAUUUGAAGUAAUCUUGAAUAUCAUGGAGGCUGCACCUGAAGAUCAGCAUAGUCACCAAGGUCGUCAAGACAAUCUCAAUGAAUUCAGAUCAAUGAGGGACCGUAUGCAUCCACCUCGUAUGAGUACACCAUCAUGUAUAGUGCCCCCUACAGAGCAGCUAGUGAUCAGACCAUAUCUUGUUCCACUUCUACCAACUUUCCAUGGGAUGGAAAGUGAGAAUCCGUAUGCACACAUCAAGGAAUUUGAAGAUGUUUGUAAUACAUUCCAAGAAGGAGGAGCUUCAAUUGACUUGAUGAGGCUUAAGUUAUUUCCUUUUACUUUAAAGGAUAAGGCCAAAAUUUGGCUUAAUUCUUUAAGGCCAAGGAGUAUCCGCUCUUGGACUGAUUUACAAGCUGAGUUCCUUAAGAAAUUUUUUCCUACUCAUAGAACAAAUGGCUUGAAAAGGCAAAUUUCAAACUUCUCAGCUAAAGAGAAUGAGAAAUUCUAUGAGUGUUGGGAAAGAUACAUGGAAGCUAUAAAUGCUUGUCCUCACCAUGGCUUUGAUACUUGGCUAUUGGUGAGCUAUUUUUAUGAUGGUAUGUCCUCCUCAAUGAAGCAACUCCUCGAGACAAUGUGUGGAGGAGAUUUCAUGAGCAAAAAUCCAGAGGAAGCUAUGGAUUUCUUGAGCUAUGUAGCUGAUGUUUCAAGGGGAUGGGAUGAACCAACUAAAGGAGAAGUGGGAAAGAUGAAGUCUCAGUUGAAUGCUUACAAUGCAAAGGCUGGGAUGUAUAAUUUGAAAGAAGAUGAUGACAUGAAAGCAAAGUUGGCAGCUAUGACAAGAAGAUUGGAGGAGCUGGAGCUGAAAAGAAUGCAUGAAGUGCAAGCUGUUGCUGAAGCACCAGUGCAAGUGAAGCUGUGUCCCAAUUGUCAAUCAUUUGAACAUUUGGUGGAGGAGUGCCCUGCAAUUUCAGUUGAAAGGGAAAUGUAUAGAGAUCAAGCAAAUGUUGUUGGACAAUUUAGGCCCAAUAACAAUGCUCCUUAUGGAAAUACCUACAAUUCAAGUUGGAGGAAUCAUCCAAAUUUCUCAUAGAAGGCCAGAGCAACUCAAUACCAACAGCCGGAUCCACCAUCUCAGCAAUCUUCAAGUAUUGAACAAAUAAUAGCCAAUCUCAGCAAGGUAGUGGGAGAUUUUGUGGGAAAGCAAGAAGCCACCAAUGCUCGAGUUGAUCAAAGAAUGGAUAGAAUGGAGAGUGUGUUGAACAAAAGAAUGGAUGGAAUGCAAAAUGAUAUGAACCAAAAGUUUGAUAACAUCCAAUAUUCAAUUUCAAGGCUUACAAAUUUGAAUACACUGCAAGAAAAAGGAAGAUUUCCUUCUCAACCUAACCAAAAUCCCAAAGGUGUCCAUGAAGUGGAAAGCCAUGAGGGAGAAUCAUCACAGGUGAAAGAUGUGAAAGCUUUGAUCACUCUAAGGAGUGGUAAGAAAAUUGAGCAGCCAACACCCAUGCCACAUGUUGAGAAAGAAGAAGGGAUAAAGAAAGGAAAGGAAAUAGAAGAUAAAGACAGUGAGAUCAGUGAAGAAAAGAAGGACUCUGAUUCAACAAUCAAAGCAAUUCCAGAGAAAGAGCUUCUGAAGGAAGAAAUGCUGAAGAAAUCAACUUUUCCACCUUUUCCUCAAGCAUUACAGGGGAAAAAGGGGGUUAGAAAUGCAGCUGAAAUCCUUGAAGUCUUAAGACAAGUAAAAGUUAAUAUUCCACUGCUGGAUAUGAUCAAACAAGUUCCAACGUAUGCAAAAUUCCUAAAGGACUUGUGUACUAUCAAAAGAGGGGUUGACUGUAAACAAGAAAGCCUUCUUGACUGAGCAAGUAAGUGCAAUCUUACAAUGCAAGUCUCCUUUGAAGUACAAAGACCCUGGAAGUCCUACCAUUUCAGUCAUGAUUGGAGGAAAGGUAGUGGAGAAAGCCUUGCUAGACUUGGGAGCAAGUGUGAAUUUGCUUCCAUACUCUGUCUACAAGCAACUGGGACUUGGAGAGUUGAAGCCAACAGCAAUCACUUUAUCUUUGGCAGAUAGAUCAGUGAAAAUUCCAAGAGGAGUAAUUGAGGAUGUAUUGGUUCAAGUGGAUAAUUUCUACUAUCCAGUAGAUUUUGUUGUUCUUGAUACUGAUCCAACUGUAAAGGAAGCUAAUUUAGUUCCUAUCAUCCUUGGAAGGCCAUUUCUUGCAACUUCAAAUGCAAUCAUCAACUGUAGAAAUGGGCUUAUGCAACUCACUUUUGGUAACAUGACACUGGAUCUCAAUAUUUUCUAUAUGUCUAAAAAGCAAAUCACUCCUGAGGAAGAAGAAGGUCCAGAAGAGCUAUGUAUUAUUGAUACUUUGGUGGAGGAGCACUGCAAUCAGCAUAUGCAAGAUAAGUUGAAUGAAAGUCUUGUGGAUAUUGAGGAAGGUUUUUCUGAAUCUCCUAUUGGGCUUGCUACUCUACAAAGUUGGAGAAAGAUAGAAGGAAUUCUACCUUUGUUCAAUGAAAAAGAGGAGGCAACUGUUGAAGAAGAAAUUCCAAAACUCAAUUUGAAGCCUUUACCUGUGGAGCUGAAAUAUACAUAUCUUGAAGCAAAUAAUCAAUGUCCUGUUGUGAUAUCCUCAUCUCUGACCAGUCAUCAAGAGAAUUGUUUAAUGGAAGUUCUCAUGAGGUGUAAGAAGGCAAUAGGAUGGCAAAUAUCUGACUUGAAAGGCAUUAGUCCUUUAGUUUGUACUCAUCAUAUAUAUAUGGAGGAGGAAGCAAAGCCAAUUCGUCAAUUUCAAAGAAGGUUGAAUCCUCAUCUACAAGAGGUGGUGCGAGCUGAGGUGCUGAAGCUACUUCAAGCAGGAAUCAUUUACCCUAUUUCUGAUAGCCCUUGGGUGAGUCCUACUCAAGUGGUACCAAAGAAGUCAGGGAUCACAGUGAUUCAAAAUGAAAAAGGGGAAGAAAUUACUACACGCCUCACUUCAGGUUGGAGGGUGUGUAUUGAUUAUAGAAAGCUGAAUGCUGUCACCAGGAAGGAUCAUUUUCCAUUGCCAUUUAUUGAUCAAGUGCUGGAGAGAGUCUCUGGACAUCCAUUUUAUUGUUUCUUGGAUGGGUAUUCAGGCUAUUUUCAAAUUGAAAUUGAUUUGGCAGAUCAGGAAAAGACCACUUUUACAUGUCCAUUUGGAACAUUUGCUUAUAGAAGAAUGCCUUUUGGUUUAUGCAAUGCACCUGCUACAUUUCAAAGAUGUAUGUUGAGUAUUUUCAGUGAUAUGGUGGAGAGAAUUAUGGAGGUUUUCAUGGAUGACAUCACCGUAUAUGGAGGUACAUUUGAGGAGUGCUUGGUUAAUUUGGAAGCAGUUCUUCAUAGAUGCAUUGAAAAAGAUUUGGUGCUGAACUGGGAGAAAUGCCAUUUUAUGGUACGUCAAGGAAUUGUCCUUGGCCAUAUCAUCUCUGAAAGAGGCAUUGAAGUUGAUAAAGCAAAGGUGGAGCUUAUUGCCAAAUUACCAUCUCCAACAACUGUGAAAGGAGUAAGACAGUUCCUUGGCCAUGCAGGGUUCUAUAGGAGGUUUAUAAAAGGUUUUUCAAGUCUUUCAAAACCUCUUUGUGAGCUGUUAGCUAAGGAUGCUAAGUUUAUAUGGGAUGAAAGGUGUCAGCAUAGCUUUGAUCAACUGAAGAAGUUUUUAACAACAACUCCAAUAGUGAGAGCCCCUAACUGGCAAUUACCUUUUGAACUGAUGUGUGAUGCCAGUGACUUUGCUAUAGGAGCUGUGCUUGGCCAAAGAGAAGAUGGGAAGCCCUAUGUGAUUUACUAUGCAAGUAAAACACUAAAUGAAGCUCAGAGGAACUACACAACUACAGAGAAAGAAUUGUUAGCUGUGGUAUUUGCUUUGGACAAAUUUCGAGCUUAUUUAGUGGGGUCUUUCAUCAUUGUCUUCACUGACCAUUCAGCCUUGAAGUAUUUAUUGACAAAGCAAGAUGCAAAAGCAAGGUUGAUUAGAUGGAUUCUAUUGUUACAAGAGUUCGAUCUUCAAAUCAAAGAUAAGAAAGGAGUGGAGAAUGUAGUAGCUGACCACUUGUCAAGGUUAGUUAUAGCACAUAAUUCCCAUCCCUUGCCUAUCAAUGAUGAUUUUCCUGAAGAAUCACUCAUGUUCCUAGUGAAAACUCCUUGGUAUGCUCAUAUUGCUAAUUAUUUAGUAACUGGGGAAAUUCCAAGUGAGUGGAAUGCACAGGACAGGAAGCACUUCUUUGCCAAAAUUCAUGCUUAUUAUUGGGAAGAGCCCUUUCUCUUUAAGUAUUGUGCAGAUCAGAUUAUUAGGAAGUGUGUCCCUGAAGAUGAGCAGCAAGGGAUUCUAUCUCAGUGUCAUGAGAAUGCAUGUGGAGGCCACUUUGCCUCUCAGAAAACAGCCAUGAAGGUAUUACAAUCAGGGUUUACUUGGCCAUCUCUUUUCAAAGAUGCCCACAUCAUGUGUAGAAAUUGUGAUAGAUGCCAAAGGCUUGGAAAGCUAACAAAAAGAAAUCAAAUGCCUAUGAACCCCAUUCUGAUAGUUGAGAUAUUUGAUGUUUAGGGCAUUGACUUCAUGGGACCUUUCCCAAUGUCUUUUGGUAAUUCUUACAUUUUGGUGGGGGUAAAUUAUGUUUCUAAAUGGGUUGAGGCAAUCCCCUGUAAGCAAAAUGAUCACAGGGUGGUUCUCAAGUUUCUUAAAGAGAACAUUUUCUCAAGAUUUGGGGUGCCCAAGGCCAUAAUCAGUGAUGGAGGAGCUCAUUUUUGCAACAAACCUUUUGAAGCUCUGUUAUCCAAGUAUGGAGUGAAGCAUAAGGUAGCCACACCUUAUCAUCCUCAGACAUCCGGGCAAGUUGAGCUAGCUAACAGGGAAAUAAAGAACAUUUUGAUGAAAGUGGUGAAUUCCAACAGAAAAGAUUGGUCUAUUAGGCUUCAUGAUUCAUUGUGGGCAUAUAGAACAGCUUAUAAAACUAUUCUUGGGAUGUCUCCCUAUCGUCUUGUCUAUGGCAAAGCAUGCCAUCUCCCUGUGGAAGUUGAAUACAAAGCUUGGUGGGCAAUAAAGAAGCUGAAUAUGGACUUGAUCAAGGCCGGAGAAAAGAGAUUUCUAGACCUUAAUGAGAUGGAGGAAUUAAGAAAUAAUGCUUAUAUCAAUUCCAAAGUUGCAAAACAGAGGAUGAAGAAGUGGCAUGAUCAACUCAUCUCCAACAAGGAAUUUCAGGAAGGGCAAAAAGUUUUGAUGUAUGACACAAGACUCCAUAUCUUUCCUGGGAAGCUCAAAUCAAGGUGGAUUGGUCCAUUUGUUAUUCACCGAGUAUAUUCCAAUGGAGUGGUGGACUUAUUGAAUUCCAAUGGCAAGGAUAGCUUUAAAGUCAAUGGAUAUCGUCUCAAGCCGUUCAUGGAGUCAUUCAAAUCAGAAAAGGAGGCAAUCAACCUCCUUGAACCUCAAAAAGCCUAAGUGAAAAGGGUUUGCUGGACGUGGCUUUACCACAGUCCAAAAUUUUUGUAAAUUUUGUAAAUUUUCAAGUUGUUUCUAUACUUUUGAUUUUAGUUUUUGAUCUUAAAUCAUGUUUUUAGGUGUGUUUUAAUCGUUUUAAAUGAUCCCAGGUGGAAGAAAUUUCAAGGGGAUUGAAAGAAAAAAAAUCGGGUCGAAAUUGGAGCCGAAACAGAGCAAAAACAGGGGAAAAACAGAGCUCUGCGAAAUUUCGCAGGGUGAAGGAAACCUCUGCGAAAUGAGCAUUUUGUUGCGAAACCAUUCCGCAGCACUGUAGAAGCCUCUGCGAGUGUAUUUCGCAGCUGCGAAAGUGAAUUUGGCACACGAGUGCCACUUCGCAGUACAGUAGCAUCCAUUUGGCAGCUGCGAAACUCAUUGCGAAAUGGAAAAGCGUGAUUUCGCACCAAAAGUCCCAUUCCGCAGGGUAUUUCGCAAUUGCGAAAGUGGUUUUGGCACACGAGUGCCACUCCGCAGCACAGUAACAUCAAUUUCGCAGCUGCGAAACUCACUGCGAAGUUGCUGCGAAAAUGGCAAGUUGCUGCGAAAUUGGCGUUUAGUUGCGAAACUUAAACUGACCCCUGAGCUUCCGUUUUUCCUAUUUAUACCGGUCAAAAGUGCUGCGAAAAGGGUUUCAAAAAUCAGAGCACCAUUCUCGCAGCCCCUUCAUCUUCUUCGCCAAGCCACGCCGUCCGAACCUCCGGUCGUCUUCUCCGUUUAGCAGCGCCGGCCAAAGAUCGAUAUUCCAAAAUGGCACGAACGCGAGGGGCAAAAUCUUCAUCCCCUUCGAAUCGCAAAAGGAGUCUGCGAAAGGAGCCAAGUCCAGGUUCUGCUCCAGAACCUGCUCCAAAGCCUUCGCCGUCGAGACCACAACCUUCUCCAGUGAAGCCGGCGCCACUAAAGCCGCCGGCAAGACGAUAUUUGACAAGGUCAGGCGGUUGGCCAUUGAAGAAGAAGCCCAGGGUUGAGAGCUCUGAACCAAUUGAUUUGACUGAGCAAUCCCCUGAGCAGUCCCCAAAUCCUUCACCAGUUCAAACUCCAGUGCCGUCACCGGUUCCCUCGCCAAUUCCCUCACCUGAAGCAACUCCAAUUCCAUCGUCGGUACCAUCUCCGGCACCCCAAGAAAAAGCUCAGGAGCCUCAAGCGCCAAUUCCAGAGCCCCAAAUUGCAGCUGAAGCACCUCUGGAAGAAGUGAUCCGAAGGCCAAUGCUGCCCCAGCCCCCAAUCGAAGGAAACUUGGAUUGUCGAACACGGGCAUUCCAUUCUGAGCUUUGCUUCGAUUUAACAGCAUUCAGAGUGAGGCCAGAGCUUGCCCAAUCCUUCCAGCUGCUGAGGAGAUAUCAUAUGGAGCAUCUGCUAGCUCCAAGGGAUUUUUUCUAUCCCCGGGUAGUCACGGACUUCUACCAGACCAUGACAACCAAAGAAGUAAGAAAUCCAACUCUGAUCCAUUUCAUAAUUGAUGGAAGGCAUGGUAUUUUGGGAGCAAGACACAUUGCUGAAGCUCUGCAAAUUCCUUUUGAGCCAACCCAAUUCGACAAUUUUAAAGCUUGGGUAAAUCCUACUGAGUUAGAGAUGGUUCGCACACUAACCAGAGGAGCUGCAAAUCGAUCACACCUGUUGAGGGGGGAGCUACCUCCAGUGAUGUUUUUGAUUGAUGCCUUUUUGAGGCAUAAUAUCUAUCCCCUGCAGCAUUGGACCCAAAGAAGGGGAAUUCUCCUGGAAGCUUUGUACAAGAUGUCAGAAGGAUUCUUCUUUGGGCCCCAUCAUCUUAUCAUGGCAGCCCUUCUAUACUUUGAGGAAAAGGUUCACAAGAAGAAACUUCAAAGAGCAGAUUGCAUUCCACUCCUCUUCCCAAGGCUGCUAUGCCAAGUUUUGGAGCAUCUCGGAUACCCCUCUGAGCCUCAGCAGGAAAGAAAGAGAAUAUGCCGUGAGCCAUUUACUCUUGAUAAAUGGAAUAAUAUGACGGCCUACAAAAUUGAUCAGCCUGGGCAGCCUCAGCCAGCAGCAAGGAGAGCCUCCCCAAGACAUGCACCUGAAGGUAUAACACUUGCUACUCCUGCCAUCCCUCGAGCUUCACCAGCUGCACCUGCUGCAUCACAGCCAUCCACAUCAGCUGAGCCGAGGAUGGCCAUCCCUAUAUCCGAAUAUCGAGAGCUGUGCCGAGCAUUGGAGACUCUUACAGCUUCCCAGAGCAAUCUUGCUCAAGAGUUGGCAGCCAUCAAAGCAUGCCAGGAGCAGAUGUUAGCCUCUCAGGCUCAACAAGCUGCCAUCCUAAGGCAGCUUCAAGUCCAUUUCGAUCUGCCACAAGCUGUAGAGCCCUCCACUGAGACUCCACCAGAGCCACACUCUCAGCCUUCAGAGUCUCUUCCUCCAGAGCCAGAAGCCCCAACUGAUCCACCUACAGAGGAGGCGGAUCCUUCUGCUUAGCACCAUCACCCCACUCAUCAGACAUUAUAUAUAUUUGCUGUUUAUGUUUUUAUGCAUGUUUGUUUUGUUUUAGUUGAAAUGAAAUCCCAGUAUUUUGGUACUAUAUAUGGGAUUCCUUGUGAUUACUUGUCCUUAGCAUUGUACUCGAAUGAAUUGAAAGUAAUACAAGUUGAAUUUUUCUUGUUAAAAGUUAGCAUUAAAAUUCUCCUUAUUUCCUUUUCUCACAUAUUCUAUUCUUUUUGAAACAUGUGGUUUUCCCCAAUCAAUAUUCGAAUUUGAUAUCAGCAUGGAGGUACCACUUCCUCCCUUUUAUUACAGUCACUCAAAUCACAUUGAGGACAAUGCUCAGUUCGGUUGGGGGGUAUGAGGAAGGAAGUAUUCUAAAUCUUUUUGGUAUUGCAAUUAUAUUGGUUAAUUAGUUGUAGAUUUUACGUUUUACUCUUGUUACUCUAUUCUCCAUGAAUUUUGAGGAAAAAUUUUCAAAUUAAACCAAGAGAAAUUGAACUGUUGUUUUUCACUUGACUUAGAGUAUGGAUUAUGCUUACUAAAGUGGUUCAAUUGUUGAAACUUCUACUGAAAUUGAAUUGAGUUCUUCCAUUUUAAGCUAUCCACACACUGUGCACAUUAGUUUCUGAUUAUAAGAUGAAAAGCUAUUUCCCUCUUGACUUAGGAUAAUUUUGGGACUUGGUAUAUUUGACCUCAUUUGAUAAAAAUUGAAACACCCUGCAAAAGGCCAAUGAGCCUUUGAAAUAAAGAAAGAUGUUUGCUUGCCUUGAAACCCGAGCAAGGUCUGAGGGGCAUAUGGUGAAAGCCUUUAAAGCCUGGUGCCCUAAGCCUUAAUUGGUUGGGAGUCACCGACCUCAAUGCUCGUUACAAGGGUGAAUAGGUAGAGCUAGCAUAUGGUAGAUGCUUGGGUAUUAGAAAUUCAUUCUUAAAAGUCCAGGGAAAAAUCCGAGGAGUUAGUGGUUGAAAGAUCCUUAAAACUUGGUGCCCUAAACCUUAAUUGGUUGGGAGUCAUCGAUGGACCCCCAUUACAUGGACAAGUCAGAAAGAGUACCCCAUAAAGCUACUUUAAAAAAAAAAAAAAAAAAAAAAAAAAGAUGAUGAAAGUGUGUUCUUUUCUUAUUGAUUUUGGUCAGAUUGCUAAAGUGUUGAAAAGAGAUAGGUUGGGGGGGGAGACUAGUUUAGCAUAUUAUUCUCGGAAUCUAAGGAACCAAUACACAUAGAUUUUUGUGGAAGAUUGAAGUUUAGUUCUUAGAAAGUGAAAUGAUUUUAAAACUUCAGUUUGCAUAAUGCACUCCCUUGAUUGACAGUGUUUAGCAUAGGUGUUAUGACUCUUGUUGAGAUUUGGGUUUGUAUUUCUUUAAUGAUUCAUGUGAGAAGUAAAUCAUCAUGCCACUUAAGAAUUAUUUUCCUUUCAGCAUGAUGUUGUAAAUUUUAGAUUAGUUUGCUAUUUAUUUUUAUUUUUCUCUCCUUUAUUGCUAAGGGACUAGCAAUAUGUCGGUUGGGGGGAGUGAUUACUACUCAAAAAGUGCUAUUUGAUAGCCUUUAAUUAAUCCUUUUUAACACUUUUGAGUAGUAGUUUAGGCCUUUUAACUCAAUUGGCAUGUUAAGGAUCCUUUAAAGCAAUUUUGAUCACUUUGUGCAAGUUUUGGUGUUUUUGUUAGUAUUUCGAUCACCAAAGCAAGUCAAGAAUGAGGAGAGCUAUGAGGAAUCUUGGGCAAAGCUUAGAAUUCAAUUGCCAAGAGUGAAUCCGGAUUGCAAGGAGAAAAAGCAAAGAGGAUCAGUCAUGGAGCAUAUUCUUGAUGACAGUCGUAGCAGCCACUUUUGGAGCACUUUCUGAAGUCCAAAUGAUGCAAGCUAUAUACCAUUUCAAAGCUCAGGAAGUCAACAAUCCAAUGCUUCAAACGGUGUGCGAUUCGGAAUUGAAACGAAGAAGUUGCAGCCAUUACAAGCCAGACACUCUAAAGUGUUGCGGAAUCAGCCAUGUGUUGCGAGAAUUUCGCAGCACUUUUGUACAGUAAGGUGUUUCUCCUUCUAACGAUGCACGAACCAUGCCGCGAGAAGGGAGCUGGAAACUUCAAGAUGGAAGCCAACUUGGCAGCCUAGUGAAGAUAGCUCGGUCUUGCAAGAUAAUUUCGCAGCCCUCUUGGGUGUCUGCGAAAUUUCGCAGGCCUCAUUUUUCACCUGCGAAAUGGCUCCUGAAGCCUCCCGAAGCUUGCUACCGACAUUGGGAGAUAUUUUCCAUUAGAUUUUUGUUGUCUAAAUCCCAAAAUACUCCUUGUAAACCACCAAUUACAUGAUUCCUUAGUUUUUAAGUUAGUAAAAAGACCAAAUAUCUUUGUAACAAUUAGUUUUAUAUUUUGUUGUUAUAAAUACCUCUCGGGAGCCUGUUCUCAGGGAGGAGUUCCUUCUGUAAACGUUUGGUAAGCAAGUAAAGUCUAUUUUCUUUCUACUGCCUUACCUUCUCACUUUGUAUUUUCAUUUUAUUUCUAAGUUAUGAAUUCUCUGAGGAGUUUUCCCCAAAGAAUGAGUAACUAAACCUCCAAUUCCUUGGAGCUAAGGUUGCCGGGGAAGGUUCCAAGUGCAAGAAUGCAAAGCUCUGUGGUUUUAGCUAGUAAUGAAGAGGAAGUGAAAUCCUUUAGUGAUUUCAAUGUUUUUAGUUAACUUAAAACACUUUGGAGUCACCUGGGCCAACACUUGGUAAGGCAAGUGAUUUCCAACCAUGGAAAUGCACUAGUUUACCCCUUGCGAGCCUCUGGUAGGUGACUUCAAGGUAGGAUUUUCUGGAAUUACCAACACUUGGUAAGCUUUUGGACUCCUAGGAGACAUCCAUUAGUUAUCUCUUGCGAGUUUGUGAAGGGAAUCCAAGGUUAAAGAUCACCUUGAAUGGUAAGUGCUCGUGAGAGGCAUGAACCAUUGCAAGUUGUAUCAGUGAGAGAAUUAAAGUGAAAUCUAAUUGAAGGAGUCUUUGUACAUCACCGGUUAGAGAAUUGACUAUAAGUUGAAUCUCUAAUGCGAGGAAAUGAACCAACUGACCAGAGCCGUGUCUUUUGCAUGAGGAACCACCCCAGUGAACCUAAAUCUCCAAGGAAUGUUUUUUUCUUCCUAAAUUAUUCCAAACUUCUGUUAAGUUAGUUAGUUUAAAUCUCAACCUUUACAAAUCAAAGUUUGUGUUUUAUUCCUUAAGCUAACCGUGAAAUGAAACAAGACCAAUUCACUUGGAAUUGGUAUCAUUGAUUGCCUGCAAAUCAUUCCCAAUGAACGAUCCUAGAGCCACUAUACUAUAGUAGCUUUGUAUUUACUACCCUAGUGUAUGGUGUUAUAGGUAUAAAUUUUGUUGAUCACUUCCUCAAUCAAGGAGCACCAGCUGAACACAAAUCAGCUGAGACACCAAUUAGGCAUGAGUCAGUCAUCUCCAUUAUUGUUUUAUUUUUUCUUUCCACCACCCCAUUUUGUUGUGGGGUGUAUGGUGCAAUGAGCUGGUGAUCUAUGCCUGCAUCUUCACAAAAUUUGUUGAAUUUUUCUGAAGUAUAUUCUGUACCAUUAUUCGACCUUAUAACCUUGAUUCUGUAUUCACUUUGAUUUUCAACCAUGGCCUUAUAUCUCAAAAACACAUCAGCAACCUCAGCUUUGUAAGUGAGAAAAUAAAUCCAACAAAAUCUUGUGAAGUCAUCAAUAAAUGCAAUAUAGUACUUACUCCCUUUCAAAGAUGGUGUCUUUUGAGGUCCACUCACAUCUGUGUGAACCAAUUGUAGUUUCUGUGUUGAUUUCCAUGCUGCUUUUUGAGGAAAAGGAAGUCUUGUUUGCUUCCCAUAUUGAUAGGCUGCACAUAUAGGAAGUUCUUCUUCCAAAUCAGGGAGUCCUUCUACAAUCUAAUUCUUCUUCAUGUAGAGCACGGUAUUGUGGUGGAAAUGCCCUAAUCUUUUAUGCCAAAGCAUUGUAUUGUUCUCGUGUUGUGCAGCAGUAAUUUGCUCAUCUUCUAACAUAUUUAAGGCAAAACUUUUGCCUUUCAUUUUUAUGUUGAACACCUCUUUGCCUUCAGCAUCCUUGAUUAUGCAAUUUUUGUCUUCAAAACAAACUUUAAACCCUUUCUCAACAAGCUGUCCAACACUUAGCAAAUUUUGGUCAAUGUCAGGCACAAACAAAACAUCAGAAAUGAGCUUUAAACCUGUUAGGCUUUCAAUAGCUAAUGUUCUUUUACCUUUUACUGGAAUAUACUCACCAUUUCCUAUUCUAACUUUGGAAAUAGUUGUCCUAUCAAUCUCCCUAAAGCGAUCUUGAUCAUGUCAUGUGGUUUGUGCAACCACUGUCCACGAGCCAGCUUUCAGAGGUGCUACCGUUUGCAAAACAUGUUGCUGAAAAUAGUUGUUCCUCCUGGUAUUGUUCAGCUGCUACAUUGGUUUCUCCCUGCUGCUGCUGAGUUCUACAGAUCCUUUCUAUGUGUCCAUGUCUACCACAUUUGUUGCAUUUCACAUCUGGUCUCCACCAACAUUUUUGUUGAGGAUGAUUUGUUUUCUUGCAAUGAGGACAGGGUGGAUAGGUUCCAGUUUUUUUAUUGUUGUUGUUGCUUGGCUUAUUGUUGUUCUUUUUGUUCUUCCUCCUUCUUGUGUUACCUUCAUUGGUCUGUGUCUUUGCUUGAAAAGCUCCUUCUACAGAACUUCCUUGCCUCAUGAGUCUUCUUUGUUCCAAAGCUUGUAAAGCAUUUAGUAGUUCUGCCAAGGUGAUACUUGACAAAUCUUUUGUGUUUUCCAAAGAAGAAAUUGUAGCUUCAUAUUUUUCAGGAAUUGUGACAAAAUUGUUUUGAACAACUCUUUCAUCAGAAAACUCUUUACCUAGCAACCUCACCUUGUUUGCUAUGGUAAGAAGUUGUUCUGCAUAAUCUUUUAUGGUUUGAGACUCUUUCAUCCUCACCAUUUCAAAUUCUCGAAUUAGAUUCAUUACCUGCACAUUUCUGACUCUUUCAUUGCCUUGAUAUUCUUCCCGUAGAUGCUUCCAGAUUUCUGCAACAGAUUCAAGUUGCAUGAUUCUGGUGAGAAUUAAUGGUGAGACUACAGAAAAUAAGCAAGCCUUGGCCUUAGCCUUCCUCGUCUUUUUCUCCUUAUGGUUUUUCAUCUGUGACACAGUUGGAUUGGCUCCAAGUGGAGAAAUUUCAUAAUCUUCCUCUAUUGCUUCCCAGACAUCAAGAGCCUGUAGAUGAACAGUCAUCCUGACAGCCUAAGUUUGGUAAUUUUCUCCAUUGAAGACUAGUGGUGCUGCUGUGAAGCUUGCUUCUUCCAUUUCUGCAAGGUUUUCAGAUUCAGGUUUGGUAUACGGUGUUUAGGCUCACACACCUCACUGGUCCCUCAAGACAAAAAUUGCUCUGAUACCAAACUGUUGGAAGCAGGCGAGGUUAACACACCAAGCAACAGAGAACAGAGAUAUGCUGCUACUGAUCUAUAUUUUUUAUUUGAUCAUAAGGCUGAAUUUAUACAGAUUGUGUAACAUAUAUGACCUCAAAAAAAGCAUCAAAUCAAGCUACUUGUUGAACAAAAAACUACCUCCUACAAAAUAGCAUCAGAAUUUAACUUAAAAGCAAAAACAUAAUAAUAGCAACAGCAAAAACAGAAACAUAAAAAUAGCUUCAACAUUCUAGUAAUCUCAUUGACUUCAAUUGCAUGUGGUUGACGAUUUCAGCCUUUUCCUCAGCAGCUACUAAGGCAUAACUCUCAACAGGGCCUCUUAAUUUCCAUUCUGGCAUCUAUAUGACCUGAUAAAUAGAAAGAAAAAAAAACAGAAGAAAAGCGGCACCUGGGUUCAUAGUAAGCAUCAAGACAGGAUGCUGAAAGAAGGGAGAGAGGAGAUUGCAAGUCCAAUCCUGAUAAAAUAUCAACAAAGAGUAUUAAAUGGGGCCAACAUAAAGACCCAUUAAGGUCAGCAGAUGGCAUGGCAUUUUUCUCCUUAAGUUUUCCAUGAUUAGGCUUGAAGUCAAAAUUUCACAUGUAAAUUUGUAUUUCUACAUUUCCCACUGACGACACCCAACUUCAACUUGAGUUAGAAUAACAUUGUGUGAACUUAUCUGGCCCUCAAAAUUUACUGUGAAGUGCUUUCUGCGUGUGAAGAUUCAGAAAAGCACCAAGGGAACAUGUAUGGUCUGCCUUUUUCUGAUGUUAUGUUUGUCUCUAAUUCUGUUCCAUGUCAUGGUAAAUGUUCACAUUGCUUGUAUGGAACACACCAGGAUCACUUUUUCAGGUUUAGGGGGAUACAAAAGGCUUCAUAUUGGGUUCAAUGCUUUUAAUGUGUUCAUUGGACAAAUCUGAAUUAUCAUACGCAUUUAGAUAAGAACAAUAAUGUGAAACCCUAGUUACACCUCCCCUGCAUAACCCCAACCCUGCUUGCUCUAUUUCAGUUUACUCACAAGUUUUACUGGUUCUUAUAAGUCAAGAAAAGGCAACUGAUGUUGGAUCGACUCUCUUCCAUGUAAAAAAUGCAACUUUUAUACAUAUAAAAGAACUUCUUCCCCUCACCAAUGUGGGAUUUCAUAGAUUUAUUCUGGAAACACAUCAAAGGAACAUCUUUUCUCUUGGGUGACCCUAAGUGGUGAGUCAGAUCAUUUGCAUGCCAUUGAGUUGCACAGUUGGAUAAAUGCACCUGCCUCCUGGGCUCCAGAGUUAAAAGGGUGGAUCCCUGGAUUGCAACCCUCUUGGCAUCUUGGUUUCUAUUCCAACAUCCACAUGACUUGACAAAACAAAAAACAGAAUAAAAUCAGCACUAUAUUCAUGCUAAGCACCAAUACAUGAUGGAAAUCAUUGCUUAAAGAUUUGGGGUCGUUUUAGGUUUUGACUGCCUCCUACCACCUCACCUAAUGACAAGUUUUUAUGCUUACAAAUCAAAUAUCGUUCUUCAUUAUAUUAAAAUCAUUUUAAGAUUUCAGAUCCAUCUGCUAAUUAUGAUUAUGAUAACAUUUAUUCACCUGUGCUUCUCAUUUUCGACACACAAGGCAUCUAGGUUUGCAGGAUUUCCUUAUUAGAUGAGAUAAAUGAGUACGUAUGGUUAUGUAUCCAGCAUUCAUUAACCAUGGUAUGUGACAUUUAGAAUUAAGAUAGCAAGCAAACUUUCCCUGCAGCUAGAGUAAAUUGUGAUUUCUUAGCCUCUAUGAGUGGUUCCCAAAUCAAAUUAACAUAGUGAAAUAUACGUAGUCCAGUGAAAGGAAAUGUAAAUUAUAAACUAACAGCACUACACUACUGGUAACAAUCGAUACUCUCUAUAUAAUGCAAUAAACAAUGUCACAAUUGCCUACAAGCAAGGCACAAACACUAGAACAAGUAAAGCACAAACCUUUCCCAACAGUUCCCAGUGACUGAUGCAUAUCAUACCCUCAACUCACAGAAGGGGAUGAUAUCAGUGCACUGCAGCACUUAUUUUACACAUACUACCACUACUACUACUACUACUACUACUCAUUAGCCAAAGUCACUCAGUUGGGAUGAGUGUGAGGUAGAGGUUUGUGGGGUGCUAUGUGGAAAGGAGUUUGGCUUCUUCUCAGGAGAUGGUAGCUUCUUUGCAGGAGUUGAAGGAGGCUUAAUCUUCUGUGGUGGAUUGAUUGUAUGAGUCUUUGGCACUCUCUUCUCUAGUACAGGUGAAUACCCAGGGGUGCAUCCAUAAUGCGGUGGCUUCUAUCCCUUAGGUGGUUUGCCAAAUUCAAAAUCGAAGGAUUUUUUUUUUUUAAGUAUACGUAUCUUUGAAAGCUUUUAUUUUGUAUGGCAAAUGGAAUGAGAGGAGCAGUCAUAUUCUAUUUGGCCAGAGCAACAUAUCACAAAUGAACAAGCUAUUUACUGCCACACUGGGCAAAACAUACAUAAUCCUUGUACUUCAAACAUCCAUGAAUUCUCAUCAUUUUCAGGACACGUUGCAUGGUCUAUCAUUCUAUAUGUCGGCAUAGUAAGUGCAGCUAAUAAGCCUAUUCAGAGCUGAAAUUCAAAAUCUAUUCACAGGAUAAUGACCUUAUUAUUGGAUUUUGCUCACUGUCAUACACACAUAUCAGAUAAAGCCCCACAUGCUCAUAAGCUACAAGCAACCUACAAGCACUAAAAUGAGUGUUAGACGUAUGAAACAUUCCCCAAUACUAGUAGUAUUACCUGUUCCAUAGAACACUAAAUUAGAAGAGAGAAGAUGUGAGACUCCAGCUUUUCUUUCUACAUAUUACUCAUAUCAAGUUGGAAUAGUUAGGCGGUAGAGGCUUGGGGUGGCUUGUGUAGGGGACUAGGCAGCUUCUCUCAGGAGUUGAUUUCGUCUUAUUCUGGAUGUCCAGGUUUCGUCCUUUCGAAUUUCCCAUGCAAAUCAGCAUUCUCCUUGGGAAACUUCACUCCGUUGGGAAACUUGUGUGAAUCUUUGGCAUUCUCUACCAGAGAAGGCCCAGGGCAGUGACCAUAAGGUGGUGGCCUUUUUUCAGGUGGUGGCUCCUCUCCCACUGGAGGCUUGUGGUAAUCAGCAAGAGAGGCAGUGGAGAGAAUCAUCACCCCAAGGAACAGCACUAGCAAGUAUUUGUGAGCCAUAUUUGGGAUCUGAUGAUGAAGACUAGAAGAUAGGAGUUGCCUCAUAUAAUGGGUUGGAGACUAUAUCUCAAGGGGACGUGUAUUUAUGCAUAUGAUCUAUAUAGGACCAUCCUCCUAAUAUUUUCAAAAUAAUGUUAUUGUCUCUCUUGGGUGACAGUUUGAUUUGGUCUAUUUCCAUGCCACUGAGUAGAAAAGUUUGACAAUUGGCUACACCACCUACCUGGAUUACAUGGUUGAAAGUGAAGAUCAGUACAGUGUGAUCACACUUGACCUCUUGUUCCCCAUUCCAGUAUCUAAUUAACCUGACAAAAGUAAAAGGAAAGGAAAAAGGGAAAAAAUAGAAUAAUGUUCAAAUAAAAACGAGAAAAAAUAGCAUAAUGUUGAUGAAUCAUGAUAAGCAUCAAGGCAUGAUAGUGAGAGAGAGGAAAGAAGACAGUGUAAUUUGCAAUCCUGAUAAUCAUUAUAUAGCAGUAACUUUAAUCAUUUUUCUAUCACAGGGAACAUGACACUCAUCUUCCUAUGGAGAUAUUGCAUAAGUUUUUUUCUUUGUAUGUCAACACUAACCAAUGAAGCAUGUUAGCUGGUUUGAAACUGAAACUGUAGCCCUCUGUUUGGUUCUUGAAAAACUUGAGAGAAAAUGGAAGUAAAGUUAAAAGGAAAGAAAAAGUGAAAAAAAAUAAAAAUAGAUUGAAAGUUAACAAAUUAUUUUUACAUGUUCCCUCAAAUUUCUUUCACUUAUUUUUCCUUUUCUAUAUAAAGAUUAAAUGAUUUAAAAAUCAUAAAUUUCUAACUAAUUAUAACUAUAUUUGAUUUUCUUUCAUAUUUUCCAAGAUAAAGUCAGACAUGAGAAAAUCAUUUUCCUUAAAAAAGAAAUUCUUUCCUUUACAGUUUCUUAGAACCAAACCUGGCACAAAAGUCCAAAUUGGGGUUUCUCCAUGUUCCAUUUUUUAUGGCUACCUUUAUGGACCAUAUAAUAUAGAAUGUACUUCUGCAUACCUUCAAGAUCAAGCUGAACUAUAAGAAAAAGACAAGCCAUGGCCCACGGAGCAGGGAUACCAAGCUGCCUUCUCCUAGAUUAAGUUCCAAGAUUUCAGUCUUCAAACCUGCUAAAAGCUAAAGGCAUGUUUCCAGCCUGCGGCAGAUAACAUGCACUGUCCAACAAUAAAUUGCAAACACAUUCGAUGCAGUUUAUUAGUACAAUAAGAUUAAAUCCACCAAAUCUUUUACAGUUCAACCAACACUUGAACUAGUAGCUAGCUUCACUACUGGGUAAUAAUAUAUAAACCAAACUCUUGAUAGGAACCAACCUAUCGCAGAUCGAACUUCUUACAUCCACCAUGAAUUACUGAACCAAAAGAAGAAUCGAAGAGACUGCCAAGGAGGAAAGCCUUCCUAUAACUAGAUAUUUAUAUUCCAAAUUAGGGAGAGCACCCACUGCCCAGGCCUCGCCCAGCAUAAACAGAUAGUAUACAUAUACAUGCAAAAAGCUCCAACCUUCAAGAUUUUAACUAUUAACUUAACACAAUUAAAAAUGUAUCCAAAAAGCAAAUCCCCUUGAACUCCUGAAGCAAUUACUCCAACCAAAUAAAGAUUUUAAGAGUUCCAUGUUCAUAUCCUGCAAGGAAAUCAUUCAAUGUUCAGACCUCUAAUUUCUGUCUUUCUAAAUGCCCAGCCAAAAGGCAUAAAGUAUCAUCCAAAUUGGAUGCACAGCAUAUGUUCUUAAAUCAUGGGAUUUCACCAUAAGUUACUACACUCUAACAGGGCCCAGAAAUUGACCUCCAGAUAUGCCUAUCAAAAAAUUAUCCCCACAUACAUUUUUCUGCUGAAAAGACAAUAUUGUUACAUUUGACAUUCAACCACUACUUGAACUCAACAACCAGGGAAAAGAAUAUAGUAUUUCUACCAAUGAGGAUGAGAGGGGCUGGUGAAUUAACAGGUAAAAGUUUGUUUUGGGUUCAUUGUUUGCAUAAUAAUGUAAAAAUGGAGUAGUAUAUUAUAAAUUAAUGUAAAAAUGGAUUAGCAUAACAUAAAUUGCCAUAAGAGAACCACAAACUACAAAGAAACUUAUUUUCCAAACAAGGAAAAUUAUUCAUAGCCAUUAUUACAUAAGAAAGGAAAUUGAUAAAAUUAUUAUCCAGUUCCCCAUCAGGAAAUAUGAAAGUACUCCUAAAAGCCUCAAUUCUAACCAGAAAACCAUAGAAAUGUAUUAGAAAUAUUGUACAGGGUUCUCUCCAAUAUUAGCUUCAGUUGCUAAGGAGAUCAGAACCUUGAAAGUAAGUCACAAAGGUCGUGUGGGUUUCCCAGAGUCUUCAACAACCAGUAUUCACAUAUGUACACAUUAAAAUUAAAUAAAGCAGGUAUCAAUUCCACAGGCUUUAAGAUUUGAAUUGCUUCUCCCUGGAAUCAUACACCACUCAUAUUGUCACUGACUUUCAAUUACUUCUCCCUGCGAUCAUAUGCCACUCAUAUUGUCACUGCCUUAGGGAACAAAGUGAAAAUCUGCAAUUUCAAUUAAUUCCAACAUAAAAAUAAAAAUCAAUCCUCAAAAAAUGGAUUGCCAGGAGGUAAAUAUAAUAGAAGACGAACAACUCUCACAACCAAGUUAAAGAAACCAGCCGCUAGGUACCUUUGAGUUCUAUACUACCAGGAACAAAUUGGAUGAGAUUAUUUAAAGGCUAUUCCACAGUGGAAAUUCAUUCGUUCAAAAAACAUUUGUCAUGCAUAUAGGCAAUCUAUCCUAUGCAUUCAUACAUCAUGGUCUCAUGCAAUCUUAAUAAAAGUGGUCCUGGAAAAAGAGAGAAAAAAGUAAUUACAAGCCUGUGCGACCAGAUUUCUUUUGUUUUUUUUUUUUUUUUCCUUUGCCAAACAACCAUGUUCAUAGUUUCAGAAGUUCAUUCUGUCUUUAAGAGACCAUGGCAGUGACUUGGCCAUUCAGCUAAGANNNNNNNNNNNNNNNNNNNNNNNNNNNNNNNNNNNNNNNNNNNNNNNNNNNNNNNNNNNNNNNNNNNNNNNNNNNNNNNNNNNNNNNNNNNNNNNNNNNNUCACCAAGGACUCCUCAACCUCAAAAUAAUAGAGAAAGUCUAGGACACCAUGUCACUACUGAGGACAACCCAACACCACAACAUUUCAGUCCGUUCAAAAAGAGUAAUUGGAAUUGUUGCAAAAAAUGUUCAACUAGUCCCAACAGGAGGCAAAUUCCUCCAUUUCUUCAUCGGGUCCGGAUCCUUUGCUCAAAAAGGUAAUUUUCUUACUGCCCUAAAAGAAAAAGGGAAAAUGUGAGUCAUUGGAUUGUUGACUCAGGAGCUUUUGAUCACAUGACUAGAGUGCCACAAUUUUUCAAAAUUAUACACCUUGUUUUGGGGAUGAUACAAUUCGUAUGGCUGAUGGUUCUCUCUCAAAGGUGACUGGUACAAGUUUUAUUGUCAUCUCUAAGGACCUAACUCUUGACUCUAUUCUUUUGGUUCCAAACUUGGAUUGCAAUCUAUUGUCCAUUAGUAAACUCACUUAUGAAAAGAACUAUGUUACUAAAUUUUUCCCAAACCAUUGUGUUUUUUAGAAUUUGAAUUCGGGGAAGACGAUUGGCAAUGUUGAAGUGUGUUUAGGACUCUAUGCCUUCAAAGUGAAUUAUUAUAUUGAAAGACAAUCUUAACCAACAGUUGGUGAAAAAUGGUGUCUUUUUGUCUUUAGUUCUAAUAAAGAUAGUGAUGUUAUGUUAUAGCACUAUUGUCUAGGACAUCCUAGUUUCUUAUAUCUCAAAAAACUCUUUCCAUGGUUUUCAGUGUGAAAUUUGUCAACUAUCCAAGCAUCUUUGCAAGCCCUAUCCAUAGUUUUAAAAGACUUAAGGCACACCAAGACGCAAAGUCCUCUUGGAGCCUUAGGCGCAAGGCACACCUAAGGCGCGAACUUUAGUAAAGUGAGGUGCAUCCUGUUUUACAUAUAUAUUUUUAUAUAAUACAAUCAAGUGCCCGAAAAUUUUCCUCUAAUUUUCCCCUUCUUCUUCAUCCUCUUCUCUUCUUCACAUUGUUCGGGAGGCUAGGACAUUUUUUUUUUUUUACAUGUCUAAAACAAGCAUAUAUUGGGUUUUGGAAGAAGAACAAGCCAAAAUGACAUCGUUUUGGAGCCUAAUCUUUUAAAUAAAUAAAUAAAUAAAUAAAAACCAGCCAAAAAUGACACCGUUUUGGCCCCUGUUCUUUUAAAAGAACAAACCAAACAACGUCAUUUUGAUCUCAGGAAAUUAAAAAAACAAAACCCUCGUCAUUCUCCCUUUGCUACUCUACAACUCAUCGUCAAAGGGUAAAAAGAUGACCAAAAGAAGAAGAAGAAAAAAAAAAAACGACGACAGAGGAUAGAGGUGCACCUGUUGAGGGCGUUGCGCCUAGCCAAGAGGCGAGCGCCUUGCACACUUAAUCAACGCCUCUGUGAAGGGGCGGCUCCUGCAAUCAGGCGAAGCGCUGAAGGGUGAUGUCACAUCGUCUAGAGCCUAGGCGCACCUUUCACAACUAUGACCCUAUCCAACUCAACCAUACAAACCAUCUCAUCUUUUUUCCAUACAUAGUGAUGUUUGGAGGUCAUCUAAAAUAAAGAACAUAACAGGGACUAGAUGGUUGAUGAUCAUACUAGAAUUUCUUAGAUAUUUCUAAUGAAAAAAAAAUCAAAAAUUAGUCAAAUUUUCUAAAAGUGGACCAGAAUUUCUUUAUUGAAUUAAAAAGUUGAAAUUAAUAUUUUGGAAAAGUUAGGGCCGCUCAAGAGGUAGAAAUAGCGCUCGAGUGGUAGAAAUAGCGCUCGAGUGGUAGAAAUAGCCCUCAAGUGGUAGAAAUAGCGCUCAAGCGCUAGGACCGCUCAAGCACUUAACUAGCGCUUGAGCGCUCAUAUAGAAUCUGCCAGAAUAUGGAAGAAUAUUUUUUGGAUAAUCAUGAAAAUUGGAUUUGGAAACUUUAGAAUAUCAAUCUCCUUCGGCCUAGAGGUUUAUAUAAACCCUAUUAUAACCCUUUAGGGUUAAGAAAUUCACCAAGUGGUUUACCCUAACUUGUCAUACCAUUCCCGAUCUCUCAUCAAGGAAUCAAAGUGUUUAAUCUUGGGUUGUUUGAAGACCUGCAUCCCUUCAACAAGGCUAAGGUGUAUUCACUAGAACAAUUGAAAUUGUUGCAUUGCGGACAUGAAUCAAGUUGCAGGUUCUAGAGAGUAAGUCUUUAGAAUAAAGCAGACAAAGAGUUCUAUGUGACUUUAUCUCAUAUAGUGGAUUUAGCUUUGAGGUCUUAGACCUCGUGGGUUUUUAUCUCCAUAGUUAGUGUGGGGGUUUUCCACAUAAAAAUUAUUGUGUCUCUUGAUCUUAUGUUUGAUUUUAGAUAUUCUAUUUAUCCCUGAUAUCUCACAGGUUAACUUUAGGUUAAAAAUUCAACUCCCUAUUUAAUAAUUUUUAAAAUACACCCAUUCACGAGUGUUAUCCUACUGGACAUUGGUUUUUCACCAUAUAUAACACUCAUACCAAAACCCAUGCAACAUGGACUCCAACCUUAAGCUUAACUUUCUACGAAUGGAAAAAAAAAAAGACAUAACAUAAAUAGACAGAUUUAACAACAUGCUCCUAAUCAAGGUGAAUGUCCCUCUUUUUGAAAGAUAUGACCUUUUCCAUACGAGGAGCUUUCUUUAAAAUUUCACCUCUACCAAUUCCCAUGCCUUUACAAAGUUGUGGAAAGCUCCAAAGAGAAGGCCCAGACAUGUAAUGGGUAGAUUCCCUACCUUAGAACCUUACACCAAAGCUAAACCCCUAAUAUUUGUGACUUCUAUAAGAAUCAAUUCAUUUUUUUCCAUAUUUAUUUCUAAAUCAGACAUUGCCUCAAACCACAUGAAGUUAUAACUUGGAUGUUACAGAUGCUCUUAAUUAGUGUCACAAAAAAAUAGGGUAUCAUCAUCAAACAAGAAAUGUGACACUUCCAUCCCCUCCUCCUGUCUUCCUCCCACUUUGAAACUUGAGAUGUAACCCCUUUUAUCUAAUUCUCCUCAAAAUUCAAUUGAAAGCCUUCAUUGCCAAUAUGAAAAUGUAAGGGGAGAGAGGAUCUUUCUACCUCAAAUCCCUUGAGCUCUCAAAGAAACUGAAUAGGACACUAUUUACUAGAAUAGAGAAUUGAGUAGUGGAAAUGAACCAUUUGAUCCACCUCACCCACUUAUGAUCAAAGUCCAUUUUAUCCAACAUCAUUAACAAAAAGUUCCAAUUUACAUGGCCAUCGUCCUUUCCAAUGUCUAACUUGCAAAUUACCCCACUAUUGGGACUCUUUAACCUUGAAUCUAGAGCAUCAUUUAUGAUUAGAACUGCAUCUAGAAAUUGUCUGUCUUCCACAAAAGCAUGCAAAUAAACUAAAACUAUUUUACCCACCACAUUUUUUAGUCUUUUAGCCAAGACUUUUUCCAAUAGCUUGUACAAAAAAACCCCCAACUAAGCUAAUCAAUGUAAAAAAUUUUAGGUUCUCUGCUGCACCUAUAUUAGGGAUCAAGACCAAGAACAUGACAUUUAAAUUUUGCUCAAAGGAACAAUUAUCAAAAAACUCCCCAAGCUCAUUUGCCAAAAUAUUAUAAUAAAUCCAUUUGGCCCCUACAGCUUUAUCCCCACUCAAGCUAGACAAGGCAACAAGAAAUUCCUCAUCAAAGAAAGGUAACUCCAAUUUCCUAGAAUCAGCACAUAGCAUAACUUCAAAGGUCAUCCCAUUAAUGUUGAGUCUCCACUCGCCCAUAUCAGAUAGGAGAUUUUGGAAGGCCCUAAACUCCCCUUCCUUUAUAUUUGCUUCCCAAGCAACCAUUUUGCAUUCACUCAAAUUUUAAACAUGAAGUUUUUUAUUCUUUGGGCAUUGACCAUUUCAUGGAAAAUUUUGGUGUUUUUAUCCACCCCCUCUUUUAACCAAAUUUCUCUUUAUUUUUGCCCCCAUACAUAUAGAUUCUUCUAACAAGGCCCACUUGCUAAACUCAAUCACCACUAACCUUUGGCCUCAACGAUUUCAAGAGAUAAGGUAACUGCUCUCUACUUUGAGUCCCAGAAGUUGAUCCAGUUUAGCACCUCUAGGUUUUUUGUUGAGACAUUCCCAAAACCUUCUUCAUUCCAAGAUUUUAAAUCUCGUUUGACAGCCUUUAGUUUAACUUCCAAAAUAUGACCAUACAAGCCAUCCACAUUAUAACCAUCAACCAACUCCUCACAAAAUCUUUUAAGCCUUUUGUUUUAGGCUACAUAUUUUAAAAUGUAAACUGUGUUUUCCCACUCCUUAUCCUACCUCCAUCUAAAACUAUGGGGUAAUGACCAAAAAUUGGUUUAGGUAAAAUACUCUAGAUUAAAGUAGAAAAACGAUUCUACCAAUCAUCUGACACUAGGAAAUGGCCAAGCUAGCCUUGAAGAAGACAAAAGAUUAUGAACACCACUCCAAGUGAAUAGCCCUCCAACUAGCGAAAGAUCCCAAGGUCAAGUCCUCUAUGUCCUCUGAAAAGAACCUCAUAUCAAACAACAUUCUAAGGCAAUUCCUCCUUUUCAUGGGGAACUUGACCAUAUUAAAAUCCCCUCUGAAGCACUAGAGGUCAUCCCAAAGGCCUCUUAUGGCACCCAACUCUACCCAGAAAUCCACUCUUUCUCCCCUUUAAACCAACCCAUAAACUCUUACGUAUACCUAGACAAAGCUAUCUUCACAAUUCAUAGACAAGCAAUAGAGAAUGCUUCCACCUCCUUACCAAUUAACUCUAAUACCCUACUAUCUUGGAAAACCAAAAUGCCUACUAUCAAGCUUCUAACUUCCAAUACCAUUUCAAAAAUUUUCCUACUCCUAAACUCCUUACCAGUUGAACGAACAUCUAUCGAACCUUGGUUUCUUGUUAACAAACUAGAUCAACCCCUUGAGACCUUAUCAAUGACUUUAUUAUCAUAUACUUUUCCUCAUCAUUUGCUCAUUUGACAUUCCAAGACAGGAUUUUUAGCUUCAUCAUGCAACCUAUGUUGGAUCCUAACUGCUACUCUUGGAGCCCUUUUCCUUUUUGUUGAGCUUUUAUAAUUGACUAAGCAUCCCAACUUGUUGAGGUCCCUCUCAAACCAAGAUAUCGAGGUUAACUUCCUCUUCACCUCCAACGAAAAAACAGAAACCCCUCUCCUUAGCCUGCCACACAAGGGAAAAGAUCUCUUUUUCAAAUCCAUCAACUGGCAUUCUUGAGAAACUAUUGAAAUUUGCCAACUUACAAGAUAUACAAUUGGAGGAGUGCUUCUCUACCAAACAACUACUAAAAUUCACCUCAAAGGUGACCUUUUCCCCUGAUCUCUCCCCGGCCUCCAUACCCACUGACCCUUUCACAAAAUUUUCUAGAAUUUCCACUAUCAAGCCGUUACGGAGAACCAUCCUCAACAAACUCCUUUGACUAAUGUGAAAAACCCCACCCAAGAGCAUCUUCCAGAAGUUAACUUACAAGAUUAACUAUAAUCUUGUGAAGACUCGUUACCUAAUGGGUAAAAAAUUUGAAAUUCUAUUAGUAUAAUUCUUUUUAGGCACAAAAGCUGUGAAAAUAGCAUUGGUGCUCUAAUUAAUAACCCCAUAAUUAUUAAGCAAUAAAACAACUUUUAAUAAAUUCUCUUUCACCACAUCCCACCAAUCCUAAUGCAAAAAAGCUAGGAAAAAGUCAUCAUUGCUCUAAGCAUUUCUCCUCACUAGUUGAAAGACUGCUUUAUGAACUUCCUCUUCGACAAAAGGACAAUCCAACCAAUUAGCACCAUUUUCCAAAAUGAGAGACCAACCCCCACUCUUCUAUCCUCUAAGGAUCUUCAUAUAACCAUUAAUGCCUUUCUAUACCAGCUAGUAUAUAUCGGGUUUUGGGCAAGUCCUAUAAAUUGGUUUGAGUAAGAUUUUUAAUUACCCUGUUCUUUCUUUUUAGUUGAUAAAUAUGCAUAUAUGUAGUAAUUCAUACAUCAGAAAAGAUUUUGCUAAAACAAAAGAAUUGACAUGCAGAUAGUGACUUCUUGAUAAGAGUAAUAGCUUAAGGGAGGAAAAUGAACUCCUCCAGUGGCCCCAAAGUGGUAAGUUCCUUCAGAUCCCAUGUUGCUAUUCUGCAUUUCUUUGUGUUUUGGCAUCAGCCCUCUUAAUUAAUUCACUAUCCAGCUUCUCAAAUUCCUCGGAUUCUUCCCUUGUUCUUGUGGAAACAUCUGCAUCUUGUCCUUGCAUUGUUAUGGAUUGGUGAUUAUCAUUCUUUGAGAACUGUGUGGCAGCUGCUCGUGCACCAGCUAUGGCUGCAAGGAGACCUUCUGGUUUCUUGUCUUCAGCAGCUUUGGAGCCAUCAAAGCAAGAAACAAGUAAUCCUGGUUUCAAAGAGAGGGGAUCUUGUGGUUCUGGAAGCAGAAACUUGACAGGUAGUGGAGCUUGAACAGGACGAAGACCCCUAACUGCUGCCUCAUAUAUCUGCAACAAUUUCAGGGGGGAUAAGUAAUUAAAAAUCAGUCACUCUAUUGCAUUAGUUAGACUUGCUUUCAAUGCGAUAGCAAAGAAAGAAUCAUCAAUGAAAAAAGAAAAAAUAAAUGAAAAAGAACAAAAAGGAGAGGGAAAAAAAAAUGAUGGGUGCUCAAUUUGUACUUUUCUUUCCAGGUUAUAAAUACGUUGGUACCCGCGCAUCUCAAAUGGUAUGAUUAAUUUCUGCAUCAGGUCAGGAGAACUAAGUCCAUCAAUAUACUAAAAAGCAAAUAUACCAAAAGGCAAGCAAAAAUGUUUAACCAUCUUGAGUGUCAAACUCUCCAAGAAACUAUAUACUUUUAGCUGAAUGAAAACACAUGCCUGUGGUUGCUCACAGAGCCAGCAAAACUCUGUUUGCGCUUCUAGCCUUACCUACAAAUAGAGUUUAGGUUAUCCAACCAAAAUGGAGAUACAUCACACAAAACAAACUGUACCUAAUCAGUUUACGAAGGGGACGGGGGGAAGCAAAAAGCAAAAGUAAAUUUCUAAGAUGCCCACCCCUUCAGGUACCUCCUUCCAGCACGCCAGCUCUUCACAUUUAACACAACCAACUACUUCAAUACAACCUGUGGCAAGAAUAGAGUUUGUUGGAUUUAUUGUAGCAUGCCAUACAGAAAAAUUUAGCAUUUCAGUAAGAAUAAGAAUAAGAGAGCUACUUUCCACUAAAAUACGAAUCACCCAUCAACUGUUGCAAACAGACAACAAUGUGAAUAACAGGUUUUAUAUAUAUAUAUAUAGAGAGAGAGAGAGAGAGAGAGAGAGAGAGAGAUAGAUAGAUAUAGAGAGAGAGAGAGAGUCAAAUAAUAAUAAAGGACAAAAAUAUUUCUUUGAGAAAGACUAAUUAGAAAGAAGAAACAAAGAACCCACAUGAAAUCAAUUUAGAUAAGAGAAAUACCUUUAAGAAUCUAGUUCUUUUUGCAAAUUGCAACUUAGAAUUGGAAUGCCACAUAUUAUUAUAAGGUAUCACAAGAGAUUAUUGCUUCAUUUUUUUUCUUUGCCAGAUCAGUUUUAAUAAAUAUAAAUAUAAAAAUAUAAGCAUGUACACACACACACGCAAACACAUUAUGUGUGUAUGUUUAUGGAUAUGUAGAUAUAGGUUUUUAAUAAUAGAGCAUGAAAACAUAUCUAGUCAGAAAUUCCAAAAAUCCAAAACCAUUAGCAACACCUAACAGUCUUGAAACUGGGUAAUGUUCUGGAAACUUGAGGUCUGCUAUCCCAUUCACAGCAUAGAUCUCCCUGUAGAAAUUCUCCAUUGCUUUGAUUGUGUCUGAAUCUGGGACCUUACUAGCAGCAUGAAUCCAGAGUCGGCCUUCAUAAAACAAAACAUGUAUAUUAAGAAAUAUCCUUGUAGAACAGUAACAUUUUUGCCAGCAUGCAAUUCGUGUUAAUAAUCCUUGGUUCUCACCACUCAUUGUACAUUACAAUGUAAAGACCUAAUAAGCCCUAAUAUAGGUAGGUGUCUGUGCAGAGAGAGAGAGAGAGAGAGGGGAGGGGGGUGAAAGGAAAGAUGAUUAUAGAACAAAUACAAGUUGAAUCUCCUGAAAUAAUGUCCAUCAAGUUAUUUCCUAGCAACAAGUACUGAUUAUGCUUUUCCUGAUAACAUGAUUUUCUUUGCUAACAACCAUACUAUAUUUUAUCAAGAAAGAGUAGUGCAUGUGGCGUGCAUCAAGACCCAUUAGAGUUCCGCUAAACCUAUAGUUCUGUCAACGUUAUCAUUUACGUUUCCUCUAGAUAAUGGCAUUUUCCUCUAAAACUCUUGCACCAUUAGGCUUCAAGUCAAAAUUUCACAUGUGAACUUUGGAAAUUUUCUCCAUUUGCCCCUAAGGAUACAGUUAGAAUUGACUUAAAAUCCUGAUUGAUGUAUACUUUUAACCGAAGAAUAUUGUAUAUAAUAAUUGAAAUAUUGUUGAUUCAUCGUGGAAAUACAUUUUGUAAGGAAAGUUGUUAAGAAUUUAGUAUGCUAUAUGGAGAAAAAAGUCAUGACUUAAGGUUGAGUAUGUAUAUUCUAUAUCAAAUAUUAGGUAGGAAUGUGGAAAAGAGCAGAGUGUAAUUAUAAGAAACAAAGAAAUAUAAGAUAUUCUUGAAAGUGGAAAAUGUAAAAUGGCUAAAAGUCAAAUUUAUGAUGCAUAAGGGGGAUCAUGUCACAUAAGAAACUCAUGGCAUACCAAAUACGUGUGGUAUGGAGUAACAAUUUUGUUAAAAUAAGUUUCUCGUUGGAGUACAUUAGGUGACAAUUUUUUAAUAUCAAAUUAAAGAGUCAAGUGCAUCAAUGAAGUCAUAUGUAGAAAAUUUGUUUGUGACAUGUACCAUAAAGAUAAGAUUGACUUGAUAUAAUUUAGUCCAGGUAGGAGUUGUUAAAGGUGUCUCAAAUUUCUAAUUGAUAUAUAUUUUUUUCUAAAAAAAUAUUAUAUAGAUAUUUCAAUAAAUGAUUAAUUCUUUGUAAAAAUACUUACAUAAUAAAAAACAUCAUUAGAAAUAUCUCUAUAAAUAUUUUAAAUCACAAAAAGAAAAAAAAAAUCACUAUGAGAUAAUUAUAAACAUGCAACAUUGUACCAAGUAAACAGAAAUGUGAUAAAAAAAUUUUGAGAAACACUAAAUAAAGGAAGGGCUUGUAUAUCAAGAUGUAAAUAUAGAGAGCAAUAUUUUUAAUCAUAUGAUAGAAUUAUUUUCUCUCAUUCAUGAUUAUAAGCAAAAUUGGGAACCAUUAUAAAAUCUUGUACACCUCGUGUAAAUUGAUGUUUGUCUUCAUAUUUUACACCAACAAAUGACAUUGAAGUUGUCAUUGAUAAAAGGGAAAAGGCAUGGCCUCCACACCAUGUGCUUGAAUCGUAUGGUUCAAGUUUAAAGAAUUUUCUCCAUAAUUUGAAGAUCUAAAACAUUUUCACCUUUAAAUUUCAUUUAAUUAUUAAUAUCUACAAAAAAUAGUUAAAUACUCUUUCUAUUUUUGAGUUGUUGAAUUUUUUGAAAGUUUUUAUAUUUGUUAUCAAGAAUUUAUAUUUUAUUAAGUGUGAAUAUUUAUAAAUAAGAUAUUAUAUAAUAUUUGGAUAAGAGAGAAUGGUGGAAUAUAAUAAAGUUUUAAUCCUUCCCAAUUUUUAUCUUUUUUUUUUUUUUUUUUUAUAAUCGCCUUUCUCUUUCAAUCCUAUUAUCAGGUACCUUAUAUUUGCUGAUGCUAUCUGGAACUAAAUUCCAAUCAGACAUUGUCCAAUUACUAAUAGGACAGAUCAUGUCUCUCUGUUUCUAAACUAACAUGUAUCGUAAUGUGGCCUCAUAAGGAAGGCUAGGAAGAUGGAGGAUUUUGUGGGAAGCGACCAGAAUCAGAUGGAAGAGAGAUAGCCCUGUUGACCUAAUGGCUGUAAUAGGAGAAGCGUGUGGAUUUAUGGGACUUAACUGAUACUAAACCUAUAUGAUGCUUGGAGUGGUGUUUCUUUCAUUUUGUUAAGAAAAUAUGGCAGCAUACAUCCUUUCAAUUGAGUGCAUCAGAGCAUCCAUAAUAGAUGGUCUGCAACCCUAGGUGCAUGCCACUUUCUGACUGAUAAUGAAACUGUCAGGUACUUGGCCUUGACUAAGCUCAACAGCAUCACAUAAAAAGAAGCUUUCAUACUUAGAUUACUGUUUAAAGCUUUUGCUUAUUUGCUUUCUUAAUGCCAUUAUGACAUUAUUGUUUCAAUUCUGCUACCGAUUUUCGAAGUUCUGGGCAUCUACUGAUUGCAUCAUUAUAUGAGAAGUUGCAUGAGUUUAUGUAUCCUGUUAUUGCUCCUUUGCGAUUUCACUGCUCACGGGACUAACCUCUCCAUUCAGUCGAAAUGAAUUGUAAUUUCUUUACUGGUAGCAGUAGUACUUUUCAUAGCAAAGAUAAUAGUAAAUAUGAAAUAUAAAUAGAAGGAAAUCUGAAUUGUAGAUGGCACUAUAAGUAACACUCAAUAUUCACUACAUAAUAAAAUAGACAGUGUUACAAAGGUAGAGAAACCUACAAUGAGUACUCAUCACCAUUCUCAAACAGAAACAUAGCAGCGACUUAUACAUAGAACCUAUAGGCUUGCAGGGAAAGAAGGGAAAGAGUAACAUGAUAAGUUCACAGCGGGUAGCAGCUCUUAUUUUACGUAUUACUCAAAAUCUCAAACUAACCAAAGUCACUCAGUUGGGAUGGGUAGGAGAUGGUGGUUUGUGGGGUGGCUUCUGGGUAGGAGCUGGUGGCUUCUUUGUUGGAGUUGAAGGAGGCGUAAUCUUCUGAGGUGGCUUGUAUGAGUCUUCGGCACUCUCUGCAGGAGGGUGCCCAGGGUUGUGACCGGAAGGAG
Molecule: long non-coding RNA, 95834 nt
Filed under: Vitis vinifera (wine grape)
Lineage: Eukaryota; Viridiplantae; Streptophyta; Magnoliopsida; Vitales; Vitaceae
Description: long non-coding RNA (VVIN_LNC001392)
Source: RNAcentral